UUUUUUUUGUGGUAAAAAUUCUUUUUCUCAUAAUUCUUAUUUUAGAAUUUUUAUUUUUAUGUUUUUUGUCAUAAAUUUUGAGUUUUAUAAUUAAGAGUGUUUUAAAAAACAGUUUUCAAAAAUAAUUUUUAUAAUCACUUUUCAAUUAGUAUAUUAAAAUUUAAAUGUACCAUAAAUCUCUAAAGUAUUUUAUACUUUUUAUUUUUAAAAUAUUUUACAAAAAAAUUAAAAACACUUUAAAUUAUUUUCAUAAAGAAGAUUCUUUAAGAAUAAAUUUAAAAAAUAUACUAUUUUAAUUAAAAUUAAUUAUUAUAUAUUUUAUUAAAAAAUGUUUUCAUUUGGAAAGAGAGGGUGAACACAACUUUCUAUUUUUAUUGUAAGUUAUUAAAAAUAUUUUAAAUUUUAAAAAUAUUUUUUAUUAUGUGUAAUAAUAUAUUGGAUAUGUUUGAAAAGUGUUUUUGAAAAGAGUUUAUAUUGUUUGGAUAAAAAAAAUUGAAUUAGAAACAAAUCAAAAGUAUUUUUAAUUGUUUUUUAGUGUACGUUGAAUGUAAAAAUGAUAAUUUUGUAUAUAGUAAAUAAUAAGUUAAAAAUAUAUAUUUUUUAUAUCUAGAUUUUUAAACAUAAUUUUACUUUUAAAAAUAAUUAAUAAUAUAUUAAUUUUGAAAACAUUGCCAAAAAAAUCAUAUUUGUUCUAUAAAUCUUUGCAAUUUUUUUUAUUUUUUUGAGCAUAUGAUUGAAUAUUUAAAAAUAAAUUGCAUUUUUAGUAAUAUUGGAUUGGGAAAAUUUAAUUUUAAUUUCGGGAAAAAAUGUCAUUAUUUUAAUUCUAUUUAUAUAUAUAUGGUAAUAUCCUUGGAUUCUUUCCUUUCUUGGACAAAAGAUAUAUGACGUCACUAUUUCAACUCACCAAGCAAUCUAAGACCGUAUUGAAUAAUUUUCAUCCGGUAUAUUAAUUUUAAAAUAAUUUCUCUUUAAAGUUGAAAAUUUUAAAAUAAAAUAUAUAAAAAAAAGGUAAAUGAAUAUUUUUUUAAUUUAAAAAAUAAAUAAAUAUGCUUUUUGAAAUUUUUUUAUCUUUCAUACAAAUCUUACCAAAUUUAAAAAUAUUAUACUUUAUUUUUAUUUUUUUAUUGUUUGGAUUCAAUAUUAGUUAUUCAGAUUAAAAUUUAUUUUUUUAUUUUUAUUAAUUUUUAUUUUUAUCCGAUUUAUGAGCAUGACGUACGAGAAAAGGAAAAUGAUACGAAAACGACGUCGUUUUUUUAAUAACCACGUGGCCCUUUUGAAUCUACUCACUGCCCUGAUUCUGACACGCCCAAGCGAUGAUUACGAGAGCACCGCUUUGGCAAUUUAAGUGUGUAAAUACCUAACUACCCCUGUGAUUUCUACAAAUUACAGCGUAUGGGUUCGGUUGUCGACUUUGGCAAGUGUAAUGUGUGAACGCUGACGUGUUGGCUUUUGACAUUUCCAAGAGGCGUAGGCCGCCCAAAAGACACGUAUCCGAGUUCCCUAUGGAAAGUCUUAUUUAGCCUCAGUUGCUUUGUUUUAUCAAUGUCGUGACUUCUUCGGACUAGUAAGGAUAUUUUAGACAUUUUAUCAAUGAUUUUUUUUGGGUGUUUGAAUAGUUUCUCCAUAAUAUCUUUGAUAUUUUAUUUAUAAGUAGGAAAAAAAUAUAUGGAAAAGGUAAUUUAUUUUUAUAAUAAAUAAAAGUUGGAUGUAUUUUUUUUUUAAUUCGAAAAUUUUUCAAAAAUAUGCCUUUUCUUUUUAAAAUAAUAUCCAAAAAAAAUAAAUGAAAAUAAUCAUGUUUAUAAAAAAUAAAUAUUAAAAAAAUGGAUGCAAGCACUAUUAAGUUGAAAAUAUGAAUUAUAUGUACAAAUUUUAAGAGUAAAAAAGAUAUUAAAAAUGAUAAUUAAAACUUUGAAUAAAUGUGUUAUGAUAAAAUUAUUUAUAAUAUAACAUAUAAAUGAUUAUUUUUAAAACAAUGUCGAUAUUAUUUCCAAAAUUUAUCGUAAAAGAAUCUCGUAACCAAAUUUAUCAAUAGAUUCGGGAUAUUAUAAUCAUCCCAUAUGUGAAAAAGGGAAGAAUGGAUCAUCUAUCUCUUAAUCAAAGAUAUCGUAAUCAUCUUAUAUACAAAUAUAAAAGUUUGGUGACAAAUUCUUAUAUAAGAUAAUGUGUAAAAUUGUCUUCUAAUAUGAUUUUUAAUGGUUUUCAUUAAAAUAAUUUAUGGCCUGUUUCACAUGUGGCCCACCACCGAAUAUACAGAUAUUACAAUUCAUAUCAUUUAGUGGCCCUCAUACAUGGGCCCCGGGAAGAAAGUGGAUAAUUUGUGGCAAAAACGGAAUUUAAACCUUUUGAUUAGCUCAUAUUUGUGUAAUGAUGUCGUAAGAUGUGUAGAGCGUAAUUAUUAUCACAAUAGUAAGAGUAUGUUAAGUUAAGGUAUUUCGGGGAUUUUACACAUACGUGGUUACCUAUUUACACAUACGGGGAUUUUGCAGCAAUUUUUUCCAGCAAUUUUUUUUUUUUAUAAAAGGUAAAAUAUUAAGAUAUGUAUAUUAAAUUAAGUUUUUUAAUAAAUUAACAUAAAUAUAACACAAUAAUAUUAGAUAAUAAAGGAAUAUGAACUGAGAUUAAUGUAAGGAAAACGUGUUUCCACUUUCCAUACAUUAUAAAAAAAAUUAUAAAAAAAAAUUAUAAAAUAAUAACUUAAGUUUAUAAAAUAUAAAUUUUAAGUCGGUACCCCGACAUAAUUGGUAUUUCAUACACUUUUUUGACCAAAUGUAUUACCUUUGACCAUUGAAGUGUUACAUUUUAAUAGUAUAAAUACUACCUUUAACUAUCUUAAAUAUUAACUUUUAAAGAGUAUGAAACUUAAAUUAUUUUUAAAGGGUUUCAAUUUUAUGAUUAUUUAUAGAUGAGUGUGUAGAAACAUACUUUUGGAAAAGCGAUUAAAUAUAUUAUUUAUAAAUGACAUUUUUAUAUGCAUAUGUUUGAUCAAAUCGGAGAAUCAAUGAAUGUUUAUGUAAAAUUAAAAAUUAUUGUUCAACGAUCUAUUUAAAUACUUAAAAGUCAAUGAAGAGAGAUGGGCCAGGCCUUAAAAAAAAUUCAAGCCCAUGAUCUACACCAUUGGACAUAGGCCCAUACUACCAAGCCCGUAGACCCAUACUGCCAACUCCUCAAACCCAAACAAAAUGAAUCCUACUAAAUAGACGAUCCAUACAAAUACCCUCGAUUUCAUGAAAAAUUAUACCCUAAUUUUAGACUGGUUGUAUGGAAGUGAUAAGAAAAAAAAGUAUUAAGAAAAAUGAUUUUUUUUAUUUUGUUUUUUUAUGGAAAAUAUUUAAAAUAUAUAUAUAUAUAUAUAUAUAUAUAUAUAUAUAUAUAUAAUUAAAAUUAAGUAAAAAUGUAUAUAUUUCCAAAUUAUUUAAUUUUGAUACAAAAGGGAAAAUUAAUGUAUUAAAUUUGAAAAAAUAUAUAAAAAUAUUUAUUAAUAUUAAUUUUUUUUAUUCUAAUUUUUUCUCUAUUUCCUUUUCCUUCCAUCAUUCCUCAAAUUUUUUAAAAGCUAAAUAUAGAGUAAGCCUUAAUACAUUCUGCAAUCAUGUUUAAACUCAUUUAUCUAUUUUUAUUUUUUUCGUAAAAGUCAAAUAAUUUGAAAAUAUGUAAUUUUUAAAAUAUGAAAAAAAAAAUUCUUAAUAAUUUUUUCUUUAGUAUUUUUUUAUGAAUCAAAUAUAUUUUUAUUUUCCUUUACCUUUUAUUUUUUUAUUUUUUUUUCCCUUCAAAAUUUUAAAGAAAAAUUAGUCAUGGUUGGUUUAUGGUUGAAUCAAAAUUGAGCUUUUAUUAAUGAAAAUAUUGAAUCUAAGCAAGCUUAUUCAAAGUAUGUUUAAUACUAAAAUUAGAAAACAUUUAUAAUAUUUCUAACAUUUGAAUGAUAAAAAAUUUUAAGUAUUAAAAAUGUUAAAUACGUUUCAUAAAAUCAAUGAUUAAUCAGUGAAAGUUAAUUGAAGUCUUAAAUUCAAUUGUUUUAAAAAUCUACUUGAAUUUGAACUUUAAAACACAUUUAAAAUUUAUAACUCAUAAUAUAAUUAAUACAUUUAAGAAUUUAUUUCACUAUAACAUAACAACAACCAAUUACUUCAAUAAAAUUUAUACAAAAUAUACAUAAUAAUAAUUAUAAAAAAUAUUACUUAACAUGAAACACUUAUAAAUUAUAAGAGAAAAGUUAUAAAAUGUUGAUUUGAUUCGGUUUUUAUUAGUUAAACUUAAAAAAAUGAAAUCAAACUGAUUAAAUUGGUUUUCACGAUUCUCAAACUAAAUGAAUCUCAAUUAUAAUUAAAAAUCGAACUAAUUUGAUAAAUUUGAACUAAGUUCGAAUUUGAUCCCAUUCUUUUGGAUUAAUAGUGGUCCAAUUGAAUUAAUAGUAUUUAUAUUUAAGAUUCGAUUAAUCAUUCAAAAUUUACUAUAUAAUUUAUACCAUGAAGAAUAAUAGUUUGGUAAAAUAUAUGUUUCUGAAAUUCUAAAGAAUCGAUGAAUGCAUGAUUUAUAGUCGAAUGUGCCAUUGUUGGAUAGUUGCCCUACGACCUCACCCACCCUAUCCUAACCCUAUCUGUACAGCUACCUUAUCUCAUUUUCAACGGUGAUCCAUUGUUAAUCACAUUCAUGGUCAACCCCUAUCUGUACACCUUCAUUUCUGGUCGUUAAUGUUCAUAUUUUAAUACUAAUUUAAACGUGAACUCCAUUAUACAGUCGGUCCAAUCAUUACACUGACGUACAAUUUUUGGGUCGUACUUUUCAAUCUGUUGACUUUACUUUAAAUCUGAUCCAACGGUUGGAAACCAAUUUGGCCCUUGCGUAAUAAUUGGGCAAUGAAUCACGUCAUCGGCAGAUCGAAUCUUUGGUCCCCCCGCCAAAAAGGAGAAUGUCUAUGUGGAAUAUUGAAUCACGGCGAGGAAAUUCUAGUGUGCUUCUCGAGCACACGCAAAAGAGACGCCUUCUGUUCUCUGAUGUUGCUACGUGUCAAGAAACUAACCGGCGAUGACUCUGCCUCAGCUGUUUGGCCGUCGGAUCUCUCUGGUUCUGAAUCAUUAGGGAUCGAGUGGUCACCUUUUCAUUUUUUAAAAAAAAAAAUUUAAGACGAUAAUAAGCAUGUCAAAUUACAUAAUUAUCAGAGUCUUCACCACGUUGAUUUCAAUAAAAUAUUUUUUAAAAUUUCAUAUUUGAAUUAUUAUAAAAAUUAAAUAAAAUUAAAAUUAGUGACUAAUCUAUAUAUUUUAAAGUUAUUUAAUUUUAUACCCAAGAGAUUAUUUUGGGUAUAAAAGAUUUAUAUAUUUAAAUUUUUUAAAAGAAAAAUAUAGUUUCAAAUUAAAAUAUCUCAAAAUUAAAUUAUAAUUAGGAAAGUACCCUUUUUAAAAUGAAAAUUUAAAAAAAAAUCAAAUUUCAAUCGGGUCAUGUCAAGAAUCGAGUCUUACGUGGGUGAACGUGAGGAAUACGGGUUGGAAUGAUACGUGUGACAAUAUGCAUAAGUCACUCGCUGCUUUAGAGCGUGAAAACACGACUUUAGUUAUCAAGAAAGUGAAAUAUUUAUUAAACUAAAAAUAUUUUUAUUAGAAUCAGAUUCUCAAUCCCCGAUAUAAUUUCCACGUGUUGUCACUUUUAUUUUAAAAUACAUUAAAAUGUAUUACUAAAAAUAUUUUCAGCAUUAUCUCAUCUAUUACUAUUUCAUACAACUUUUUUAAAUUCAUUUUCCCUACCCUCAAAGGUAAUAUCACCAAUUAAUUAAUUACGCAAUUUGGACGGUCCACUCGAUACAAUAUCAUAAAUAUUUUUAAUAUUUAAGUUGAUUUUGGGUUAAGCUCUUUUAACACCGGUUAAUUUUGGACUAAUCCAAACCUAAUGCAAAUAGGAUUUAAUAUUUUUAUAAUAUAUAUAUAUAUAUAUAUAUAUAUUAUCUUAUAUAAUAAUAUUUAUUUUAUUUUUAACCCUGAAGAAAAAUAUCAAACUAUAAUUGUAUCACAUAUUUUUACAUUGUUAAAAUUUAUAAAAUAAAAAAAAAAGUUCUAAAAAAAUAUUACACAUAAAUUUUGAAUUAUAUAACUUGAUUAACCCUAUUAUUUUGAGUUUAACGUGAUUAAUCUAUCAACUUGAACUCAAGUCAAGUUUGGAAACAUAAUGGUGAAUUGGCCUUGAGUUAAUUACUUCAUAUUAGAGGUUGGGUUGGAUUUGAAUUGAUUAUUUCUCAAUUCGAAUUACGUUCAAGUUAAUUGUCAAUUUGACUAACUCAUCUAAGUUGUAACUUGACUAAUGUUAGCCUUGUCAUCCAACUGACAAAAUUUUGAAACCCAAUAAAUAAAUAAAGGGAUUCUUUUUUAAAUUGUAAUAUACUACAAAUUGUUUUUUUAAACUAUCGUACAAUUAUCAAAAAUCCCCUUCCAAGAUCAACACGCUCUUGGACCCAAACAACAUAAAGUAAAUCAAUAUAACAUAAAUAAUUUUAAUAAUUUUAUUUGAUAAUAAAAUUAUUUGUGUCGAUAAAAAACUAUAAAGUUUAUAAGUGUACAUUUAUUAUUAAAUUACAUUAAAUAUUAUUUUAUAAUAAUAUUAUGAUAACAUAUUUAAUAUUAAAAUUAUGAUCCAUUUUAAUUUAAAUGUAUUCAAUGAUACUAAAUAAAUAAAAAUAAUAUAUGUAUACUUUUUUUAAUAUUUAUAUUUAAUAAAUAUAUAGAUUAUAUAAAAAUGACUAUUAAAAAAAUUAUAUUUUUAUAUUUUUGGUAAUAAAUUAAAUUAAAUGUAAAAGUAAAAUAAUUAGAAUUAAAUUAUUUAAUAAUAUAAAAAUAAGAUAAAAUAUCCAUAAAUAUCAAUGGAAUAUCGAUUGAAAUACCUGAAAAUAUGGGUUAAUGGAUAUAUCUUUUUGAAUUUAGUAUUGGGAUCAAUAGUAUAUUGGAUAUCGAUUCAAAUGAUAGACUGAAGUUAAAUUUUUACAACACAUUAUCUAGACAUUUUGUCGAGGGUAUAAACCUAAUAAAGGAACAUUUUAAUAAUUUCUUAUUAUAAAUUCUUUUAUUUAAUAUAAUAAAUUAACAUAUGUAUAAUAAAUGAACGAAAAAUAUUAAGAAAAAUGUGAAAAUUACCCAUUAUAGAAAAAGCAAUAAAAAUCAAAACAGAUAAGGAUAGAUAAAACGGAAGAAAUAGGGAAAAAUAGUUAUCUAAAAAAAUUUUAAAAUAUACUUAUAGAAAUAUUAUUAUACUCUUCUAGAAACACACUAUGGUUGUUAUACUCUUAUAAAAACCAUUUAUUUUUUAAAAAUUAUUUUUAUAUUUUAGAAAAUAUUAUCACUUUUUUUUUCAUUUACUUAAAAUAUCUAUUUUAAUACCUAAGAAAAUUAUUUUCCAAAAAAUAAUUUCGUCACCACAAUUUUUUUUUAAAUUAAAAUAUUAUUUUGAAAAAAAAUUUCAUCCACGUGGAUGUAUAUGGUUCAAACGAAAUUUAUUUUAAAUGAUAUUAUUUUGGGUCAAGGCACCAAUCUCCAUUCUCAAAACGGAAAGUAGCAGACACGCGCUACAUGUAGGUCCCACGAACGAUGAGAUCGGAGGUACAAAUGGCCCAUUCUCACCUCAUCACAGUACAUCUAAACUCCCAGUCCGUCCAAUUAAUAGACCUAAUAAAAGUCAAGAAACUUGAUGAUCUUAGCUAACCGUAGAGCGCGGCACACCAGAUCAAGAGAAAAACCAUUCGAAAUCCACGCGUAUAGAAACCGUUGUUCUAGUAGUUUUGGGGGGUUGCCGUCUUCUUGGUGAGUCAAAUAACAGAAACGCAGAUUCACAGAAAAAGAAAAACAAAAACAAAAAAAACCCACUUCUCUCUCCUCACUUUCUCUCUCUUGUUCAAAUGCAGCAGCAUCACCAAAUCCAAAGGUCCGUCUUCUUGUUCAUGACCCAACAGCUGUUUUCUUUCAUUUCCAUAAUUUGUACGUAACCACUUACCUUAUUUAUAUCUACAAAUGUGUGCAUGCAUGUAUGUGGGAUGUAUAUGCCCCUGCUCUGGAUUUGUAUGUAUAUGUUGUCCCUCCCCCUUUUUUUUAAAAUUAAUUCUGGGGUUUUGGGUGUUCUAUUUUUUUUUUAUUAGGUGUGAUGUGAUAUGAUGUUGAUGGAAGUUAUGGUGAUUUGAUUUUUGGGUUUUUGUUCUUCUCUCUAUUCAUUUGUAGGUGCUGUUCUUCUUUUCGAAUUCUGGGUUUUUUUUUUUUGGGUGGGUUUUUACCGAGUUCUAUGAUGGGAUGUUGUUCAUGGAGGCGACGAUGAUUCCUUCGUUCCUUUUUUUUUUUUUUUUUAUCUGAAAGGAUUUGGAGAUUUCAAUUUUUUGACAUGGGUCCUGUUUCUUUUUGUAUGAUCGUUUGUUUCCUACAUAAGAAAACUUUUGAAUUUUCUUCUUUGAAUCUGCUACUAGAGGUGGAAUUUGUGGAUUAAUUAUGGGUUUUUUUUUUUGUUGUUUUUUUUUUUUUAUAAUUGGGGAUUGUUCAUUGAAAUUAUUCCUGGAUUUGGCCUUGCUUAGUUAUGAAUGAUGUUGUUUUGAACCAUGUGGUUUUAUACUGUGUUUUCUGUGGUUGUUUAUUUUAUUUGUUUGUUGUUCUUUGUUAUCGAUUCUUCAUAUGCCUCGAUUUCUGUCUUUUCUUAUAUAUUUGAUUAUAUUCUAUUUCUCUGGUUCCCUUGUUCCUCUCUAUACUUUGUUUAUGAUUUUUUUUUUUUUAAUUAUAGCUUAUUUAAUUCAAUACCCCAGAUGGUUGUUUCUGAAAGUUUCAAUUCCCCAUCACUGAUAUUGAUGUAAUAGGGUUUGAUUCAGUUAUUUAUUUAUUUUUUCGGGUUUUUCGAUUCAACAGGACAUCCAAAAUCCAAACCAAAGAAUUCCUGUGAGGAAGGUCUAGCUCAAUUUUCAGGGGUUUAGGGAUAUUCCUUACUGUUUUGAUCCCAAUACCAGUUUUAUGGUUCAAAACCCAUCUUUUGAAUAUGCAAUUCAGGAGGUUAGGCACUGGAAAAUUAUGAAUUAGAACCCCAUGAUAAGGUUUGAUGAUGGGGUCCUUCAAUAUGGAGAAGAAAUGGGCAUUUCCUCUGGCUAUAAGCUCUCUCAUAUGCAUGUUCCUUCUUGCUACCUCCUUCAACAUGGGUCUUCUUUCUUCACUACACCCAAUCAACUCAAUCUUCUCGAUUUUCUCGCCUGGCCUUUCUACAAACCAGACAAAUCCUGUGUUUGCUGAACAGAAGGUUGGGCAACCCCCUCCACCACCUACCACUCCCAACAUUCCCCGGUUUGCUUAUUUAAUUUCUGGUUCAAGGGGGGAUUUGGAGAAGCUUUGGAGAACUCUUCAAGUACUUUAUCAUCCAUUGAACCAAUAUGUUGUUCAUUUGGACCUUGAAUCGCCUGCAGAGGAACGAUUGGAUCUAGCUGCUAGAGUGGAGAAGGAUCCGAUUUUUUCUAAGGUUGGGAAUGUUCACAUGAUUACAAAGGCAAACAUGGUAACUUAUAGAGGACCUACUAUGGUUGCUAAUACUCUUCAUGCCUGUGCCAUUCUUCUUAAGAGAAGUAAGAAUUGGGAUUGGUUUAUCAACCUCAGUGCCUCAGAUUAUCCUCUCGUGACUCAAGAUGGUUAGUCCUUUUUCACUGCUUUUCCAGUCUAUUUGACUACUGUGAUAUUUUCCUUUGGAGAAACAAAAGACCAUUUGCUUGUCAUAUGCAGAUCUUCUUUACACAUUUUUGGGUUUGGACCGGAACCUGAAUUUCAUCGAGCACACCAGUCGGCUAGGUUGGAAAGAGUGAGCUCUCUCCCCCAUACACUCCCUCUCACAUAAACAAUCUUCUUAAUUAAAAAUCUAUAGGUGAUAUUUACAUAUUAAAUGAUUCCAAACUUGGUUGUGUUGUGCAGGAAUCAAAGAGCAAUGCCUUUGAUUGUAGACCCCGGGCUCCACAUGACAACAAAGUCGGAGAUAUUCUGGGUCUCACCUAGGAGAACUUUGCCAACGGCUUUUAAACUAUUCACCGGUUAGUGUUCCUGGAAUCACCUCUACCUUUCUUAGCCCUGCUGUAAUUAAAAGUGUUUUUACCAGUAUUUUAUUAUUUACCAGACAAUAUUACAAGAUUGACCACAAAACUUUGCACCAAGGAGCUUAGUGUAAUUGUUUUAUACUGCCCCUGCAAUCUGAUAAACAUGGUGGUUUCAGAAACUUUGCAUUUAGGAGCUUAGUUUAAUUGUUUCAUACCUUCCUCGCAAUCUGAUAAGUGUGUCAGUUUCAAAAACUUCGCAUUAGGAGCUUAGUUUAACUGUUUCAUACCUUUCUCUCAAUCUGAUGAAUGGGUUGGUUUCAGAGACUUUGCAUUUAGGAGCUUAUUUAAUUGUUUCAUACCUUCCCUGCAAUCUGUUAAGCAGUUUGGUUUCAGAGACUUUUCAUUUAGGAGCUUAUUUAAUUGUUUAUUUAGGAGCUUAUUUAAUUGUUUCAUACCUUCCCUGCAAUCUGUUAAGCAGUUUGGUUUCGGAAACUUUGUAUUUAGGAUCUCAGUUUAAUUGUUUCAUACCUUCCCUGCAAUCUGAUAAGUGGGUUGGUUUCAGAAACUUUGCAUUCCUUGCAAUGCAAUAAGCGUGUCGGUUUCAGAAACUUUGCAUUUAGGAGCUUAGUUUAAUUGUUUCAUAAAGGCUGUUGGUUUCAGAAACAUCCCAUUUAAGAGCUUAGUUCAAUUGUCAAAUACAUCAUAGUAUCAAGUAGAGUAAAGAAAGAAAGAACAUUGCACCUGUACAUUUAUGAUUCAUUUGAAGCCUCGUUUAAUUUAUAAAAAUGGUGGUGUAUCAUUAAACAAUGUCCUGUUUGUUUGCAGGUUCAGCAUGGAUGGUUCUCUCACGAUCGUUUGUAGAAUACUGCAUAUGGGGUUGGGAUAACCUCCCUCGAACCCUUCUCAUGUACUACGCAAAUUUUGUGUCCUCCCCAGAAGGCUACUUUCAGACUGUGAUAUGCAAUGCACCAGAGUAUGCCAAGACCACUGUAAACCACGAUUUGCACUUCAUUUCUUGGGACAAUCCUCCAAAACAGCACCCCCACACCCUCACCAUCAACGACACCAGUAGGAUGAUCGGAAGCAAUGCAGCCUUCGCCCGGAAAUUCAGACAAGAUGACCCUUCCUUGGAUAAGAUUGAUAAAGAUUUACUAGGCAGGAAGAAAGGCGGCUUCACCCCUGGUGGCUGGUGCUCCGGCAACCCCCCUUGUUCCAAGGUUGGUGAUCCUACCAAGCUAAAACCAGGUCCUGGAGCUCAAAGGCUUCGCCUUCUCGUAUCUAGAUUACUUCUAUCAGCUAGGUAUGGUCAAAAUCAGUGUAAAUAGAUAUGGUUGUGCCAUUCUUGAUCAAAAUAAAAUUGAAAACGGGAGUAGAAGUUUAGUCCAGCCAAUGAUAUCUCAUCAGAAAACUGUAUCCACGGAUAGAACAUCAAGGCUAGAGCAACAACUAUAGCUUCACAAGUGUGUGAUCAAAAGAUGGAGCUUGUGCAACAUUCUUUUGGAAGGGCUUGUUCAAUAGAACCGUCACACGAAUAUGCUUCGAUGUUUUUACCAUGCUCUAAUAUCCUGAACUUUUCUUGUUUUUCUACAUAUUUCAAAAUUUAGGCUCGGUAAUUCUCUGUUUUUUCUUUCUGGUCAUCAUAUUCAGAUUCAUUAGUCAACAAUCAGUUCUUUAAAGGCAAUUCUGCUACAUCAGGCUACAAGAGAGAAUACUUUUGUCAAAUACCCAUGUAGAACGAGCUGUAGGCUUGGCAUUUAUAGAAAAAUAUACAAAAGUAGCAAUUCUCCACUUCUUUUUCUUCGAAAUUUUUUUUAUAUACACAAUGCAUUUGAUCAGAAGGCUGUUCUCAAUCUUCACAUUGCUUGCAUCUGGUAUGAUCGAAUGACAAAAUUUGUUAUGUAGUUUGUCAUAAUCAAUUACUAUAUCUUCCUUUUGGAAAGAAACCUCAGCAAAACAAAUUGCUGUGAUUGAUUUUUUUUUUUUUCGAUUUUUUUUCUAUCUAUCUAUUCUUCUCCAUUUAUAACACCAAAUUUUCGGUCUUUUUGAUGAUGGGGGGUCUUUGAUAAUUUUGGUGGGGAUCUACCAAACUAAACCAUCUCCAAAAUCUUGAUGUUUCCAGCAGAGUUUGCAGCAACUAAGGUGGAUGAUUGGCCGCGCCAACAUACAGAAGAGAUGAACUGUGCAGAAUCAUCUGAUUCAUGGUCAGAGUCCAUGCUGUUGAAUUUGAAUGUCAGUGCUGGCAUGGGGAAGGCCUUGUGGUAGAUGACAACCUAACAAACACAGAACAAGAAAAGCAUUAGUAAAUGAAUGAAAAUUUAUUGAAAAUAUCCAUUAACAUGGUAUUAAAAGAGAAAAUGAAAAGAGAAAUCUUAACCUAACACACCCAUGAUGUUUCUUUACAAGUAGGACUUUCUCUAUUGUGUGUAAAUAGUUCUGAAAUGCUUUCUUAAAUCCUUUCCACCAUCAUUUUAUUUCCAUCAGAAACAGAGAAGCAUAAAUGCAGAUUCAAAAAUCCCAAUCCUUUGAUAGAAUAUGCAUGAGAACCAACAUCUGAGAAAUUUUGGAAGUCCUGUUUGGAAUUACAUUUAAUUUCUGCAUUUAAGAGUACCAUAAGUAAAAAGUAUUAAGUAAUCACUACUAUAAUACCGUUGAAUUUUAUGUUUGGAAACUUGACUCUUAAAAGCUACUUUUCGCAUUUAAGAAUAUUUCCCAAAUAGGGUUAUAAACUGAGUUACUGUCUAAAAAUUUACGGCAAAUGAUAACCGAUGCAGCUAAUCCAAAUAGCUGGGAGAGUUGAGCUUUGAUACAUAAUUAACAAAAGGGAAAAACAAUCAAUGGACAAGUUGUUGCUCGGAUUGAGAAGUAGAUUUUGAUAGAAUGUAGAGCCAGAAUCAAGGGUAUUGAAUCGACAAAAUAAUCCACCAAUUUACAAAACCCCUACUUGGGCUUUUGAUUCUUGAGUGCCUCUACUUGCUUAUUUUUGAGUUCAAACAUAAAAUAAAUAAGAAACUAAACAAAGUUGCUUUUCGGAUGGCUAUCUCUACGCAGGGAUGGACAAGCCGGGUUCUUCCAUAUGAAGGAAGAAGACUACCAAUUGGUAUGCAACCCAUCAAAAUGGCCGUAGGGGCAAAAAAUUGUAAUUUAGUAAUUUUUUCCACUUACCAUAUACCCCAAACAAGACGAUUUUGCCACAAGAUGGCAAGACUUGUCAGUAAACCCUAUAUGAAGUACAUGGAAAAGAAACUUCAAGGAAAGAAUCACUCUUUAGUGACAAUGUAACUUCAAUAGUUCUAUAAUAAACUUCAGUUGCAACAGCUGACUUGUACUACUCUUAAAAAUGUGGUAUCGGUUUUUGUAGGAAGUGGCCCAACAAUAAUGUGAGGAACCCAAAGAAACAGUAAGUAUCAAAAAUCAUUUUCCUAAUAAAAACUAGGUGGGUUGAUAUAUGAAGUACCUCAUUUGCUUCUGAGCCCGUAGCAAUGUAACCAUCGGAUACAGACAAACCUACAAAGUUCUGCAACAAGGAGAACAUACAUCAGCAACAAAACAUACAUAAACCAAAGGCAUAUUUCAACAAUGAAUUAAUACAUGAAAAAAUCACACGUUUGAACUGAUUUCUAGAAGAUAAAUUACAUAAAUAAGAUGAAAAACUGUGUUAUGAUAUUUGACUGUCUGAUAUCACCAGUAUGCAAAUACAGGGAAAACUUACCAUAAUAAACUGACACAACAAAGAAGAAAUUCUUCAUAUCUGAGAAUCUUCUUUCCUUCAUCAACUUCCUUUUCCAAACAUUAACUAUUUAAUAUUUCCUUGAGUAAAGUCCAAAAAUGGAUUCUUAACAGAAUUAUACAGGGAUGGGUCUCCAGCUACCACAAAAAUUAUGCAGAGAUGAAUCUCUAGAUAGAGAAUUUAUUGAAGAUAUAGUUCAUGGGCAUAUCGUAGUCAAAGUUCUACAAUAAAGGCAAUGACUUUCUCAAUUCGUAUCCAAUCUUUCAUGCUUUUAAAAGGGGACAGUGCUUACUGAAGUUCUGAUAUUAGCUUCCCCUACCAUGUGCCAAUUUUUUUACCAACACUAUCAAUAUAGUUUGUGAUCACAGUGUCACCAAAAAUGUUUUUUAACUCACUCAAAUGAACACAUAAAAUAUUGAUGUAAAUCACAGGAAGAAUGGAGCAAAGUGUAAUCUUAUCAAGAAAAUAAAAAUUAACAGUACAAUCAUAUUAUCUUGAAGAACAAGCAGGUUUACAAACUAAAUACCACAAUAUAAGCUAAAAGAUGAUUGAUACAAUAUGGAGAGCAAAUGUACCUUUACAUUCUGGUGGCCAGUGAAUGAUUGAAGUGGACCUUCAAGAACCCGAGCCGUGCACAUUGACAAAUCCCAGAGCUUCAGAGUGUUAUCCGUGGAUGCAGAAACAAGAUGCGUUGAAUCUACAAACUUGACGUAACUCACAGUCUUAUUGUGCCCAAGUAAUGUGCACAGAGGUAUUUUUGAGUUACGGAGAUCAUAGUAAUAAAUUCUAUGAUCAGCUGAACCAAAAGCAAGGUAACGGCCAGAGUCUGGGGUAAACUGAACACAGCAUACAUUGGCCUUCGUUUUGAUGGUACCAACACUUACUCCCUGCAGUAGCAACCCAUGUAAGAAAAACAACUUAUUAUACAUCCAGAAUUCCAUAUGCACGACUGUAAUUAGAUGACUGCAGUACGUUUAGUUUCAAAGCUGACAUCCACCAAGUGCAAAAAUAGAAUUGCCUGAUUGAUACUCCAUAGCUUAACUGAACCAUCAUCACUGCCGCUAGCCAACAUUGUUGGAUCUGCUAAUGAGUAGUCGAUGGACCAUACACGCCUCUCAUGCUCUCUCAUUUCUGUAAGUACUUGACUUCUUGUAACAUCCCAUACCUGGACAUUUUACAAUUAAGCAGCAGCUAUAACAUGAUAGACAGCUAAAAGGUAAAAAUGAGAUGGAUGAGGCUUGACCUACCUGUACUACACCUUCAAAGUUACUGGAAGCAAUCUGGCUUUUGAUAUAACUAUUCCAACAUAUACUGCUUAGCUUUGACCUACAAGCCAUUUCAACUAAAGGAUAGUGGAUAUCACGAUCUUCAUUUAGGAUUGAAUUACAUUCAAAUACUUUAAUCUUCUUAUUUACACCAGCUGUAGCAAAAAGUUCUCCAUCCCGAUCAAAACUGACAGAGCAUACUAGGUUGGAAGAAUUUAAUAGAUCCCCUUGCUUCAAGUCUGCUUUAACUUUUAACUUACUGAAAGAUAGAUACUUGCACAAACCAUCAAGAAAUGGAUUUAUCCAUCCACUUUGUCCGUGCUCAUUGUACUGGUCUUUUGAUGCCAAAUUAUUAACUGAACUUCUUUCAGUUACAACAAUAGAUCCUCUACCAUUACUACUCGGGGGGGAGAUUUUAUUGGAUGGUUUCCCUGAUGGCUUUGUUGGCUUGCGUCUUGUCAAAAGAUAAGCUGACUCUAGUUUCUUAAAGUUCUUCAUUAAUCGAGAACUUUUGGAAAUGAGAAUUUCUGGAUUUUCAGCAUUCAUGCCCAACUUUUGGCCAUUGUUUAAAGUAUCAUCCAAUUCCUUUAUGUGAUGAACUCCUUGUCUGAAUCUUUUGCUAGACCUGACACUAGUGGAAUCCUCAUUUUCAUCAACAUCCAUUGGAGAAAGAUCAGAUGUUGAUUGAUCAUCCUUGACCAGUUCUUGGUAUGAGCCUCCCCUUUUCCUAAGAGUAGCUUGCUGUUUUCCGACUUCUUCAAUAUCAGAAGAUAGAAAAGAAAUGGUAUCUUGCAACUUAUCCACAGCUCCCUGUUUUCUUUGUUGCAUCAACAAAAGAAAUUCCAGCAACAAUUCCUGCUCCUCUAUUCUCUCUCUAAGCUCUAUUGCUGCUUCACGUUCUUCCAUUUUGUCCCUUGGUUCGGUAAGAAACUCGCUUUGAAACAAUUCACUGUUAUACAUGGCAUAAAAACAAAUAUUAUCUUACUUAAUCCAAAAGAUAGAAUGGUUAAAAAACGCUUCUUGUAUGUGCAAACUGAAUUGCUUAACCAUCCAUGGCAAUAGAUCAAUAGAAAGCAGAUCAAAAUGCUGCAAAUAUCCUACAGCCCAAUACUGGAGUAGAUGAAACAAGAGUACAGUCACAAUCUCUCAUAAAUUACUACUUUAUUUUUUAUUGGUUUUGGGUUGAACAUAGAAUUCUUAAAAGUCACCUUCCAAUCUGACCUGGUCAGAACAUUCCAUGAAUGAUAAUAUUCUGAAUCUAAUUUGGACAAACCAAACUGAAUAGUCUGAAUUACCACAAAUUUUGAUGCCAAUUUUCAAAUUGAAUAGGGAAACAUGCAUGAGCCUGAAUUUUGAACAGGAAGAUUCAUAUAAACCAAUUUAAUCUCAUCAAAGGAGGGCCAGAGUCUUAAAAAAUAUUGCUCCCCUAUUAUGAGUUAUUGGAGAUAUAUGACUCUCUAGAUAAUGUUGUAUACAAAGAAAAAAUUUAGAUAUUUAGUGUAAGUGUCAGUGUCAGUAGUUGCUAUUUUUAGGAGAAAAAGUAGUAAUUUGGUUUUGGUGAAUUGACUUGUAAGUUUUUAGGUGGUCCUAUUACUAAGAGAGAUUUUAUCUCAAGGAAAGUUUGUUCCCGUUAGUCUUAUUGAAAGAAUUUUCCUUGAAGCAACCACUAUCCAUUCUUCACUUUUUACAAGUGCUUUGAGGACUCACUUGCUUGAUUAGGAAGUGAUUUGGGUGGUGCCUUGACCAAAUGAGACCCUCACCUAUUUAUAGGAACCAAUGGAACUCUCUGGAACCUUGGAGGGUUCCUUACAAAUCACGAAGAUUCUAGAAUACCCUACACAAUUCUAUGUACAACCCUAUGUACAAGAGAUCUCUAAAAUUCUCUAGAAAGCCUUAGACUCCUUUCAUGCCUUCCACCAUAGUGUAGAGAUGUGUGGACAUCUUUAGGCAUCUCUAGAACCUUCCACACUCUUCCCUCCAAUGGCUUAGUGUAGAUGGCUCUAGGAGUCUCCAGAAGCUUCUUAGGCUCUAUAUAAAUCCAUGAGGAGGCUCAUUUGAAGCAUCCUGUGACACUCUCCCCUACCUAUGCCUUUGACGUCCUUGUCGUUGCCUCUUUCUGAAAUUUCUCGAUGUGUUUCCAGAACCUUCUCAAGGCAUCCGCAUGUUCCUAGCUUACCUGCCUCCUAGGUAGUCAUUUCCAUCGGACUAGAUACUCAAUCACAGGAGGGACCCCUUGUCUCUUGAUGACCCGUUCAGCCAGGAUAUUUUUCACCUCCUUUUCUCGUGAGGCCUCGGAUGGAUGCAGAUCCCUGCACUUUCGAUGCUUGGAGUGUUGCUUCCUCUUACCCAUCAAGUUCACCUUUCCCUUGGUGACCUUGUUGAUGUAUGUGUGGGCUACCUCAGCUCGCUCCCCUUUUGCCUCUUUUACUUGCACCCUUGAUAGUAAGGAGGUCUUAGGCGUACUAGGAUUUGGGUUGAAUUGGAGGGCACCUAGUAGUUGUAUCAAGCCCAUAUGUGCUUCGUCCUCCUGUUCCCUUUCCUUGAUCAUGGCAUUGAGCGCCUUCAUCUUUGGACAAUCCCGUGCCCAAUGUGGACCAUCACAUAGGAAGCAUUUGAUUUUAGGCGUAAACUCCUUCCUUUCCGCCUUACCCCUUCCUUCUCGUACAUUAGGCGUCUUGCCUGAUCCCAUUCUAAGAGCAUUGUGGUCCCUUGAGACCUCGUCUCCCCCACCCGUGGCGUGGCCAUCCUCCAAAGACUCAACCUUGGAUGAGUCUCCCCUCUUGUAAUCCGUUAAAGACUCUGCUACUACCAUAGCAAUGGCUAAGUCUUGAACGCCUCGGCGCCUUACUUCCUGCUCGGCCUACCCUUGCAGGUUAUCCAUGAAGUUGAAUAGCAACUCCUCCUCAAUCAUGUUAGGAAUCUCAAGCAUGAGUAAAGAGAAUUCCUUGACAUAGUUGCGUAUCGAGCCUGUGUGCUUGAGACACCUCAUGUUUUUCCUAGCCAGGUAAGCCACGUCCUCGAGGUAGAAUUGCCUCUUAAUCUCCCUCUUGAAGUCCUUCCACGUCUCUAUGGUGCAAAUGCUUUUCUCCAUAUCGGCAAACCUCCGACGCCACCAUAGAGUAGUUGUAUCAGUAAGGUAAAGGGUUGCAGUUCUUACCUUAGUCGCCUCAUCAGUCAAUGCGAUAGCCUCGAAGUAUCGCUCCAUAUGCCAUAAGAAGUUAUCCAACUCCUUGGCAUCCCGCUUGCCACUAAACCCAUGUGGCUUCGACACCUCCACCCUAGAUGCCUUCUGUGUGGCCAUGACCCAUGCCGACACAGCAGCCUUGUAGAUGGCCAACUCCUGCCUAACCUCCUGGUCUCGAGACUCCAUUCGAGUGGCCAAGGCCUUUAUCCUUGACUCCAUGCUAGCAAGCAUGCUCAAGACCUUUCCUUGGAAGGACACAAACUCCUCGUGCGACACUGGCUGAACCUGUGAGACUAGUACCCUCUCACGAAGGUCUUGGAUCUACUCCCUUAGAUCCUCUAAGCCCUUCUCCAUGCCUUGCUUGAUCAAGUCCAACCCCUCCCGAGUGUCCGCCAUGGCUAGCUCCACCUUGGAUAACCUUGCCUCUAUGUUGGCAACGACAUCACGAGAUUUAUCCUUCUUCCCCCUACCCCGUGCGGUAGGCUCAGUCUCCCUCCCACGGGUUUGCUCGCUAGUCUCCUCCAUGUUAGAGCCCGACAUGCUUCCUUUACUAUGCCCGCUUUGUAGUCACGCUCUGAUACCACUUCUCACGGACUUAGUCGUCUCCUAAGCUCGUGCGGCACUUAGACAAGUCAAGACGCUUGAUCUUGCUAAGUCAGCCUUACUCCCAAUGCUUAGCUUGCUAGGCUAAGACACUCGCGACUCGGAAGUUGUAGAAGGCGUAGUAGGCAACUCUUAAAGAAUAAAAGUUCUUAUUACUCAAGGAAGCUUUUACAAGUGCUUUGAGGACUCGCUUGGUUAGGAAGUGAUUUGGGUGGUGUCUUAGCCAAAUGAAUUCCUCACCUAUUUAUAGGCACCAAUGAAACUCUCUAGAACCUUGGAGGGUUCCUUACAAAUUAAGAAGAUUCUAGAAUACCCUACACAAUUCUAUGUACAACCCUAUGUACAAGAGAUCUCUAGAAUUCUCUAGAAAGCCUUGGACUCCUUUCAUGCCUUUCACCAUAGUGUAGAGAUGUAUGGACAUCUCUAGGCAUCUCUAGAACCUUCCACACUCUUCCCUCCAAUGACUUAGUGUAGAUGGCUCCAGGAGUCUCUAGAAGCUUCCUGGGCUCUAUAUAAACCCAUGAGGAGGCUUAUUUGAAGCAUCCUAUGACAUUAAGCCUCAAAUAUAGGCUUCUAAUAGGUUUAGGGUCUUUGCAGCCUUUUUGUAUAUAUUUUCUUAGAGGUUUAAACCUCAAUAUUCAAUGGUUUUAACGAGUUGUGUUUUUGUGGGGUUCUAGUGUAGAUCUAUAAAUUUUGUUUUGGGUCCAAGACUAGGGCUAAACGUUUUACAAAGGGCAAGUUGACCAAAGGAAAAAAUCACUACAAUUGAUGAAUGAAGAAGAAGAAGAAGGAGAAUGAGUGGACAUUAACUCUAAUGAGGAGGAUAGUAGAGCAUAUAAUCAUGAUUCCUUGAAGGAUUCCGCUAGUGAUUUUUUGGAUAGCCUUGAAGGAUUCUACUAGUGAUUUUUUGGAUAGGCUCGAAGGAUUCUACUAGUGAUGGUGAUAAUAGGAUUGUAGAUUAUUUGAUAAGGCAAUGGGAAGAGUAGGAUUUUAAAAGAGAGAAAAAUGAACUAAAUUAGAAACUAUAAAGAUAAACAAUUAAUUUGAUUAUUCUGAAUUGUAUAAUUUUCUAAUUAUUCAAUUUUCAUGUAAUUUUAUUAGCAUUUUUCCAUUUUUUGGGAUUUCUCUUUUUUUCAUUAUUUAUAUAUUUGUUUAAAUUGAGGCUUACACCUUGCUCUGCUUCAAAGCUUAUGCCUCGCCUCACUGGGGCAAAAUGCCUCAAGACCACCUUUAGCCUUUUAAAACAUUGGGCAAGAUACAAGCUAAUCUAGCAUCCUCAAUGAUAUAUUUCCAUGGUUAUUAUAAACCACAAAUCUAAUGGAAAUUUUUUAAUUUUACUAUCUUUUGGCUCUCUCUAGAAAGCUUCUUCACUUUUGGAAAAGACAAAAGCAGUACAUUGAUAACCCCUCAAGUUUGAUGCUAUUUUAUGUCAUUCCUAUCAAUAAAGCGGUUGGAUCCUCAUGUUUGCCCUGGUCUCAAUAUUAUUUUUAAGCAUAGUGGCAUUGUAUUGUUUUGUUCACACUAGAUUAAUCCAAUUCAAAGAAAUAGUAGCAUUAUUAAAAUAAGCAAACAUUAAAAAUUCAGCCUAUUAAUUCUGAAAAACUGCAAUGCAAGAAACCCAUAUCUUACCCACAUAUCCCAUAAAAAACAAUGCAUUAGCACCCAUGUCCAGAGAAAUGUUUCAUGUCAAUUAUAUAUCAUAGCUUGUUAGUAAUCCCAUCACCAUUACUCUAAGAAAGAUAUUACUUUUAAGGCAUAGAGAGCACCAAGGUACUUUUGACUGUCCAACAAUAUAAACCCCAACAUAUGCCCCAUAAACUAACACCAUCCUGACAUAUUGAUUAGGAUACUCUUUAUACUCCUAACAGAAUGAGUGUAGCCCAGAAGGAGACAAGAACACAAUUUUCCGGAAUAAACUACAGCAUUAUGGCCUAUAAGUUACCACCUAGAAAAGGAUGAACAGAUAUGACCACUGCUAAAGUACAUAUUUGAUUAAUUGAAUUUGCACCAUAUGGUCUAACACAUUCCUUUGUGCAGUAGGUGAAUUCUUCACAAUCUUCUUCAAGUUUAGAUGGAAAUUCCAUAUCCAUUCUCAAGCUUGGAAAGAGUUGCCAGUGACAAUUUGUUUGAUGGUGGCAAAAGGAAAUAUAUAGAUCUGGAUGAACUUUCUCUCAUGAAGAGCAAGACACCAGUCACUUAAAUUCAGCUCCCAACAAAUAAAAUCUAAUUUCAAGAUUCUGAGGUGGCAUCAGAUUUUGGGGGGAGAAAAGAUGUACAUACAGAUUAGCCUGGAAAGCUAAUUUCAACCUUUCUGAAAGUAGACGAUACAACUAUCUUAGAGUUGUAUUUAAUACCAUUGUGCUACAAUCUAUAUUAGAUAUCCAAACCUCACCACUGUGUUAAGAAAAAAGACUAAAACUGAGAAGCAAGAAAUAGGAAAAGAUGGGAUCCAUAUCCAGGAUAACAAUGCAAGAAAGAUCUGCUGCAAGGAGAAACUACCUUAUCUUUGGCCGACUACUUGGCUCAGGGUGCAGCAACCAUAGGCAAAAUGAAGCUUCCUUUGGCCACUUCAACAACAACUGAGGAGGAAGAACUCGAUGCCUCAAACAAGACAUAGUUCUGCUCUUUUCUUCUCUUGAGCUAAAUGUGCAGAAUAACUGCUCACAAGUACAACACUCACAUCAGGUUGUAGAAAGAAAAUAAAUAGACAUAAGUCCUAAGACUUUGAAGUCAGCUCUAACCACUGGUAGAAGGAAAUAAAACAAACACAAAAAAAAAAUCCAAAAAUUCAAACACGAAUUGAACUAUUUCCAGACCUCAAAAAGGAGGACGCCCAAUUGGUAAAUAUCAGAAGCACAGGAAGUCUGAGCACCAGAAAUCUCUUCCGGACUCGUGUACCAAUUGGUUUCCAUGAGCAAUAUCUCCUUCAUCGGAAAGGUUUGCUUCUUUUCUUCUGAUUGUUCAACACUUCUUCUAUCUGUACUUUUAUAUUCUUCUCUAUCUUCUACUAAUGUCACAUGUGUUGCAGAAACUGAACUUGAUUGCAUGCAACUGGUUUCUGAUAAUACAAUCUGAGAAGCAUUUGUUGGCAUUAUCGUGGGUAAAAAAUCUUCAUUUCCUGACCGGCUUUUCCGCAGAUGCAAGUCAUCAGGCAAAGAAGAUAAUCCAUUAUCCUCCUCGGUAUGGCUGUUCGACCCAUCCUCCAAAGAAUCAGAACCUGAAUCUGAGCAGGAUACUGACUCAAUAAAGGAAACAUGGUUGAAAGAUGACAUGACAAAACAGGAAGGCCUCACAUUAUUAACAACUACUCCUUGUGAAUGUGCUGCAUUAACAAUUUCUGCAAUUUGAGUAAAUAUGUGCAAACAUUCAAGCGCAUCAACUCUUCGUUCUGGUUUGUCCAACCAAUGCCUCAAGCUAACAUCACCCCAUUCUAUUGCCCGAACAAAAGGGUCCAAAGCUACAUCAUCAUCACAAACUUGAGAAAUACCGACCUGGUUUUUAUGGUUCUUAGUAUGAGACGACAGAACAUGAUCUCUCUCCUUCCUCCCAGAUAUAAAUCCAGAAUCAUGUGAUGCACCUCCAGACAAGCCAAUUCUAUUGGCAUGACGCUGCCUGGGAUUUCUCCCGUGCGAAACUAUAGAAACAUUCAAUCCCCUAGAAAUAUCAGAAUUACGCCAACCCGACUCAGAAGAACCCUCCAUUGUCAUCCACCUAUAGCUGAAUGCAAUCCAGAGCACACACAUCUAAAAAAUAGAGGAAUCCUCCUACUUCCACCACACUCUCUCACUUCCACCAUCACCAUUUUGUAUCAAAAACACAUUUCAGCGGCACCCACAAACCAGCUCCGCCAUCGAAGAAUUCCCUGCCGGGCACACAGACAUGGAUAAAUGAACUUUUGAGCAAGCAAUUUCCACCACAAACAGCAGCUCAUUCAACAAUGAUAGAAAAACUAAACAAUUCUUAAGAAAACAUUGAACCACCCAUCAAAUUAUAAGCAAAAGCACCGCCACCAAGAAAAAGCCCAUCAAAGAAAAUCAAAUAUACCAUAAACAUGGAGGAAAAAGAAAUGAAAAAUCAAACUUCCCCGUAAAAAAACUGUACAGUUUUAGACCCAAAGAAAGAUUACUAGCAGAAAAAACACAAGCACAAACACCAUCAUCAUCCUCAGAAACCCACCAAAGACAAUUAAGAUAAACCUAUGAAUAGUGCGAAGGGGAUAAAAGAGAAAAAAAUAGGAAUCACCACCAGCACGGUGACCCGCUUAAAACCCACCAAAAAAAAAUUCAUAUAAUCUAGAAAACUGAAAACAGAAUUAUCAAAUUACCCAUCAAAUAACAUACCCAUACACACAUAGAGAAGGAGAAGAGAGAAGAGAGAAGAGAGAAGAGAUCAGUACCGUAGCCAAGAGAGACCAUCUGUUUCCACACUCCCCCAACAUGUGAACAGAAGCACACGGGAACACCCAAAAACCAAAAAACAUUUUAUCCCACAACUUUACUCCACAGCCUCAUAUAUUCCCCAUUAUUUUCUCAAGACAAAAAACAAAGAAAUCUCACCCACAAAAAACCCACAUCCCCUUUUUUUUCUAAUCAAACCCCGAAAAUCAGAAAAAACAAAAAACAAAAAACAAAAAAAAAAUCAUCUUCCACGGUUCUACCAAGAAAUCUCCAACCCAUUUUCCAUCUAUCCAUGAACCCUCGAUGUCCACCAAAAAUCACUCUUUAUUCCAUUGAUUCUUUUCAAAAACCUCCCACACACCACACCCCUAUUUCAUUAUCUUCCCCCUAUUUUCCAUGUGGCCUACGUGGCGCAGCCGUCUCCUCUAAUUUGUCUCACAUCGGUACCAAACUGGGAAUUUCGCACACCAGUGGACCCAAAAAGGAAAUUGCCUCUUUUCGUGUGAAAUAAUAUAAAAUUAAACAAAUUUACCAUCGAAGCUGUAAACGCAGAGCUAUCAUUUCCUAAAGUGGAAAGGUUCAACUUGGGUCAAAAACAGUGGUCAAGAAAUUCAAACCAUAUCAAUUAAGGGAUUAAUUUAAUCCCCAUCCAAUCAUCCAAACUUAUGAAAGUAAUCAAUAUACAUAUAGUUUAUAAAUUUCAGAUUAUUUAAUACAUAACUUUCUCUGAAAGUAAUGCCACUUAUAUAAGAUAAUACAAUUGGUAGGGUAGGGAUAACUACAACAUUAGAAAACAUGCAUGUUUGGAUCAAAGAAUUGGGAUAAUUUCAUUCCCAAUAUACACUUAAUUAUCAUUAAUUUAAAUUUUUGUCAAAUAUCUUUUAUUUUUCUUUUAUCAUUUUCAUUUAUUUUCCUUUUAAUUUAAAAUAAAUAAAGUUUUUGAUAAAAUUUUGUACAACCCGUAACCUAAAGGAGCUUUUGUGACUUUAGAAACUCUCUCUUAUCCCAUAUGAGUCACAAUAUAAAUAAAAUUUAUUUUUAAGAAAUACAUGUAAAUACAUAAAACAAAUAUUCUAAGUUGUAAACAUAUUUUUAUUGUAGAAAACAUGGCUUACAUUUUCAAUGAUUAUUUGUUGAAAAUUGCUUCCAAAAGCCUUCCAAACAAACCCUAACAAUUUUCUUUUGAAAAUUGUAAAGAAAAAAUAUCUAUAAAUAAAUUUCAAGUUAAUAAAUUAUCUUUAUAUUUAUUUUUAAACUUAUGUUUUUAUUUUAUCUUUUGUAAAAAGAUUAAAUAAAUUAAAACACAUAAAAUUUUAAUUAAUUUUAAUUACAUUUAAUUUUUUUGUCGUAUAAAAUACUAUAAAUUAAAUAUGAAAAAAAAAAUCAUUUUCUUUAAUGUUUUUAGCUUCAUUUCCUUAAUAUCUUUCAAAUAUAUAUAUAUAUAUAUAUAUAUAUAUAUAUAUAUAUAGUCAUGAGACAAUUCUAAGUAAAUGAAAACCUUUACCACCUGAUAACUGUUUUAAAAAAUAAUUAUAAAAGCUAAUUUUUAAGAAUAAUUUUUUAAAACUAUUUUCUGGAUUUUUUAGAACAAAUAUUCCUUUGAAAACUUACAAUGUUUUUAAUUUAUUUUUAAUAUUUUUAAAUAUAUUUUAAAAAUAAAUUUUAUAUCUAAUAUUUUAUUUUUAAUCAUUUUACGUGUUUGUAUAAUUAUUUGUUAAAACAACAUUCUAAAAAUAAGUGAAAAUAAAAAAUAAAAAAUAAUUUUUAAUUGUCAAACAUGUUUUUUAUUCUUCAACAUAUUUUUAAAAGAGCUAAUAAAAAUUUGUAUAAAUAUAUUUUUAAAAUUUCUUAUUUUAGUUAUCAAUAUAAGCAUUUUUCUUAAUUAAUGUAAGGAAAUUUUUUUUUUCAUGAAAAUGGAAUUGAGUCAUCGUAAGACUCGCUAUAAUAGAUUGAAUAACACCCCAGUAUGAUUGAUAUUUUAAAUUUCGGGAUUGAACUUUAUUGCAAGAACACUUCCCAAACAGAGCCUUGAUUUUUCAACAUGUCUCCAAGACUCGACCAAAACAAGGGUACCAACAGAGCUAGGGUCAGUUUGGCAGAGCUUUAACUCAUUCUCAAUCAAGUGUUUCUUUGAAAAGAUUAGCUGAGAUUGGCAGGCAGUCAGAGACCAUGGUCACAUAUAUAAUGUAAGUCUCUGUUUGGAAAUGGAUAAGAAUUCGGCAUGGCUAGUGUAAUUGAUAGUUUUGCUUGUCCUAUCAGAAGCCGGAACAAAAGGAAUCAAAAUUGGGUAUUUGAGGGUAAACUUCAAGGGCCGACUCUCACUUUCUACAAAAGGGGGAACGAAAGGAAGUGGAUAAAAUCCCAUUCAAAGCCUGGUUCUGGGUAUGAGAAGAAUUCUUAGUUUCAGUAGUGGAGUCAUGUAAGAGGUACCAAAAACAGAAUAAGAUUGAUGCAUUCGGAAUGAUGAGAGCAACUAAAAUACUAUCUUCAUCAAUUUCAUAUUUCACAUAUUCUCAAGAGCUUAUGGCUAACGAUUAGCUCUACAAGAAUGGCUCAUUAUAGAGACUGCAGUUGCAGAGUGAAAAUAGAAUACAUGUAAUAAAUUGCAGACAGAGAGAGGUUUCCAAGUCUGCUUAGGCCUUAGCUAAGAAUGGCCACCAGCCACCUUUCACCAAACACCCCCUAUACAACCCAACAUUCCCCAUCCACACACCCAGUUACUCAUAUUUGGCAAGGGAACUUACCGGCUACAUAUUUCUGAAAUGGUCUCUUUCAUUGACAAAAGCUUAUCUUCAUCUGGGUUAAUCCAGCUCAACGACCAGAAACAAAUAAAGAAUUGGCUGAUAUUUUGUUCCCUUCAACCUGAACUUUUCUGAGUUUUUCCCUGUCUAGACGUGCUCGUCUUUCAGCAUCUUGUAUCUGGCGGUCAUGGUCCUUUAGCAUCUGAUCCACCUUGCCUGAGGGAACAAGUAGUGGGCCAGAGUAGUGAAUCUUGUGACCCUUUGACCCAUACCCAAGCUGGAGAAAAAUGUUAAGGUCAAGAACCAUGUAUCAGGCACUAAAAAAACACAUGAAUCAGAAUGAAGUAAGCACUUCUAUUCUUGCAGAGAGUGGUUGGCAAACAAAAAAAAGAGAAAAAAUUAAUAAGUAAAUAAAUGCUCGACUCGGUUUCAGGAUUCAGAAUUGUUGAUUCUUCCACUUCCCAUAAUAGCAGCAUAUAUAACCAAGAAACAAUGUAUAUGUUUACCCAAACAUUGUAAAAAUACAUUGCUACUUGACUUCUUUGGUGAUCAAAUAAAUUUGUUAAAAAACAAUAAAGGACCAUAGGAUUGGAGAUUUUUGUCUCGAGAUACAGUAGAAAUGACGAUGUGUGAAUGCAGCUAGUUAAUGAUAAGCAUGUUUCCAAGACCCAAGAAGUUUGAUUAGAAAAUUUAUUUAAAAAGACAGCAUAUGUCCAACUACUUACAAGAACUGGAUCUUUGCUGGUCAUUCUUCCAUCUUCUUUCUGAGUACAUCUGCCGGCACCCUGCAUUUGAUGCUUCUGAUCCUGCUGUAUUGUGGAUUCUGAGGCCUCCUUGAAGGAUCCUGGAAACCUGACUAUUAGUUUUGAGACAUCUGGUUGUGAUGAACCAGACUUUUCUCUGCGAUCUUCAGACAACAAGCUCCUCCUGGCUGCUACUAAACUCGACAUGGUUGACAAGUCGGCUCCAGUCGAAACCUUUGGAGCAUCAUCCAGGUUUUUCCCAGCCUUUGCCCACACAGCCCGGUGAGCCAGUGGGCCUGAAUGGGAGGCUCUCUUAUGAAGAGGGCCUUGGGUAUCUAUGCUUCCAUCUUCUAUAGCUUGAGACGGCCUAGGAGGGUCUAUUGGAAAACCAGAAGCAACUUCUUCUGGAUGAGGAUUGAACUUCUCACUCCGGCUCUUCGAAUUGGACUGACCUUGUCUUUUCUGCAAGAUGACCAUUUUCACCACCAUAAAGGUGAAAAAGAAACCAAAAAGAAAAAAAAAAAAAAAGAUUUAACAACAAAAAGCAAUGAGAGAUUGAAAGAGUGGCUGAUUUAUGUUGAAAUCUCAAAAAGACUUGGGUAAAUGUUAAGGAAACUACAAUAUCAUGAGGGCAGUGAUCUCACCUUACUAAAUAGCUAUAUCUACCAAACAUGAAAAUUAUUGAGUACGAAAACAGAACUUCAUUCACUUUACAGAACAACCUAAUCCAUAAAAAUAGGAAUGCUCCCUAAUUAAAAGAAUACAAAUAUUUUGACCAAAUUUCUAAGUGAAAUAUCACCCCGCCAGUUAUAACAAAAUGCUCUGUAUUUUUUAACUAACAAAAGUUGUAACAUAUGCUCUUUAUAUGGUCAUUAUGAAAUCAUAAUAAAAAACAAGACAUUGGGAGUUUUCUGACAACCACUCCAACCUCAGAUACUGCAUUCCUUUUUUUUUUCUUUUUUCUUUUUGACAGUCAAAAAAUAGAAUAAAUAUAUCGAUAUAAAUAUCUAAUAAAAGCAGAGGUGCAAACCCCUAUAUAGAUACAGCAUCCAUUUCCUCUUUCCAUCCCUCUAUAUUCUUCGCAUUCAAAUAGAGCAUAAAAGAACAAAAGAUUAUUGACAUGUAGCACUAGCUUAAGAUUGGUCAUAUAGCAACUAGAAAUUGGUAGUUCUCAUCACCAUCUUUCUCUUUUGCUCAUGCUAAUUCUUACAGAGGAACAUAUUCACCAGAUUACAAGAUCAAUUUUUCUACUUGGCACCAACAAAAAGUUGCAACUCAAUUUCUACUCAGAAACUGACUGAUCCUCAACAUGAAUAUGGCUCUACAAAAAACCUUGAUACCUCUCGCAACCUAGAAGACCCCCUCGGUUUAUCGAUUCAUGAAAUUAGCAAGUUUUUUUAAACAAUCCACUGUUUCAGUCUAGCUAGAAAUAAAUUAUAAAAAAUAAUUUUGAAAGAAUUUUUGUACAAACUGUAAUGCUAAAUUAAAACCUCUCUAUGCACAUGCAGCCCAAGUUUUUUGCAAUGUUUGAUGUCACGGGAAGAGAGUUAAUGGGAAAAUAAUUUGGAUGGAUUAUGGCAUUUGUACCUUGUAAAAGAACAUACAUGACCCAAUAUUUAGAAACAGCCCAAGUUACCUGCAUUGACAGGACUAAUUCAGCAUUGGCAUCAGGUGCUGGAACCGCUCGAGACUCUCUUAUUCCUUUCCUUUCAUGGUCAAGUCUCUGGCCCUUUCCUGUUGCUCCUUGUCUACAAAUGAUAAUAACAAGAACAAGUUUAUCAGUACAUACACCACUCUUUCUUUUUCUUUUUUCCUUUUUUCCUCUCUCUUUUUUGAUAGGCAAAUGUAUGAUUUAUUUCCUUAGCAGUGGCUGGAGCAUAAAAAAGAACAUGUCGAAGUAGCAAAUGCAACAAACAUAUUAUCUUCCUAAUAAUGCAUUAUAAAAUGAAGCCAAUAGAAUCACUAAAAUCCAACAAAUGGAUUGAUAAGUAGUAUCAGCAAUUGAAGGGGUAAUAGCUAAAAAAUUUAAAUCCUAAAUAUCAGUAAUAACAAGUAAAUCGCAUCUCUAGAAUGAGCAUCCAAUCUGACAUAAUAGUGACUGCUUCACAAAAUGACAGCAUCAUUAUCUUAUCUGCCAAAUAUUAUCAUCAUAACUGGGCAAAGUGGUUUUAAUACAGUUACCACAGCCUGAUUCUGUCAGAAUGAAGAUGUAAAAACAGGCCGCCUCUAUAAAUGUCACAUAGAUGCCACUUAAGCAUUAUUCAUUUGGGAAGCCAAAGUAUGGCUCCACUUUCAAACAGGAUUAUAUUAUGUAGAAAAACAGGGUGCCUUAAGUAUACUUAAUUGUUAAACAUCACCAUAUGCACUCAAACCAUCUAACAAUAAGUACCUUCUAGCUUCUUCAUCUCGUACUUUUGCAUCAAACUCUUUGCUGGGAGGAUACUUAGGCAAGCUUGAAGGAUCACAAGGAAGUGGCUUUACUGUAAAGAACUGGGAAACAUAAAUCAAAACAAGUCAAGAACUACUACAAGAGAGAGAGAGAGGAGAGAUCAAUUAAAAAAGAAGGAAAGGGCUCCCAAAGGACCCAAUUUCUCCAGAAUUUCAUACCUCACUUUUAAGAGCAGAGGCUGCAGAUCCACGAUCAGCAGGAUCUAUGGAAAGAAGUGUUUCCAUAAGCCCUAAUGCAGGUGUAGGAAAGUCUUUAAAUGUUUCUGCAACACAGCGCCUAUAAGGCUGUUGGGGCUUAAAUAUGGUUGCAUGUGGCAACUUUGAUUUUCUCCAAUAAUCCUCAGAUGGAGAGCCACAAAGCUUGAAAAUUUUAUGCAACUGUUCCACCUACAAAGGAGAAGAACCAAACUUAGUGAGGACAUGCUAAAGUUGAAGUAGAUGGAGAUGUUACUUGAUUAGUGGCAGGCCCAACGGAAUAAUUAAAUAGAAAGAAUGGGGGCAUAGAUUCAAAAUUCUUCAAUGAAGAUAAGCAAAAAUAGAAUGAACAGACACACAAUAGAAUAUAAGAAUGAAAAUUUUUCCCUUCAAUUCGUUAGUUAUAAUGAGCUAGACUAUAAUUUAAACCAGCCCACAUCCUAUAGAGUCCACAGCUGCCAACUCCACCAUCUCCACCAAUAAUAGCACCCCCACUAACAGAAGCAUCCUUACCAUUAUCAACCACCAGCCACUGUAUUGCCACCAUGUCAACCCAUAACAUGAACUUCCUUCACCACCAGGCAACCACCACCAACCAUCAUACUACCAGCACCACCAACAUUGCACUACCUCUAAGCCCACUUCCCACCUACACACCAUCACAACCUUAGUUGUUAAAAUCCUACAAUGUACCAUUCACAACCUAUAAUUGCAAAGUGAAACUCAACUGGAUUAUUUGAUUCCAGAUCUAAACCGUUUUUUUCCAAGAACUACUUCAAACCCCUCCUUAAUUUUACAAUGAUAUAAAUCCUAACUGCCAUCAAUAAUUCUGACUUUAAUUGAAAGCCAAGUGGCAUUGUUUUGUAUAAAAUAAUAGACUCUAAUUCUCUCUUCUUCUUUUUUUUUCAACUUUUUCCUUUUUAUAGCAAGAACAUGGAUUAAUUGACAAAACUGCAUGUUCAUGCUAAUAAAUUGUAAACUCCAAACACUGAAAUCCAUUCCUAGUGUCCAAUGUGAAAUAAUUCCAAAGCAACUUCAAUGUAAAGUGAUGAACCCAAAGAUAAGCCAAGUCUUUGGAAACUAUCUCCAAUUUGCACCAUAAUCUGCCACAAUUUUUGCAUUUUGGAAACCUUUCCAAACAUGAGAAUCUCACUUUCAAUCUGAAAUGUAUAACGGAAAUUUUCAUAAUGAUUGAGGCACUGUUUCACAGUUUAUAAAUGUGAUAUAAAAAAUCUUCUAUGCAGAUUUUGUAGCACUAGAAACUUCAAGGUGUUGCAAGGGAAAUUCAUCACCCAGCAGGGUAAUUGAGGGCAAGUUUGGGGCUUGGACUUUAUCGUUUAAAAUCACAUAGGUAGCAAAUUCAGGGUUCAGCUAUAAGUUAGCAAACUUCAGCUGGAUUGUUGAGCCUCAUUUUCAGUGAGACUAAAAAAAAUUAGUGAUUAUUAUAACAUGUUAUCUAACACAAAUUAAAAUGGAAAGUUUCAGUGUUCAGCACUAGUUUGCCAUCAAACAGCCAUUAAGAGUAAACCUCUUUUCCAACAUUUUAGUCAUGAUCCUGAGAUGAAUGUCACCAUUUUUUGUUUUUUUCUUUUUUUUUUCAUAUGCCUGAAAGUAACCAGGUAAAAUCAGACUCAAUUACUGUUAGUAUUUUACAUCCAAUAUUAUGUUCAAAACAGAACUCUAAUAACAACAAAUGCUAGGUAUUUUUUCCAAAGAGAAAAAAUCUGUAGAUUGCACAAUCAUGAUUCCAUGAAUAACAGGCAGUACUCUGCACAUCUUGUGGGAAAUAGAUAAGCAUAAACGAUACCUCUGUUCUUCCUGGCAUUAUAGGCUUGCCAGCAUAUAGUUCAGCCAGUAUACAACCAGUGCUCCAUAAAUCCACAGCAGUCCCAUAGUAAGUGGCUCCAAGUAAGAGCUCAGGUGGCCGGUACCAAAGUGUUACCACACGGCUUGUCAGUGGCUGGAUUUGAUGGGGAUCAAAAAAACUUGCCAAACCAAAGUCUGCUAUCUUCAAGAUGCCACUGUUGUCAAUUAGAAGGUUGGAACCCUUUAUAUCACGAUGCAAAACACCACGGCUGUGACAAUGAUCAAGUCCACGUAAAAGUUGCUGCAUAUAACAUUUAACCUGCCAAUAUAUAAAUAAAACCUCAGAGCUUGCAUAUCAAAGUAAACAAACAUAGAUUAAGCUUAAUAUAAAAUAUUACUGGAUUUAUCAAGAACACUUUACACAUAAGUGCUAUUUUCAAAUUUUGCUAAUGUAAAAUCAUGUGAUGGCAGUGAUGCUAACACUAAGAAACCAAACUUGUAGAAACAUCAAAUUGAAUUACAGUUGUAGCCUUAUAAAAAUGGAACUUUGAAGUAUAAAUCAUAAUGUAAAUUACAACUAUUUAAUGAGACAAAGCUUGCACAAAUACCUGUGGUUCUGUAAACUUGAGACCAGGGUGUGAGGCGAGACCUGCUAGAUCAUGUUCCAUGUACUCAAAAACAAGAUACAAGCUGCAAGACAUCCUUGAUGUGACUAGACCUUCCAGUUUUAUUAUAUUUGGAUGAUCAAGCCUGCGCAGAACGUGAAUUUCCCUUGCCAUAAAGCGGACACUCUCUGGCUCCAGGUUAUCAAACCUAACUUUCUUCAAAGCAACAAUUUUCCGUUGGUCCAGAUCACGAGCCCUGUAAACAUUACUGUAAGUUCCCUGGCCAAUCUGCAGAAAAGAAGAUCUCAAUAAAAAGGAAUCCAAAUUCAACCAAUAAUUAGCGUCCACAUAAAGAGAAACACUGGAGAACAAGACAAGAAUGAUCAUAUCAACCAACCUAAUCCUUGUCUAAUCCUGUGAAAUAAUAUAUCAGAUUCUUAGAGGUCCAUACCACCUAAACAAGAGAUGGAUAAAGAAUCAAUGAACACAAAACCUAGUUCCAACCAUAAGCUAGACAUGGUCGUUAACUUAUUCAAAAGCUCGAGGUUUGAAGAGCCAUUGCUCAGGGAAUGGCUGAGGAAGCCAUAUCCCAAAAAUUUGGGGACAAGUAAAUGAAUCUUUUUUUGUCAAUUAGAAUGCAACUUGCAGGAUUCAUGUGGGCAAAGGUUUGACUCAAAGUGGUAAAAUUUCAGGAUUCCUAUUAAUAUUGUUAAUCAUCUGGUUAUUUUUGGGGCUCUACUUCUGAGUUUAAAGGUGAUGAAGAAAUCAGCUAACCAAGCCUUACAGAAGAGGUAGAAAGGUACUGGGCAUCACACUUUUGGAAGAGAUAGUUGAACUCUCAUUCGCAUUACACCUAAGCAAUCUUCCAACAAAUUUUUAUGUCACUUAGCUGUAAACGGAGCACAAGUUCGAACAAGUCCAAUGCCACUUCUUAUAGGUGGUUGAAGUGUUGUUAAAACACUACCUCAUUCACUAGAAAACCAUAUGUCCACCUAAGGACGAUAUGGAAGAAAUUCUAACCCUCACAGAAUAUGGAGAAAAGUUCAGAGGGGUGCCAUGGGAUGAGACAGAGAGGUUCCAUAGAGGAUGUUUCAGAUGCAGACGCUGUGGAGUUCAAAAGCACUAAACUGAUUAAUUUUGCAGAGUUAUAAGAGAGUGUCAUAGAGUGUAGAUAGGAGAUUUUAAAAAGGCAACAUACUUUUCCUUGGAUAAGGAGUCUAUGUCUUCUUAGAAUCCAAUAUAAUAUAGAAAUGCUUCUUUAAAGUCUCAAUAACCAGAACUAUUCAACAUUUGUAGGAGAUUCAAUGCUUUGGUGGAGGCUUAUGUUGGGUGGCAAGAUGGAAGAAGCUUUAAACUCCAAUUAACUUCCAUUUUAAUGAGCUACACUCCAUAAAUGUGAGCAGGAUUAGAAACAACACUUUGUGCAAGAUUCUCCAUUCAAACUUUCUCUGGGAUUUGUAACCUAGGUCAGAUGAAAGAUUUAAAAUAGAGGCAAAAUUUCCUACCCUUUAAAAUCAAAUUCUUUGUUCAGACAGGUGAUGAGAACAAGCUUUGACAGAUUGAUUCCUAGCAGAUAAGUGAUUUGAGAAUCCAUAUAGAUGUGUCACAUGUAUAAAGGAAGCACUCUUAGUCAGCUUCUUAUCCUCAUUCAUUGUUCAUUUGCUUGUAAGUUAGGCAAUUUAUUUUUUUCUCCCUUUGAGGUUUUUAUCAUCUUUCCAUUCACCUAGGUUGAGCAAUUUUGUAAUUAACAAAUUCAAACUUUGAUUGGUGAGACUUUUUUAUAGGUAAAUUUUUGUUCCCAUUGGGGCUUGAACCUAGAACCUCCCACAAACCCUUCCUAUCCCUUGACCACUUGAGCCAGGCCUCAAGGGCAACUUUGAUUGGUGAGACUUGAGACAUCCUAGUUUAUCAAUCUGCUCUACUUUACAUUAUGGAGAAAAUUUUGUAGAAAUAAAAAGAAAGAACUUCAAGAACUAUGAGCUUCUUGCCUCUAAAGUAGACUUCAAUCAGAAUGCCCAGCUUUUAUUGAAUUAACAAAACCUUACAGUCCCUUUCUACUUUAAUCACCCAUCAUCUACGUCAGUUGGCACCCACCGGGUGACAUGGGAUUCACCACCAUGGAAAGCAGCUGAUUUAACUGGACCCAAAAAAAAAACCUCUCCUAUGAUAUAACAAGGUAAAAAUUUGGAUGGUCAUAACAUUAAAGGUUGCCUGAUUUCAACAUUUUAUUUACUAACCUUAUAUAUUGAAAAUUAAAAAAAAAUAAAGAAGGAACAAGAAGAAUCGGAGUGAUUCUUGCACUAUUAAGCAUAUUAUAUUUUUCUCAUUAACAGUAAUUAAAGCAUUGUGAUCACAUUGAGGUAUAUAUGGCUGGUAAGUCAACUAAGGAAAAUUUCAAUUUCCAAGUUUUAGUACCCUACUGUUUUAGUCCUCCCUAAAACUCUCAUUUACAAUACCCAUACAUCUAUAAGCACAUUUUUCAACUAUCCAGUUAGCAGAAAAUGGAGAAAAAUGUUUUUCAUGUGUUCGAUACAAUUCAACUAACUACAUAAAUUCUUCCACGUUGAGUUUAAGAUAGGACAGUAUUUACUGAAAUUGAAACCCGACCACUAUUUUAAGUGAUGGCAUAAUCCUAAGCAGAAAGAUCGAUCAAAUUGAAAGAAUUCAUUUUCAUAGUAAGCAUUCUCAUGAUACAUAAUGCAGGUAAUUUCGCAAUUGAAUCAAGAAAGAAGCAUACUUUAUCUAGUUUCUCAAAAGAAUCGGCCCGCCUUGGUAACCAUCCCCUUAUAGCUUCUCCAGCCACUGCAGAUAACCAAGCAGGCCAACCGGCAGCAACCUGUUCUCCUUCCAUUGCUUUCGGGAUACUCCCCAAUCCCGGAUGUUGGGCAACAACAUAUUCACCCCUCUCCCUCUUCCUCUCAACGUUCUCACCAUGCAACCGAACUGAACCAUUAGCUUGCUUUUCAAUCAGCAUUGUCCUCCCAUCAUUACUAUCAAACCUAUCUUUUACACGAUAAGCUUCCUCUCUCCGGGAGGAGGCUGGCCCCGCCACCCGCAGGUUUGAUGAUGCCUUACUCGACAACCGCUCUCUUGGACUCUCCCUACUAUCCUCAAUGGCAGAAGGCUUACAACAAAUGCAACCCAUCAUGCCCCAAAUCAACCUCAACAAAACCCCCUUUCACAAACAAAAAUCACCGCCCAAAUCCUCCACAUUCACGCUUUCAUCCUCUUCCAUGCCUUCUAUUACCAAAACAAUCCAAGAAAAUUAAUCAACUAAAACCCAAGAUUCAAACUCACACUCAUCUCAUCCCAACUACACACAACUCAGUAACCAAAAUGCUCAACACCUCGCAAUCCGCUGAUUCACAACUAAUGAAACCCCAAAACCCCUUAAUUUUUCAAGAAUCUAAACCCCAAAUCAGCAACAAUGAUACAGAAAAAAAUACAUAGAGGUAAGUAACCUGUGAAUGAUUACGGUUUUGGAGCAGAAAACAAAACCAAAUCAAGAGUAGUGAAGGAAGGACAUUGGAAACUCUAGAGAGUGAUCUGGGGUUAGGGUUUGGAGAGAGAAAGACAUGGAUCUAGGGCUAGGCAGAGGGGAGAGAGAUUUGACAGACAAGUAAUGCAGACAAGUUAAGGUUUUUUUUUUUCCCUUUUUUUUCCUUUUGCUUUUUUUCGUUUGGAGGGGAGAAAAUGUGGAUUUAACUACUCGCAAGCGCGUAUGUAUAGUUGGAAACUGGGAAGACGGCCUGUCGCGGCAGCUUUCAGGCAAGAGAAAAAUGUAAUUGCGACAUUCUCCCCUGCUCUUAACUACCAGGCGCACAUGAAAACGCGUUUGUUACACUUUCUUUAAUUUUUAAAAUUCUCAUUUUUUUUUCUUUUUUUUAUGGUGACUGAUUUCCAAUUAUUAUUGUUAGUUAUAGUCAGGAAAUCGGAGAGAAAAUAAUGAAUAAAGAAAAAUAAAAUAAAUGUAAAUCUAAUAAAUUAUUUUAUAUAAUAUUUUAAAUUCAUUUAAUUUAUUUUUAAAAAAAUUAUAUAAUAAUUAAAUACUAUCAUGGAUACUUAAUUUUUUUUACUUUUUUUAAUAUUUUUUUUUUUAGAACUAUAUACAUAAUAAUAAUAAUAAUAAUAACAAUAUUAAUAAUGAUGAUAAUAAUAACAUGUGACCAAGGGAUUGAGUCAAUAAUGAACUCUGACAAAUAAAAGGACAUGCACCUACCAAUAUGGGUCCUAUGUCCCAAUUCAAAGUAAAAAUUUAAUUUGAUAAGAUAUUUAUUCUUUCAAAUGAAUAAUGUUAGAGUACUCACCCUACAUUAACAGGGAAAAUUUUUUGUUGGAUGAGAGGGCUUGUUUUAUUCUAAUAAAAACAAAUUUAAUUUUCUUAAAAUAUAUAUUUUUUAGUCUAAAUAGUUAUUGAUCUCGAGGUUUAAUGAUUAAAAUAUAUGACUUUUAAUAAAAUCUAACCGAUGAAACUCAAUUUUUUACUCGGAAGUAAUAUUAUUUUAUGUUUAAAUAAUCUUGUUAUUAGCUUAUAUUAAUUCACUUUUGCAUCAAUAAAUAGUAAAUACCCUUGAAUAGUUUUUUUUUUUAAUGAAAAAAUAUAAUUUAAAAUACAUUUGUCCAUGAAAAUUUGGAUGCCUGCAUUAAGUGAUACCUUGCUUCAAUUCAAACUUCCCACAUGGCAUGUCUUUUUGUUGAAUUAUUUAAAAAAAAUAUUUAAAAAAAAAAACCUAUAAACUCACUACGCGUGGUUCACGCGCUUGCAGAGGGGUGUGAGGCUUGAGUAAAAAGUUGGGUGGUUUUUGGUAAAGGAGGUCGUUGUGUUUUCCUUGGCUUUUAUGAGUCCAGUUCAUUAAUAUGGUUAGGUGAGAGAAUUACGGUACUGUUCACUCACACGGAAAAUGUCAUCCCAUGUGGUGGGCCCUAAUCCAGAUUCGGUGCAGAUGCUCUAAUCUUGCGGUUGCGAUUCACCUGACGCCGAAAAAAUAAUCACGGCCGUUAGAUUGAUGGAUUUGUUUCAGAUAUCAGUACGUGAUGGGACCCACAAAAAUUAUUUGGGUUGAAUUGAGAUCGAGCCGAAAAAUAAGCGGAUAAGAUUCUACUUAAUGGACGGCCAAGAUUCACUGUGUGGGGACAUAGGUAGUCAAACUUGGUCAGGGUAGAUGAUCAGAUGCGGCACAUCUUCCAUCUUUAACUUGCGUCAGGGUCAUUCCACCAAUCAUAAAUUUUGAAACUAAUAAUAAUUAGUUGAGGAUAAUUGAUUAAAAUUAACCCAAUUAAAAUACAGUAAGAUUCUUCCCCAUUUUGUCUAGCAAAGAAUAUUUAUCUAUAUUUAUUUUUUGUUAAAUUUAUUAGGUAAUUUCAUUUAUGACCAUAAUUAAUGAUAAAAAAGUACAAGACAUUGAAUAAUGUAUAAAUAAACGAGACAAAUAUAAAUAAAUUAAACCAACUGUGUAGAAUAAUAUGACAAACUUAAAUAUAAAGUAUAAAUUAUAUAUACACGGUGCUAUAAUUAGUUUCAUGUUUUUUUAUAUUUAAAUAUAUUAAAUUAAUAUUAUAGUGAAACCCAUAAUAUAUAUAAAAGAAAAAUAUAAAUAAAAAGAAUAUAUAAUUAAAAAAAUAAAAUAAAAGUAACAAAUAAUCGAAAUAAAAAAAAUAAAAUUAAAGUAUAACAAAAUAAUAAGAUUAAGAUAUAAAAUAAUACAUCGACUUGAACACAAAGCGAUGAGGUAUAAAUUGCAUGUGUAUUAUGGUAUAAUUAGUUUUUUCUACCUUUAUACUUAUUAGAUGGGGAAAAAGUGUCUCAUUCCAAACCCCAAAAGCAAAGUAUAAUGCCCUACUUUUAAACAAUGAAGAUGACCAAAAUCACCAUAUAGGGGGGAUGAGGGAGGGAGGGAGGGGAGAGGGAGAGGGAGAGAGAGAGAGAGAGAGAGAGAGAGAGAGAGAGAGAGAGGGAGAGGGAGAGAGGGGGGGAGAGAGAGGGAGAGAGAUAAAACUUGGAAAAUGCGCAGGAAAAAGGUGUCCCAUAUCCAAUUAAUUAUGAAGAGAUAUGCAUAUAAUGAUAGAUGUAUGAAAUUUAUGGCAUGCCCUGUCUCACUGAGACAAUAAAACAAGUGAAUGGGGUCCAUUGACUCAGCCAUACUUUUUGUUUGCUCCUACCUACACCCUCCAUGUUUCCAUCCACCCAAGCACUGCCAUUUCCCUUCCACUUUCUACUUUACCACCUUCUCCCUUUCCUUUUUUUUUAAUAAUAAUCACACAUUGGGAAGAGAGGAGGACAGCAGCCAAUGCCGGGCCCUGCUUAAUCUCCUCUUUGUGUUGUGCUCUUCUUCUUCCUCUUGUUGCUCCAUUGUUUUGGCCUUUUCCACUUAGUUUUUUUCUUCAAUUAUUACUUGCUUUUCUUGAGGUUUUUGUGUAUUGGAAGAAUCUUUAUUGAUAUUUCCAAAAUAAUAUUAGCCUUUUUUUUUAUGAUUGACUCACAUUAUUAAAGAGAUGUUUUUCCUAAACUUUACCAUAUAAUAUAUUGGAUAAUGUAGACAAAAAAUAUCUCUGUCAUGGAUUAUUGAAAUGAUAUGUGGCUGUUUACACUUGAAAGGAGUUGAAGGUGAUGGGAAUAAAAUAAAUGUAAUUUAAAAAAAAAUAGGUGGUGAAAAAUGUGAUAAACAUGAGCAAAUAAUUUGUAUUUUUUGUUUUAUCAACAAACCUAAUGUUGGUACGGUUCCUAAUAUUGAGCUAAGUGAGUUUAGGUUAUAUGUGUAUAUAUAUAUAUAUAUAUGAAUUUUAUAUAUAUUUAACAACAAAUAAACUAUUAAAUAAAGGUUCUCAUUACAAUAUCGAAUCAAUACGUAUAAAAAUUGAUGAAUCGGGAUCACGACAUCAAUUAGAAAUUGUUAUGUUUAUGAUACAAAUCUAAAUGUUUUGUAUUCAAAUUUGGUUUCAUUAUUUUGUAUAUCAGUCACAUUCUUUUGUACCUUGAUUCUAUGCAUAUGUAACUUCAUUCAAUUGCUUAAAUUCCAUUGUACAAUUUCAACCGUCUACUUUACAUCUUGUUAAGUAUCGAUUCAAUAUCCUAAAAUUUUCCUUAACUAGAUGCAAGGUUAAAUAACUCAUUACAAUAUAUAUCAAUAUAUAUAAACAAGGGAUGAAUUAGGGUAACAUUAAUUAGAAAUUGUCACAUAUAUGAUGUAGAUUUCAUUGUUUUGUAUUCAAACUCGGUUUCAUUAUUUUGUACAAAGGUUUCAUUCUUUUGUACCUUAAUUCUCUGUAUUUGUAACCUCAUUUAAUUGCUUAAAUUUUACUAUUCAACAAUCUACUUUACAUCUUGUUAUGUAUUGAGUCAAUAUCCUAAAUUUUCCUUAAUUCAAUGCAUGUUAGAUAAAUGUACAAGUUAUCAGCUUGCAUUUAAUAUGCAUCUAACAAUAAAUUAGUCAUCAAAAUUCCAAAACAAGUGUCAAAAUGUAUUAAAAAUAAAUUAAAAUCAACUUAGACAAAUUUAUUAUUUAUUUUUACCAUUGAUAGAGUCAUCUAUUAAUAUUAUAAAAUAACGAAAUGAUAUGCAUCAUGAUGAUGCGUAGGCAAAUCCUACAUAUUCAUGUAUUUAUUUUUUCUAAAAAGUCUAAUGAUUAAACAUGUACUUUGCUGGAUGAUGGUCCAACCAUCAAUCUAUCUUCUUAGCAAACAAUACAUGAAUAUUUAUGAAGUAAUAUAUAUUCAAUAGUGAUGCUCUUAUGAUUGUUUUAUUAAUUAAUGCAUCAUUGAAAACUCGGUAGACUUAAUUGAUCAUAUCAAAACAUAAAUAUCUUUGGAUAUGUAAACUCCAUAUUCACUUAAACAUAUAAUUCAAUAGACAUUAUGGUAAAGUUAAAAGAUUUUAUAUAUAUAAAUAUAUAUAUAUAUAUAUAUAUAUAUAUAUUCAUAGUUUCUAAUAACCAUUUCUAUUUUCAGAACCUUAAAUCAAGUUUAUAAUAUCUAAUAUAGUACUUACAAUAGCUUUUGCCAAUGUCAAAAUUAAAGAAGUAUCUUUUACCUCAAAUAAUUAUGUACGUGGUUGUAUAGUUUGCAAUACACAUCGGUUUUUUUUUUUUUAUACCUUGAAACUUAAUAACUUAGGGAUUUUUGAUAUACUAAAAUUUGAGUGAAGAAGUUUAUAAGACAAAAGGUAAAUAAUGACGUAGUGAAUCUAAUAACAAUAUAUAAAGUAACAUGAGUCAAUGCUAGUAUUUUCACCAUUGAUUAAAAAGUAAGAUUUUUUUACUAAGACAUCCAAAGAAAUCAUCAUGGCAAGAAUAUACCAUCCGUGUUAAAAUUCUUUUCUAUCUCUUUUGUUUUUACUUCUAUUCAAAGUUGAUAAAGGUUGACCAAAUGUUUGGAUAGAAGAUAAGUAUACAACCAAUAUCCUUUUAUGCACGCCUAUAAUAAUUAUUCUCGUGAUCUUCAAUAGGUUUACCCACUUUUGGUGGUGCGAUGUAAUAUUAAUUUUUUGAAAAUUUUGAGAUAUAAUCAUGGUAAGCACCAUAGUAUUGAAAUUUUUCUUCCUCGACUAUGACCACAUCUUUAUCUUCAUCCAUGUCUACUAUAUAGAAUGAUUUUGCAUUCACUUCAUGAAAUGGCACAAACCAAUUCAAUGAGAUUCAUCAUUUAUUAUCAAAAACUUGUUAUUUUGUUAAAAAGAACAAGAAAAUAUGAUAUCUAUUUAAGAGUAUUUUGUAAAUGUAUGAUAUUUGAUAUCGUUGUUGUAGGAGCACCUUUGAGUCGAGAAACGUAGUAAAAGAUUUUCUAAUAAUUUUUCUUUUACACAACUUUAAUUGAGACCCAAUUUUGAACAAUGCGAAGUUAUACACGUGUACUCAUUAACAACUUUGACAGCUUACAACCUCAAGUUGUAGGAGUACCAAUGGGGCGUGAAAUGUAAUAAAAGUUUUUUUUUUUAAUAAUUAUCAUAUGGUUGUUAUUUUAAUAUAGUUACAACAUGUAAAAAAUUUGUGAAAAUUUUGGUUAAUCAUACAAGCAAAAGAAAGUGUGAUAUUUUCUUAACAUGAAGAGUUUAUUUGAUCAUAGGAUUUAAAAAUAGUUUUUAAAAAUAAAAUCAAAUAUUGAAUAUCGAAUAGUUUUUAGAUAACAAGUAAAAGUAGGUAACUUGAAUAAUCGCUCUCUGAGAAAGGAUAGGAACAAUGCCAGACCAAUGGGGCCAUCUGAAGCCAACAGGGACUUGAGCAUAGAUGGGGGCAUAUAUCUCUUUCAUGCCUAAUGGACUUGGGCACGUUUUCGAAUUCCACUUAAACCAAAUGAGGUGUAAGAAAAAGGAUGUGUGCCCAAGGCCGAAAAAAUGUAUUCUUGGCUCAAAGCCCAAUCAAAACCUUCUAAAAUGACUCAGGAAGAAGGAACACAGGAAUCCAAGGGUGAAGGGAACAGCAAAUGAAACUUCCAAGCAGGUUUCCUCUACUAGAAAGGAAAAGCAUGUCAUCCUAGGCUAUAACCAGAGAAGGAUGAAGUCUUGAUCAGUAACUUAAGUGGAGGAGGAGGAGGAGAAGCAUUGCAACAGUUGUGGAAGACAGAAAGGAUGAAUCAUUGAAGAUUAAAGAGGGGAAAAAACCCAAAUAUAUUAAAAUAAUAAUCAGAAUAGAUGUACUGUUCAUCCUCCCUUUCCAUCCUUCAAAUGACUCUGGCCUAAAAAAAUCUUUGACAUUCACCUGGGACGUUGUCGAGAAUAAGUUAAAGAAACAACAGAAUCAGAUAGUAAAACAAGAUAUCAUGAUUUUGAUUUACAAAUCAAGCUAAAAGCAUGACCUCCAAUCUUCAUCUUGGAAAACUUCUGAAUCACCUACAAUGUAAUAUUAGGUUUGAGUGAUAUAUGAGGCCCUGCCUGUACCUAUUUGCUCCCUAGACCCUGGAGAGAUGAGGAAUGGCUUCUUUCUUUUUGUUUUCACUUGUUCUGUGUUCAAUAAAAAGGUAAAUAGAUGGGGCCAUGCUACAUUAUGGAAUCAUUCGCCUUCAUGUUCUUUUAUCAUGCAUUUCAGUUGGUAAGGACUAAGGACUUAAACGGUCUGAAGAUCAAGCAACAAAAAUAAUAUAAAACUGACCUCGACUUGAUUAGCGAUUAAGUCCUAAACUGUCAGUCCAUUACAGAGUUCAGUGAGAGGCCUACAUGCAAUAAUAAGGAUUAGGGUAGAUAUAAAAAGUCAACAAAGGCUUCAUAAGAAAAUGAAAUACAGCACCAUGAAGGAGAGAAAAAGACAAGUAAACAAAUGAGGAUGGCACAAAUGAGUACUGAUUCAUAGGAAAAUUAAAUAGGGCACCAAUAAAAAUUCACAAGGAAAGGAUUACAAUUGUCUAUUUGUUUUUUUCCCCGUAUAGACUAAGGUGGUGUUUAUUUUUUUGGCUUUUUAUUAAAAAUAAUUUAGUUUUAGAAUUUAGGUUGUUUAUUUUUCUAUUUUUUCAUGACUUAUUAUAAACUUUUUACUAAAUAGAAAAAAUAAAAAUAUGUAGCUUUUUCUAAAUAGAAAAAAUAACAUAUUGAUUUUUUUUUAUUUUUUAAUACUUAAUAGAAAUAAAAUACUACAAAAACAAACAACCUAAUAUUUCACACUAUUAAACAUUAAGAUUCUAUUUAGAAUUAAGUAAAAAAAUAAACACCACCUAAGUUAUAAUUUUAAGUAUAAACAUUUGAGGAACUCAACAUAGAUAAAUAUAAGGGUUAUUUGAUUAAAAGGGUCCAUGAAAACUCGAAUUUUGAAAUUUAACCCUUUGUCCUUUUUUUGUCUCAUUUGGACAAAAAUACCCUUGUUAUUUUCCUGUAAAAAUAACAUUUUCUUUGAAAACCUAUAAGUAAAUACUUGAAAUGACAAAGGACAUUUAUAUUAAAAAUGAGCUACUUUUCAAGUAAAAAUAUAAGAAGGGUUAGAUUCAUAAUUUGGGAAUUAUCUCAUCCCUUUUAACCAAGUAUUUCUAAAUAUAACUGCAUCUAUGUUACCAUGUAAAGUAGGUAGUUGGUGUGCCCAAUCUAUGAUUCCUAAGAUGCCUCUAUUCUUGUUACUUAACAUGCAACACAAGAAGUGCAUAACCAGUAAAUAUCAUCGGCUUCAGUUUCCUACUUGAAUGUUUUGGAAAAUUUAGAAUCUAAUGCACUCUGUUCUUAUUUGAACACAUUGCUUCAAUACAAAGAUACAGUACUAAAUCCACACAGAUAGCCCCCCCCCCCCCCCCCUUUUUAUAUUCCGGUUUUUAAUAUAAAACUGAAUUAAACCGGGGAAACAAAAUUUUCCAAAAAAAACAUUUUUAUUUUUUAAAUUUUUCAAAGACCCCAAAAAUUAUAUUUUUUCCAAAAAAUUCAGCCCUUCUGUGGCCAAAAAUAUUUCCCUUUUAUUUGGAAAAAAUCCUUUUCACUAAGGAAAACCCGUGGCCAGUUUUUAAAAAUUUUGGCCCAUUUUCGUCCUCUUCCAAGGAAACCCCAAAAUUUAUGGGUGUAAAUAGGAAACCUUUUUUUUUAAUAUUAUUUUUGGAAAAAAAAAAAAAAGUAUUAAAAAUGCCAAUUAUGGCUGGGAAUUCCCCAANNNNNNNNNNNNNNNNNNNNNNNNNNNNNNNNNNNNNNNNNNNNNNNNNNNNNNNNNNNNNNNNNNNNNNNNNNNNNNNNNNNNNNNNNNNNNNNNNNNNAAUAAAACGGCAUUUUUGUUCCCAUGAAAAGUGGGUGGUGGGGGGCCCCAAUUUAUGUUUCUUAAGAGCCCUUUUUUCUUGUUACUUAACAGCCAACCCAAAAAGGGCAUACCCAGUAAAUUUCUUCGGCUUCAUUUUCCUACUUAAAUUUUUGGAAAAAUUUAAAAUUUAAUCCCCUCUUUUUUUUUUGGAACACAUUGCUUCAAUAAAAAGAUACGGUACAAAACCCCCCCAGAUGGCCCCCCCCCCCCCCUCUUUUGUAUAUCCUGCUUUUAAUUAUAGAUCUGACUUAUACUGUGGAAUCAAUAUGUCCUAUAAAAAUCAUUUGUAUUUUUGAUAUCUUCAAAGUACCACAAAAUUCAUAUCUUUCACAAGAAUUACAGCCUUCAUGUGCCUAGAAUUAUGUCCGUUUAAUUCGGAGAAACUCAUUUCAACUAGGGAAAGCCAGUGCCAUGUUUUGAAAAUUUUGGGCCAAUUUCAGUCAUCUACAAGGAACACACAAUAUUUUAUGGAUGUAAUUAGGAACCUUUUUUUUUAAUUAUUAUUUUGGGAUAAAUAAGAGAAUGUAUUAAAAGUGCAAUUAAUGCAUGAGAGUACACAAGACGUAUACAAUGAGCAUCAAGAGGCCAAAAAAAAAAAAACUACUCCCUCCCAACCAAUCUACAAAGUCAAUAAAGGACAUAGUGCUUCCAUCUAUGUACACAUGAACCCACAUAAAUAGAUUGUUAAGGAAUUAGCUUUUAAGUCUUUGAUCUAAAGUCUUGUCAUCUUCAAACACUUUUCUAUUUCUUUCCUUCCAAAUAGUCCAAAAAAUACAAAAGAGAGUGCUCUCCAAGCCUUCUUUUGCCUUCAACCCACAAAGUAACCAUGCCACCCUAGGAGAGUGUCCCUUACUGAGGCAAAAAGAACCUAAGGGAUACCAAAUAAAGAGAACAACAAUAGCCAUAAAAUCCUAGUCUUAGCACAAUGAAGAAGAAUGUGAUCGAUGGAUUUUGUCUCCUCUUUGCAUAGAGCACACCUAGUGACUACUAACCAACCUCUUCUUUGGAGCUAGUCCAAAGUCAACACCUUAUCCCAACAAGCCUCCCAUGUGAGAAAGCUCACUUCAGGAGGGAUCCGGGAGUCCCAAAAAAUCCUUGAAAUUGAGUGUAACUCUACAUUUAAAGAUUCCAAAACAAACCCCAGCCCAACCCAAAUACAAGAAAUCCACCCCAAACCUGAACCCAUUCCAACCCUGUGUUACUAGUGUCAGAAACACCCAUAAGAAAAUACCCUUUGACUAGCUAAAAGAACAGAAAAAUUAAGAAGAUUACAUUGUUGGUUUAGUGGCUGCACUUAAGUUUACCUCCUGUGCUGGUUAUGCUACUCAUGAUCCGAGAUCAAGCCCUUGAUGUGUUUAAUGGCCUUCAUCUAUUAGGUGCAACUACAAAUGGGAGAAACAUAGGCAACUAGUUUAACUGUUCUCUCUUAUGGAUUCAAGGUAUUAUAUAUUGGUUUAUAUUUUAUUAGAACCAAGGUGCCAACAUGGGGUGAAUGCUAGCACAAGGGGAGUAUACAAGGAAACACCCUAAAGAAAAUCAUAAGCUAAGGACAAACAAAUCAGCCCAUCAGUAAACCUUUCUACAAAUUCAAACAAACAUAAAUUUUCCUCCUUAGCCCAUGACAAAGGAGACCUAAGCCAUGUGUUUCCUCUUUUCCUCAUAAAGAAAAUACAAACCCAUAUCUCUAAUAUCUUCAACAACAUACUGAGACCUUUACACAAAUUUAAAUUUCCAUUUCCAUUUUUUGCAGCUAAUUUCUACUAAAGUUUGCAUUCAGAAGCUUAAUCAGAUAGUGGUAAUGAAUCUUCCAUUCCUUUCAUGGGUCUAGUUAAAAGCAAGCUAGGCAUUGUUUCAAACACUUGACAGCCACAGAUCUCCACUCCCUCCUCUCAACUCUCAAGUAGGCUAAUGGGGCAAACAAGCAAGCAGGCAUGCAUUUCCCUCAUAUGGGUUCACUCCACCACCCCAUGCCCACCAAUCCAAACCCCCUAAGUCUUUUGCUUACUAGCCAAGAAGCCAUUUUUCACACUGCAACCACUACUGAUUCCACCCCAUAACAACAAACCCACAUCAAAACACACUCUUACAACAACUCAACCUUGAUAUUCUAAAAGAGAUCAAGAAAAAAAGGUAAAAAAAAAAAAAAAAAUUACCCUAGAUGGGAAAUCAUUAGGCAGAACCAAGUGGGUUUUGCAGAAAUUGCAGAAAAAAUUACCAUCACAGAUGGGUGCUAGAAUUGCAUACCUCAUUCAUAGUAUCCAUUCCCCCUCUUCAUUUUGUUGCACUUCCUAGCUUCAAUCGAGUAUUCCAGACGAAACAAACCGGCAGAUGAAUCAAGAAGCCCUUUUAUUGGAAACCAAAAACAGAACACGCUACCACUGAUAAUGAAUCAAAAGCCCACUUUAUUGGAAAACAAAAAGAUAGAAUAUCAGCUGUUUAGAGGGUUCAGACACAGUUACCCAUCAAAAUAUAUAAAUUUGAAACCAAAAAAAUCCAAAUUACAUCAAAAUGAUUGAAACUUCAAGCACAAUUUCAUUUCUCAUUUUUCCUCUGCCUUCUGAACCGNNNNNNNNNNNNNNNNNNNNNNNNNNNNNNNNNNNNNNNNNNNNNNNNNNNNNNNNNNNNNNNNNNNNNNNNNNNNNNNNNNNNNNNNNNNNNNNNNNNNACCGCCAAUUUCCGGGCAGUUUCGUCCUCUUUCUUCCCAAGCCCCAUUUUCUUUUGCUCGUAAAGAAAUGUCUUGGUUAUCAAAUUACAAAACAAAUACACAAACUGCACUGAAUCUUUAGCUGGAAUAGGGUAGGCGAUCUUCUUAAACGUGUCCAGCGGCAUACUCGGAUCCACCACCGAAACAAUCGGUAUCUCCAGCCGAGACGCCUCCUGAAUCACCGAAGACUUCCUUUCGGUAUCCAAAAUCACGACACAGUCAGGCGGCUGACUCGGGCCGAAAAUGAUCUUCUUGUUUCGGGACCGAAACUUCUUGGGACUAGAACUGUUGGUGAGAAAGCCGCCGAGUCGCCAGGGGGCGUCGGGGGUGAAGCAUCCGAUUUUUCGGGUCAUCUGCUCGACGAUUUCAUCGAAGAGGGAGUUGGUGUUGACGAAGAGGAAACGACCCUUUUGGCGGACGAGCGAGGCCAUGAAGUCGCAGGCAUUUCGCAUGCAGAUGAGGGUCUUGUCAGAGUCGAUGACGGCGCACCCGUUGCGGAAGCCAUAGGUGUAGACCUUGAAAUGGUGCUCCACCAAGCGCCGCCCCAUAUGGGCAUUGGUGCUCAGAAGCUUUUGGAUAACGAGAGAAUGGAUCGUCAUUUUCUUCGAUCUGGUCUUCUUCUCCUUCAGUUCCGUUCCAUUAUUGGGUUUUCUCCAAAAUAUCGAAUGCCCAGAAGAGAUCAAGAUUUCUCUCCUACCCGUAAAUUUUGAGCUCACUCUUCUAGGGUUUGGGGUUUCCUUCUUAUUAUUAUUAUUAUUUUAAUAUUUGCCGUAUUUUGACUAUUUACUCAACGGAUUAAUUUCAUAAAUUAUAUUUAAAAUAUUUUUAAAAAGAUUGAUGUAUCAAAAAAAUUUAUUAACUUAAAUCUUAAAAUUUGUGAAAGUGAUUUGUAAAGAUAUAAGUAAAAGCACGUGAUUCUUAAAAGUGUCGGACAGGCCCUAAUAAUUUCAUAAUUUAGGUUCGGUUGAAUAAUCAUUUUUACCAAUUCACUUAUUAUUGUGCAUUAAAUGGUAAUUAAUAGGGUUUUAGACCUUAAUCAAUUGAGCAAUUGGUUCCAUCGGUCAAUAAUUUCUUGGUUUUUCCUGAAAAUCAAUUUUUUAUAAAAUUAUUAAGUAAAGGAAAAUUUAUUAAAAAAAAUCUUUCAGUUUAUUUUAAAAAUAAAAUAAAAUAAAAUAAUACAUAAAAAUAAUUAAUUUCCUUCCAAUAUUUCUUCUCUUUGUUCUUUCUUUCUAAUCAAAUAUACCCAUAAUAUUUCAAAAUUUUCAUGGUCCCUUACAAACUUAUAAAUGUGUAAGAAUAAUUAAAAAAAAAUCUUUUAAAAUGUUUAUAAAUUUCUCAUUCAAAAAUCUAGAAAACAAAAAUCAAAGUCGAUGAAUCUGAGAUUGAACACUACAUAAAAAAUAAUUUAAAAAUACAUUCUGCAUUCCAUUUUCUAUCAUGAGAGAAAACAAUGUUCGAUCAUCUACAGCUCCGGCAAUGAGAUUUAACAAUGUUAUGAUAAAAAUUAUGUAAAGCUGUUUCAAUUAAAAACUUCAAUGAAACCCUAAUUUUCCAACACCGAAGAAAGAGAGAAACUGAAGCCUUAAAAGUUCCUUCGUCACCAGUUAUCGCGUUCUUCAAAUUGAAGAUCUCCUAAUUACCAAACAAAUAUCCAAAUUCCAGAUACAUUUAUGCUCUACAUUAUGAAAAUUCAUCUAUUGUUCGCAUUACUAAAAAAAUAUAAAAAGGGAAAGUUAGGGCAAAAGUAACCACAACUACAACACAGAACCAUCUUUAGAUUCAAGAAAUUGGCGAAGAACACAAGUUAUUUACAGUAACGAUCGGCCUUCUUCUUGACUCGAUCAUCGAGCGCCUCCUCCACCGACGUCGAAGUCGUCUUGGGAUCGUACCCGAACUUCUUCGCCUCCACGGGGAACAACUGAUCGUACUUCAUGCGCUUCGCGGCAUCGAUCGUGUACACCUCUCCAGAUCCUCCAGCAUCUCCUGAGAGGACUUCCUCAUGCUCCAGUGCUUCUUCCUCCGAUAUGGUUUUCUUGCUCUUCUUCUUCUUCUUUUUCGCUUUGUCUAUGGUUUUGCUGCGAGUGGCAAGAUCCCCUCCUUUGAAGGUCAGUCUCGCUCCAUUAACUUUCUUGAAUGGAUCCGCCAUUGAUAGCUCUUUGUUAAGCUUUUCUUCUUCUAGGGUUUUUUUCCUCUCAGAAUUUUCCCCAAAACCUCAACUUGAUUCUUUCUUCCUGAUUUUUCGCUCGAGAAUUUUAUUUCUGCCAAAGGCACACGUCCUGCACGUGUAAUGGUACUAAUAAAAGCUAAAAACAUAUCCGUGGUAAAUUACAAAAUCUCAAUAUAGAACUUUCCCUCAAUUUAACCUCAAAUUUCAAAAAUAAAAUAAAUAAAUAAAUAAUCUAACCUCUAAAUCAUAAAUAUUAAAGGGUUGUUUGAUUAAAGGUUAAUUGAAAACCGAAUUUCAAAAAUAUAAUUAUUUCAUUGUUUUUUGUCUCAUCUCGACAAAAAUACCCUCGUUUUCUUGUAAAAAUAAUCAUUUUUUUUAAAACAUAUUUUAAAUACUUAAAAUAGUUAAGGACAUUUACGUUAAAAAUGUGUUAUUUUUCGAAUAAAAACAUGUAAAAAAAUGAAUUCACAAAUAUGAUGAAUAUUUUGUCCCUUUUAAUUAAUUAUUUUAAUAUUAAAUAAAUCAUUUUUAAAGGAUUCUUAUUAGAAAUAAAAGUAAAAAUAUAAGAAUCAUUUUAAUAAGUUACAUAACCAACUAUUUAAAAUCAUCAAUAAUCUAAUACUUGAAUAAUUAUUUUUAUUUUUUUUAUAAAAAUGAAAUUAAUAAUAUGAGAUAAUAUAAAAAUUAUGAAAGAAAAUAAAACAUAUUGAAAAUAAAAAACCAAUUUAAAGUUAAUAAAUCAUUUUAAAAUAUUUUUUCAAAUUUAUUUGACCUUUUUUUUCAUGGUAAGUAAGGAGAAAAUAAAUUUCUUUAAUGCUAUAUGUAAUUUUUAAAAAAAAAUUGAGAGAAAAUGUGAAUAAAAGAAAUCAAGAUGAAAAAAAAAAAAAAAAACAAAUUAGUUCUGUGUAUCUCUUCAAACUUGGUUCAUUUAUAUUCUUUUAUUUUAUAUAAAAGCUAAAAAAAAUUAUUAAUAUUUUUUUCUUUUCUUAGUGCCUUUUGAAAAAAAAAAUAUCAUUUUCUUAUCAUUUUCCCAAAAAAUAUAAUUUCACACGCUCAUGUAAAAAUAAUUACAAAAUAUGAUCUUCUAAAAAUAAUUCAAAUUUCAUGUAUCUACUGUGGUCAAAAGUAAUACCCCCGAUAGUUAAAGAUAUUAUAUCAUUAAAAAAUAGUAAGUGGAUAGUCAAAGGUAUUUUGUGAUUUUUUUCAUAUGAAUGUAUAAAAACCCAUUUUUCAUAAUAAUGGAAAAAAAAUGUGUUUUUGCAUUUUUACUGCCCAAUUAAAAUUUUAUAUUAAAUUCUUUUGAUAAAAUAAGUGCAAACAAUUUUCUUAAAAAUUGAAUGCAUUUAAAAUUGAAUCAAGUCAUUUGUUGAAAUAAAUAGACUUUUUCUUUUAAUAAAAUAAACGAAAUAAUUAAUUCAAAUUUUUUGAAUAAAAUCAUUUGAAAUUUCUUGAAAAUUAAUUUUUUAAAUAUUAUUAUUAUUAUUAUUAUUUCAAUAAAUCAUUUUAUAUAAUUCUCUUGUUAUUUAUUUUGUACAUUAUUGUAAUUAGAUUUUAUUCCUAUAAUAUAGGUAUCCAUGAUUAAUUAAUUAAUUAUUAUAAUUCCCUUAAUUCAUUUAGUAAAUACCGUUUACAUAUGAGUUUAGAGGGGUGUGAGGUGUUACUAAUCUAAUCCCCAAAUUCAAACUUGGUUUUUAUAGACAUAUAUUUUUCAAAAUAAGGAGUCACACAUGUUUUCUUUUUUAUUUUGUUUUUGUUUUAAAAAAUAAAACAAAAAUAAAUAGUAACUCAAAAUUUUUUUUAAAAAAAAAAAUCAAAUUUUCACCAAAUAAAAAUUUCAUCGUCCAUUGAGGAUGCACAUAAAUAAAAAAUGCAGGUUCACAACAUUUAAAUUGAUUUCAUUAACAAAUCUAACCCUUUAACCAAAUUAUUAACCAAUGGAGGCAUCAUGGAAAAAGGGUUUUUUGGUAAAUAUAAAUUAAAAUCAAAGUAUAAUAACCCAAUUAUCCAAUUUCUAGAAUUUAGAUAUGGUUUUAUUCUCACUUGGUAAAUGGAAUGCGUAUUUUAAUAGCUCCUAUAAUAUAAAAAGAUAAUUACAUAUAUAAAUUAUAUGAGUGGAAAAGGUAAACAAAAGAGAAAUAAAAAUUUACUGUUUCUUACUUAUCAUAUUGCUUAAUUUAAUUAAUUUUAAAAAAAAUAAAGAAUUCAAUUGAAAAUGGAACAGGAAAUUUGAAAAAUGGGACAGAACAAAAAAAAGUAAUCAUGUAACUCUUUUGAAAAUUACAUAUAUUUGGGAAGAAUUAAAAUACUUUAAUAAGUAUUAUCAUAUUUCACUUCGAUUUAAUUGAAGAGAUUAAAAAACCUUCCCAUUGACCAUUGUAAAAUUAAUUUCAAAAUUGAACUUUUCAACUCAUUCUCUCUUAUCUCUCUUAUCUCUAUUUUUGUUACUUUUGUGUUGAGUAACUUUUUUCUUAUCCAUAUAAAAAUCAAUCCAAAUAAAAAAUAUAUGAGUUAUUAAUUAUAAUUUAAUAUUUACAAAAUAUCAUGCAUGUGAAUAUAGAUCUUAUAUUAUACUUAAUAAUCGUUAUAUGUUCAAUGUUUGAGUAAAUUCCUCUUAAAUAUUCUAAAUUCAUUUUUAAUACCCUCUAAUAUCUCAAAAUAAUUAAAUAUUUAUUACGUUAUUAAUAUAAUAAUUAAUGCUAUAAUAACGUAAUAAAUAUUUGGUAUACAAACAAAAAUUUAAACUCAUUAUUGGUAUAAAGCUUACUAAGAGAAGGAAAUAAAUAGACAAUGUUUAAUUGAAAAGAAUGUGAAAAAAAAAAAUGUGAGGAAUGUGAGAAGCAUAAAUGCAUGACUAACCACAACUCUACACAUCAUAUCAUAUUAUUUUUAUUUAUCUCAAAUAACUUGAUUUUCUUGAAUAUUUCCUUAAACUUAUUCCCAAAAAUUGUUGCAUUUUCAUCAAUUAAGAUACUUAGAUAAAGGAAAAUAAAAAUAAGAAAGAAUAAAAAUAAAUUUAGUUGGAAAAUUUAAGAAAAAAAAAACUCAAUAAAAAUUAAAAAGAAAUUAAUAUGAAAGUCCGAAAGUUUAAUUUCAUUUAUAUAAGAUUUUUUUUUAUUUUUUAUUUUUAUGUUUAAUAAAACUUUUACAAGUCGAUAUCUUAUUUUAAAAAAUGAUGAUUUUAGCUUUGAGUUCAAUUACCCAUUAAAGUCAACAAAAAUGAAUUUUUUAUUAUUAUUUUAUAAUUAGCGUAUAUUUCGCUAAAUUUAAAUUUUAACAUAUAAUCGAUAACUUGUUUUUUUUUUUUUUUUUAAUAAAACUUUUACAAGUCGAUAUCUUAUUUUAAAAAAUGAUGAUUUUAGCUUUGAGUUCAAUUACCCCUUAAAGUCAACAAAAAUGAAUUUUUUAUUAUUAUUUUCUAAUUAGCGUAUAUUUCGCUAAAUUUAAAAUUUAACAUAUAAUCGAUAAUUUGUUUUAAUUAAAAUUGAAUCAAUCUUUCAAUGACUGAAUCAAAUCAAAUUUAUUUAAGAUUGGUUUGGUUAAGAUUCAGACGUAAAAUCCAAUUUAUUUUUAAAAAUAAUUAAAAUAACUUGGUUUUAAGUUUAAAAUAAAUUUAAAAUUAUAGUUCAAAAUAUGAUAGUUAUCUAAGAAUCGAUACAUCUCUUUUCAAUUACUAAGAUAUCAAAGAAUAUAAAAAAAUCCAAAGAUAUUAAUCCUAAACAUAAGGGAUUUCACGCCCAUAUUGCCAUCACGGACAUGCCACCAACGCCCAAUAUGACAGCGACAUAAGCCCACAUUUGAAGCUUCAUGUUUGAUUGCAAUUUGGGGCCCAUGAAAUCAGCGCCCAGCAGGUCCACCAGCGCCAUGUAAUUCAGUAGCCCAGCAGAUGUAGCGUUCAGCACUCCAACCACUAUCAGAGCCGUCGGGCUGUCGUCGCUGUACACCUUUGAUAAGCCGAUUCCCAGCGCGAUCCCCAAGGGGGUGGUGACCGAGAAGAAAAACACCAUGAUGGCCUUCGUCCUUGCCUUGUAUUCAGCCUGGGGAUGGAGGUUUGGGUUAAUAACUUAAUAUACACUGAUAUUGAAAAGUACAUGACUGGUUUUGAGGUAGAAAUCCAUCGUUACCUGUAGAAUGCAUCCUCCAAGCCCCAUUCCUUCAAAGAAUUGAUGGAAACAAAGAGCAGCAAUGAGGGGCCUGAUUGUACUGGCAUUUUCAGAGGCCCCCAUUGACAGCCCAAUCACCACUGAGUGGACCACAAUUCCCAGUUCUAGCACCUGCAUCCUCAAUGUUAAAGAGCAUGAUAUGAACCCAUAUUCUAUACUUAAAGUUCUUUAAAAAAAAUUGGUCCAAAAAAAGCUAUUUACAGUCAAAAAAAUCUUAAGUCUUAAAAUUUAAUGUAUGUUUCGAAUCAUACCUGAGCGAUAAUUUGAUAUCUCAAUAGUUUUGAGGAUUCGUCAUCAAGCUUCUUCACACCAACUCCAUGUCCGUGUCCAUGAGAAUGUCCCUGAUCAUUCUCUAUGUGAUCCCCAUAUUCGCAUUCUGCUCCACUCAUUCCAUGUUUCUUGUAAUAACUCAUUGCAAAAGAAUCCAUCAUCAGUGUUAAAACCGCUGCAACCAUGGCUAUGAACGUUGAAAAUGGGAAUUUGCUCCAUGGAGCCUGCGGCAGACAUGGAGAAGUCAAGCUCUCAAUUGAAUCCGGCAGCACGUGAACGUAGCCUGUGGCCAGGAUAACCCCCGACGCGAAUGCCUUAAUCAAAACGAACAAUUUUCCAUCCGGUUUAAGCAGUGGCAUGCCUUGUAGAAGUAUGGGAAAAGAGAUGCCCAAGAUGCUAGCAAUCAGUAUCGAGAAUAUUGCUAUCACCUUCAGCUUUAAGGCUGAUGCCUUUUCCUCGGAUCCUCCUUUGGGAUCACCACAUUUCGAUCCCGCUCCGCUGGCAUCUUCCUUGCCGGAAGUUUGCACUGUCAAUGAAAGUAGGAGGAGAAGAAGGAGAGUUAGAGCUCCAACGUUUUUCAAGGAAGCCAUGACUAUGGAGCAGGAGUGGAGAUUGGAGAGUCUUAGAUAGCAAACAUAUGCCUAGGACUAGCUAUUAUAUGUGCUUGCUAGAGUCAAAGACCUUUUCAAGUUUGGUAUUUUGAAUUAUCUAAAGUACAUUAAAAUAUGUUCUAUUUUCAAAUUUAGUGUUUUAUAUGAUUUGAAUGUUUUAAAACUAAUCUUUCUGGUAUUUGUAUAUUUCACAUACUCUUAAGAAUUUUUAAAAAUCUAAGUAUUAAAAAUUCUUAAAAUUUUAAAAAUAAUGAAAGAUUAAAUAAUAAAUUAAUUAAAUAUUAAUACAUUUUUCACAUUGAGUUCAAGUAGGAAAGCACCAUACCAUUGUGGUUAUGGUGGGAAGAUGACGUCUUGCUUGCAUUAGUCAAAUUUUGACUCCUCAAUUAAAAUUUUUAAAAUUUUCAAAAGGAAAAUACUAUAAUAUUAGAGUAUGAGUCAAUCAAAUAUUAAAAAAUUUGAAUGGUCACACACAUAUCCUAUCCCUAAUAUUAUUUUUAUUUAAAAAUUUUAAGGUUAAUUGUGAUACCCACAAUAUUUCAAAUUCUAAAAUAUUAGUUGAAAAAGGGCGUAUUUAUUAAAUAUAAACUUUUUAUAAAUUAUAUUUAUGAUAUUUUCGUAUUGAAAAAUGAUAUUAAGAGUGAGUUUGAUGAUGUUUCUAUUUGAAAUAUUUUUAAUAGGAGUAUUUUCUUUUGAAGUAUUUUUAGAAUGAUUCAAUGUGUUUGAUAGUGAUUCUAAUAAGAGUUUUUUAUAUUUUCAACACUGAAAUUUUUUUAUUUUUUAAGUUUUAAAAAGAAAUAUUUUUUAAAUUUUUUAUUUUUUAAAAGUGAGUUUGAGAGUAAUUGUAAAAAGUAUUUCUAAUAUUUCUAAAUUUGAAUAUGUUUAUUUUCCGAUAUUAAAAAAGUUAGAAACAGUUGAUCAUUGUCAAACACACUCUUAAUAGAUAUUUUUUCAAAAAACACUUAUAUAAGUAAUUUUUUAACAAUACAAGUGAUUGUUCAAAUUCCUAAAUUUUCUUAAACACUAUGUUAAAAUAAAAUCAUUAUCAAACAAACUCUAACGUGAAUCAAGUCAAUUGAAAAAGAAAAAUCUUCACCAUUUGAAAACAUGGGUUCUUCCUAUAAUAUUAAAUAAUAGAAUAUUAUUAUAUAUUCAAUAAUCAAUAUUAAUUUCAAUUAUUUACUUUAACGUAGUCGAGGGACUAUUCUACCGACUAUUGUCUAGUGACAAGUGACCAUCAAUGAUGGACGAGGCAAGACAAGGUGUUGGAAUAGACUAAACACAUCACGAGCCAUCUUUCUUAAGAUUUUUGUUUCUUCUUAUAAAGAAAAAUAUUCUAUUGGAGUAGUGAUGACAAAUACUAACACAUCUAUAUUAAGGGAAUUAUAGAUUGAAACAAGAGCUAAAAACCUCUUCUUAUAAAGAAAAAUAUUCUAUUGGAUUGAUGCAAACAAAUACUAACACAUCUAUAUCAAGGGAAUUGUAGAUUAAAACAAGAGUUGAAAAAGUGAGGAAAUUUGGUCUUUCAUAUAAGUGAGGAAAGCCGACAAGAAGGGAUAGUGACGAGUAACCAACAACUUGAUGAUAAGGUGGAUUUUUUCAAAAUUUAUUGCUUGAAUCCAUGGGUAAAAGAGAGAGGAAUAAUUGGAAUAAAGAUUAAGAAAACUAUUUUACCAUUCAAGAAUUAUAUUCUAUUUGUAAAUAAAUUUUAACUUUUAUUUAUUUAUUUUUAUUAGGUCUCUGCUUUGAGAAAAAUAAUUAAAAUGCAUUUUAGAGGGUUUUAGAAAACGAAGAAAUAUGGCUGAGACAAUUAUUCCCAUCCAUUUAUUGUCUAAUUUUAUAGGCGUAUAACUUCAAGAAUAUUUAAAUUAAAAAUAAAAUAAAAUUAAGGAUUUAUUUGAUAUUAUUUUUAAAAAUGUCUUUAAAAAUAGUUUCCAAAUAUUUUUAGAAAUAAAAUUUUAUUUGAAACUAAAAUAUGAAAACAGUUAAAUAAAUUUUGAAAAAUAGUAUUUUGAUUUAUUAUUUUCUAUAGAAGUAAUGUCCUUUAUUGUAAAAUAUAAAAGCUUUUUAAUUAUUAUUUUUAUAUUCUCAAUAACUCCUCAUAAUACUCUAAAAAAAUGUUUAAAAAUAAUAAAAUAUCUAAAGUGCAUUACCAUAUUUUGUAUUUUCAAAUUUAAAGAUUAAAUAAUAAAUUAAUUAAAUAUUAAUACCUUUUUCAUAUUGAGUAAGAGUCGGAAAGCACCCUUCGUGCUACUAUGGGAUGAUGACGUGGUGCGUACAUGAGUCAAAUUUCAAUGAUCAAAGAUUAAUUCCAAGUAUUUACUUUAAAUUUUCAUUUGGAGAAGAAUUGGAACCUUAAAAAGGCUCAAAUAAUAUUUGUUUUAAAUUUUUCUUAAAUAUUAUAUUUUUACUAUUUUUAAUCUUCGAUAUUCAACUAUUUUAAAUUUUCUCUCAAAUUUCUCCCAAAUAAAUUUUUUAAAAAGUGAUUUCUAAAAUUAUACCAAAUCCUAACUUCUACAAGAAAAAAUACUUCCAAAAUAUUAUCUAUAAAAUAUUUCUAAUAUUAGGUUUUCUUAUAUAAUAAGGAAAGUUAUUACAAAUACUUUUAUAAAAAAUCUAAGAAGGGAAAAUGUGAUAAGAUAGAGAUGAGUAUAUAAAAACUAUAUUAUGUGAAUAAAGAUGAUGUGAGAAUACUGAAAGAUACUUGGUGGAGUGAGGGGACUCGUAGUAAGGAGUGAAAAAAUAUGAGAUGUUUCGAAUUUAACCGUUGUAUCUGAUUUUGUCAUUUAUAAUAUUUUUUAGGUAGAGUAAAAUGAUUUUUCUACAUUCAUGGAUAUAAACAUGAUUGAUUAAAUCACGUUAAAACCUCGUGUACUAUAUAUAUAUGAUUAUUUUAUCUUUACAUUCUUAAACUAACAUAUUUGCAUUAAAAUUUCCCCAGGCACAACAUUAUAAAUCCCCUACAACCCUUCUAAAAUUUUUCAAUCCAAUCUUUACCAAAAUUAUCCAUGCAAUUCAUCUUUUGGUGUCCAUCACCAUCAAAUUAACGCACUAGAAAUUAUAAUUCUUGCUAAAAAUGGUGGGAAAUUGUUUUUGACACUCCAACCUUUGAAGUAGGCAAAGCAUUACUAAUUUAAGAUAAUGUUGAAUUUUGAUAAAAAUUCUUCCUUUUUUGGUAAGUAUAAUGUAAGAUUCCUUGCACACCAUGUAUUCAAGCCAAAGGAUGGGAGAGGUUAAGCUUCAUUAUUUGCUAAAAAGGGAAAAAAUGGAAAGAAAUGGUUUAAUAGAUAGAAAAUUUUGGUCAUUUGUUUUUUCAAAUUUAAAAACAAAUUUCAUCAUUAAACCCUCUAAAUUAAAUGUAAUUUUUUGUUUUUGUGACAAUUUUUUUUAUUUUAUUCAUUUUUCUUUAAAGAACAAACAUAAUAUUUUAUUUUGACAUAAAUAUUGGAUUUUUUUUAUUAAAAUUAUAAUUCUUUGUUUUCCUUGAACUUUUAAGGUUUUGUUUGGUCACGGAGAGUACAAGGAAAAUUUAAAAAAACAUAAAAAAGAAUAUUUUUCUUCAUAUUUAAAAUAUUAAAAAUAAAUAAAAUAUAAUUAAAAUUAAUAAGAAAUUUAUCCAUUUUUAAAUUAUUUAAUCCUUAUAUAAAGAAGUUAAAUGAGAUUAAAAUGGUAUAUUAAAUACUUUAUUAUUAUUUUUUUAUUUUAAUUUUUUUUAUCUUCUUUCACCUUUUUCUUUUUUCUACUUUUCCUUUUUUAUAUAUUUCUGUCAUAUUUUCUCUCACAUUUUUCACAAUCAAAUAUAACUUAAAUUCAUUAUUUUUCUCUUAUCCAAAAUUCCUAAUAAUUUGCAUUAUUUUUCAAUUAAAUGAAUGUUUAACGAAUAUCUUAUAUACAACAUUGCAAAUCGAACACAUUAGGUCAAACUCACUUCAAAUACAAAUUCAAAUUAUUGAAAGCCUAAUCCAACUCAAAUUGUUCAAAUCGAGUUUAAUCCAAACUCAAACUCAACUCAUAUUUGAACCACCAUAGUCAAAAGCUUAGUUCAACUUGAAUGGUUCAAAUCAAGUUAAACCUAAAUAUAUUUUUCUAAAUUCAAUAUGAAUUUAGGGUAAGAUUGUUACGUGGAUGUUCAAAUUGAUUGGAUUACACAGGUUGGACCAACCAUAACAAAACAAACGAACUUUAAAUCAAUUUAAAAAGAGGUUGACUGCCAACUACAACAAUUAAAUAAAAUAAAAACUAAUUAUAUAAUGAUAUUUUAUGUCUUGUUAAUGACAAAACUAACAUGGGUUAAAACUUAAGAUACAUAGCGUAAGUGAUAUAUAUAAAAAGACAAUUGAUUAAAUCGUAUCAACGUAUCACAUAUGUAUCUUGAUCCCAUAAUUUGCAUCCUCAUCUAAUGAUUUAAAAUUUAUCCUACACUUUGAAUGACCGAUAUGUAAUGUUUGAUUAGUAACUUGGGGCAACUUAAAAUUUUCUUAUAUAUAGGAAGUCCUACAUUUCUAAAAGAAAAGAAAUCGGAGUAACAUAAUAAUAGAAGUUUUUAGAGAUGCAAUACAUUGGAUAAGAGAGAGUUUUUAGUGUCAUAUAAAUAUGAACUCUUUUUAAUUAUUUAGACAUGUUUUAAAGUCGUGAGGGUCCUUUAGGUCAAAAAUAGGCAAUAUCUAUAAGGUUGGAUAUGACCCAUUAUAAAAUGUAUCAGAGUAAAUCUUCAGCCCUGGUGUGAGGGUUUGUUUGGCCUAUGAGGGUGUUUCAUGAGGGUUCUAUUUUGAACAACAGUUGGGUUUUUUGGGAAGGGGGUUGGAGGGAUUGUUGUUGUUUUUUACUUGUUUUUGCAUGAAUUCUUAUGUAGUUUUAGGUUCUAUAUAAUAAUUAUAUUUAAAGAAAUAUUGUUAAAUUAUACUUAAAUUAUUUACUUAAAAUUUAUUCUAAACCAUCAAAUUGACAUAUAUAUCAUCAUAAAUUAUAAGUAGGAUAAAAGAGGUCGAAUAACAAUUGAGGUCAUGAAGUAGCAAAAGAGAUCGUGGAGAUAAUUAGGACAAAUGAAGAUAAAAAGGUAAAAUAAGGAUAUAAAUUUAAUAUAAGUUAAUUAUUUUUACUUGUUACUUAAAGUUAUUUCUUAUUUUAACUCAUAUUAUUAAGUUAUUUUACCAAAUAUACUUAAUUUACUUAAUAAUUUAAAUUAAGUUAUUAAGUAACGGUAAGUUAUUAAGUUAAUUUACCAAACACCCACUAAUUUUCAUAUUUUUGUUGUUAUAAGUAAUCUUGGUAUUUUAACAUAUUCCAAAAUAUUAAUUCUUAUUUUUAUUAAAUUAUUAGUUUUCAAAUAUGUUAUUUUGUUUACAUAAAAUAGAAAAAAAAACCAUAAUAAUUGUCUUUUGUAGGAGCAAUGAUAUGUAACUACUAUUUUUUUUUGUUGGUAAAUAAAGAUAGAUUAAUAAACUUGAGAUAAAUUCAAACAUUAAAAAAAAAAACAAAUAUAUUAAUUAUUUUAUUUUUAAAUUUUGUUUGUACUAGUUGAUUAAUUUUAUAUAAAAAUUUAAUAGUGAAAAAUAAAAUAGAAACUAUUCUUGAGAAAUGUGAUAAAUUAUUUUGGAUAUUUAAAUUGAUGGACCCCCUAAGAAAAUGAUGUUUAAAGGGAAGGGGAAGCUCACCCUCACUUUCUCCCUCACCAUCAUUUUGGUCUUCUUCCUCAAAUUAUUUCUUUAGUGGAUUGUUACUUCAUUUGAAGCCAAAACCAACAUUAUCAUAAGAGACACUUAUUAUAGUAUAAAUUCCCAAUAAUCUCUUUUAAAUUUUAUUGGUAUAUUAUAUGAAGUGUUUUGUCUUGUCAUACACCAACAAAAAUGGAGGAAUUUUUUAGAUGGUACUCUCAAAUGGGAAAUCACUAUUUACAGCCACUAACUUAUCCAGCUCAAUUAUAUUUUUUUUUAAUCAAAUGUAUUAAUAAAAAAAAAAACAAGAAAUGGGGAAAAUGAGGGUUUGUCUAACAACUAUUUUUUAGAAUAGUUUUCUCUUUUCUAUAACAAAAAAACUAAAAAAUACACAAUUGAAAAACUAUUUUUUUAAUAGAAAAGAAGGUAUUUUCAAAUAACAUCUUUCAAUUAUUUUAAGUUAUUUUCAUUUGUUUUUUUUUAAAUAAUUGUACAAACAUGUAUAAUAAUUAAAAAUAAAACUUUAGAUAUAUGUAUUUUUUUUAAACAUAUUUAAAAAUAUUAAAAACAUAUUAAAAAUAUUUUAAAUUCCUAAAUAAAUUCUUAUUCUAUAAAACAUCAAAGAAUAAUUUUAAAAACUAUUUUUCAUAAUUAUUUUUAAAAAUAGUUAUCAAAUAGAGUCUUAUAUUACACAUUUGAAAUCUUUGUUAUAUAGUAAAGCCCAUUACUAAAAUCCCCACAAACUAAAAUUUAUUGUUACUCCAAUUAAUUGGAGCCAUGAAUUUCAUUAUGUCAUGUGAUUUCAAAAUAUCCUUGAAUUAUAGCUAGUUUCUUGAAAAUUUUGAAGGAAAAUAAAAUAAUAAUAAUAAAAAAAUGAAAGAAAAAGUAAAAAAAAAAGAAAAAAAAACCUAGAUGUAAAGCCAAUAAAUUAUCUUUAUAUGAUUUUUCAUAUUUAUGUCACUUAUUUUUCCUUUUUAUUUUUAAUAAAGGUUAAAUAAUAUGAAUAUGGACAAGUUUUUAAUUGAUUUUAAUUAUAUUUGAUUUUUUUUAUUUUUUCCCUAUUUUUAUUGAUAAACCUAACAUAUAAAAAUUAUUUUUCUUAACAUUUUUUUUUCAUUUUUUUAAUACUUCCCUAAGCCAACCUUUUUUUUUUUUUUUUUUUUUAAAAAAAAAACCCAUAAAUUUUGUUAGUAGUGUAAGACUUCGUUUAUGAUCUUAAUAAUUUUAGUUAGAGAAUUUGAAAAUGGAUUUAAUCUUAAUAAGAAGCUUAAAUUGAUUAAAUUUUAGGUUAAAAAAAUUGUUUCGUAUUUAAUAAAAUCUUCAUAAUAUCAAUAUUAUUUGAAAAGACAAAAGAAAUAUUAUUAAUUACAAUAAAAGAAUUAUAUUGCAAAAUACAAUCCAUAUGGAAAAACAUUAUGAGACUUUUUUUUUUUUUACAAAUUUCUUUUGUAAUUAUAAUAUUAAUUAAUUUAGGCUAUGUUUGAUUUUUAGAAAAUAUCCAAGAUAGGGAAAAAAAUGCUAAAAGAAUAUAUAAAUGAAACGGAAAAUAUGAGGGACAGAAAAUAUCAAACCUAAAAUUAAAAAAUUCAAGGGAAAAUUCCAAGAAGAGAGAAAGUGAAAAAAAAAAAUAUUUAAAAUUAAUAAAUUAUUCUAUAUACUUUUUAUAAUUCAUUUACUUGUUUUUUUCUAUUGUAUAUAAAUUAAAUUUUAUUUGAUAACCCGAAUGUUAAAAAAUUAUUUCAUUUUUAAUUUUCUUGAAACCAAAACACAAUAAGACAAAAUGAAGGGAAAAAAAUAGUAAGGGUCUAUUUGAGAAUUAUUUUUUUACAAUAGUUUUCUAUUAUUCAAAAUAAAAAACAGUUUUUGAUUACUAAACAUAUUUUUCAUUUUCUAAUUUUAAGAACAGAUAAUAAAGUGUUUUUAGAUAAUAUAUUUUAAUUAUUUUCACUUAUUUUUCGAGUGUUGAUUUAAGAAAUAAUUAUACAAAUAUGUAAAAUAAUUAAGGUUUCCAAACAGAUUUUUGUUUUAAAUAAGUCAGAUAACAAAUUUCCAAAAUUGUUUUCAAAAACUAUUUUUCAGAUUUAUUGAAAAAAAACAAUUACCAAAUAUGCCCUAAAAGAUUUUCCCCUCAGUUAUAAUUUUCAUUUUAUAGGAAAAUUUUAUAAAUAUUUGAUACAUAUUUUUUGUUUCCUAAUAAUUAUUUUCUCUAUUUUGUCACACGCAAACUUUAUGAUAAUCAAUUAUGGUAGGCCAAUAAUGUAUUAUUAUAUCUCAUAAUUUAUUUUUGCCAUUUAAUUUUUAAAUAAUUUUCAUAAAAUGGCUACAUAUAAUGAUUUGUAGAAAAAAAAUUGUGGAUUUUUAAAAAUAAUCAAAUAAUAUUUCUUAAAAUUAAUAUGGGUAUAACCUUAAACAAGUGACAUCCAUUUGGAGAUUCAUGAUCGAUUAAUCAUCCACUUUUGUUAUUUUGUCCCGAAAAUGACCCUACAUUCACUCACGUGCUAAGCACGUGACAAUUAUGAGCACAUGGGAUUAUUAUUUAUUAUCCCUGUCACUUUAAAUUUUUGAAGGCAUAUUGUAUAUAUAAAUUUUCACAAAAAGAAAAAAAAUUAAAAUUAAGAAAUAGGCUAGCUGUGAAAAUACUGUGAAUUUGGAAAGCACGCGGACGAGGGAAGAGAUGUACAAUGGUGGAAUCUGACCUAAUUCAGAGAAUCUCCAGAAUUUGAAUUGGGGUUUUUUUUUUUUUUUUUUUGGAAUUGGAAGACAUUGAUGGAGGGAGCAAUUCAUCUCAAUCUCGCAUUUGCAUUCAAUGAAUUUUGAUUUUCUGUUGAAAUUUCUCACACUUUUUGUUGGGUUGGGAGGUGUGAUUUGUGGGUUUGGAUCAAAGGUUGGGUUUUGGAUUUGGAUUUGGGGGAGUUUUCAGACUUCUGGGUUUUGAUUUGGUUUUCGUCUGUAAUCGUUUUCAUACUUUUUGUUUAGUUUUUUCCACGGAUGAUGUUGGGUUUUCGCGAUUGAAUUGCGUGUUGGCUUAGAUCAAAUGUUUGUUUUCCCUUUUUCAGAAAAUUUGGCUAGUGGUUCUGCUUUUAUGGAUUGAUUUGUACCAGUUUUGGAAAAGAAUUGUGGGUUUGGUAAAGGAGGAGAGAUUGAUUGGGGGAGUUGUUGAGGCGUUCUCCAAUUGGGGUCUGCAGAAAAACUUGUGGGGUUUGUGAAUGUGAGGGUUUUCUUUGGAGAUGAAAGGCGAAGCGGUGUGUGCAGAAGUACAAUGACUGGAGGGUUGUUGGGUUUACGUAGUGGAAGUUAUGGGUCUCUGCAACAUCUUCAAAAUGGUGCGUUUCACCCUCAGCCUCAAUUUGUUGGGCGCAAACCUUCAAAGAUGUUACCUUCUGGUUCUAGGGAAAAGGAAAGGCUUCUUCCCUAUCUUUUCAGAUUUUUGAGUCGCAGAAGGGUUGGAAUGCUUAUUUUGGUUGGCUUUGCCUUUUUGGUAUUCUUAUCAGGUUUCUCAACUGUCAGUAAAGGUUUGUUUCUGUAUCAUUUGCUUAUUUUUCUUUCCAUUUUUUCUCAGUUCUUUUGAUUGUCAAAUUCCAGUGUCUGAGGCCUUGCAUUAUCUCUGCCUAAUGGAUGUUUUUUUUAGAUGGUGAGUAGACACUUGUGUAGUCUUAUGUUUAUCUUAGCCUGAUUGAUGUGAUUUGCAUAGGUUUUUUCCAAGCUGAAGCCUAAUUGAUGCUAUCUAUACUAUCUUUGAUGCUUGAUGUUAUUUUAAUGGAUGUUAUUUAUAUGACCUUCUAUGUUUUAUGUUGUGUCUAUUUUUGAAGUGGGAAAUGUAGGAUAACUUUUGAUGGCGACCAUGGGCAGGCUCUUGCAUAGUGUCGGAAACAUGCCCGGGGUUGUGACUGUUUGUUGAUGAAAUAGUACAACUUAACCUUGUUGUAUUGUAUUAAUCUUCAGAGCAAUGAAUUUCAUUUGGAUUGGAUGUACCUCUCUUCUAACAAGUGAGGAGUGCAAUAGACAGAUUGCUUAGGAUCACUGGGUUUUUUUAUUUACUAAGAAAUGUUGGGAACAGUAUUGAUCUUAUUGUGGCUAUUUGUGUCCUUUGAACUGGGUUUGGGGUAUACAUACAUUGUGACUUAUUUAGGUUUCAUUAUUCUUCUUCUUCUUAUUUUUCUGUUUUUUCAACUGUCACUGUAGUGUUUUGGUUUUAAGUUUCUCUUGUUAUUGUUAUACUUUGAGUAAUAACCUAUGUAAUUGGCCUGUUUUUAUAUGAAGAUGCACCGGAAAGCAAUAGUGUGAGCAUUACCCAGCAUAUCCAUCACAUAAAUCCUUAUGACAAUGGGGAAUCUGAUCAAGAUCUCCCAUUUUUUUUGCCGAGGAUAGAAGUCAAGCAUAAGGAUAAUGUUGAUUAUAUACCAAGCACUGUGACAGAAAGUGGAGAAAAUAAUGCCCACCGUCCUCCCCUUCCUCCUAGCACUUCUGCUGUUGCAGCUGUUGUAGGGUAUACCCCUCCAUUGCACCAUCCAUGUGAAAAUUUUGCAUUUCCUCCACCUCCUCCACCAGAUAGGAAACGGAUUGGACCACGCCGUAAGUUUGAAAAUUUCUUUUAUUUCUAUUUUUUUUUUCCCACCUUACAGCUGAUCCAUUCAUGUAAUGGUAAUAAUUUGAUGAUAUAAUUUGAAACACCUUGUCUAAUUAUUUGGUUUUUGUCAAAUGAGUAUUUGAGAAGCUAUAUUAUCAGUUAAAAUGACAAAGCUGCAUAUUUAGUAUAUGUCCUAACACAGUGCUUUUUACUUUUUGUCCUUUUGUUUCAGCAUGCCCAGUGUGUUACCUUCCAGUGGAGCAGGCUAUUGCUAGCAUCCCAAGCUCCUCAUCCCCAUCACCUCUGCUUAAACAGUUAAAUUAUGUUCAUGAGGAAAACCCAAUUAAAACUGAACCACAUGGAGGCUCUGAAUUUGGUGGAUAUCCUUCACUAAAACAGAGGAAUGAUUCCUUUGAUAUAAAAGAGUCAAUGACUGUGCAUUGUGGGUAGGUUUUGCUCUUGUUAUCAGUUUUGUUUAAAUGCAUUAAUCAUAUAUGGGUAUAUAUAUUAUCAUUGUUGUCCUUUAGUCAUGAUGGCCUUUGACAGAUAUUCAUUAUGUUUGAUCUAAAUUCAUCUUAUUGUUCUUCUGCUGGGGCAUCUCAUUUACAACUUGUGUAUAUCUACUGUGCAUAUUCUGUUUUAUCAGAUUUGUCACAGGAAGUAAGCCUGGUCAUCAUACUGGAUUUGAUAUUGAUGAAGCUGACCUUAAAGAGUUGGAGCAGCCUCAUGAAGUCAUUGUUGCAUCUGCUAUAUUUGGUAUCGAGGAUGAAACUGCUCAAAUUUAUUUGAAAGGUUUUUGUUUUCUGCAUAAAAAUAACUUUUUUGCAUAUCAUUUUUUCUCAGGAAACUAUGACAUUAUACAACAGCCCAGGAAUGUUAGUGAAGCUGCCAGGAAAAAUGUCCCCUUUUAUAUGUUUAUUGAUGAAGAAACAGAAGCAUAUAUGAGGAAUUCUAGUGUCUUGGACAGCAGUAAGAGGGUUGGAUUAUGGAGGAUCAUUCUUGUACAUAACAUUCCAUACACUGAUGCAAGACGCAAUGGAAAGGUGAGUUCACUUGUUAGUGUUCUAUUAUUUUCUUCCUUUUGGUUUAUGCUAGGAUGUGCUUUAGAUAACUCUUGGUUGUUUUGUUUUUGUUGUUUUACUGUUCUUAAGUUUUACUGUUCUGGUUGAACAGAAUUUGGGUUGUGAUGAUAUGACAUGAUGCAACUAAACCAGCUAAAUGACAAUGGUAACAUAAAAAAUGCAUGGGAUUGCACUUAGAUAUCUAUGCUAAUGUUUUAUACUGUAAUGAAGCCUUAGUUCCUACCACUUGGUCAACCUGCUUAAAUGCUUUUCUCAUUUAGCCCUAGCCAUAUCCUCUUUUAAAUUCUUGGCAACAUGUAUUGAAAUUAUGUCUUUAAAGGAAUGAACUAAUUUUUAAGGGUUUUUUUUUGUUUGGAAAGAAUCACCAAGGAGAUAGUUCAGCUAUUAGUAUGAAUCAGGCCUUAGGGUCCUUGACUUUUAAGGGGUUCCUUUGUUUUUGUUUCCCAGAGGUUUUGGGGGGCAGUUUUUUAUACUCUUAUUGUUACUCAAUACAGUCCUUAUCAUGCGUUGUGUCCUUCCCAAUAUAAUGUUAAACCUUAAUGUUUUUUGUGCUCAAUUUGUGAACCCAAUUUUGAUCAAUUUUCUUCAUGAAAUUUAGGCUAGGCAUAUAAGGACUAUCUUUAAAGUGUAAUAGACUGCUUUCAUGUUCUCAUGUCCAUUGAUUGUGUCAACAACCAAAAAGCCGAACUGGAUCUCCUUUCAAUGGUUCCAAGGAAGAGGAAUGAUCUCAACUUCUAUUGUUCUUGUUGGUGCAGAUUCUUUUAGUGUUAUAAAUGGAUUGGAGAUCACAAACAAGGUGCAUGGAAAAUUUCUAACAUUCUAAAAUAAGCAGUUAAUCCAUCCAAAACCUGACUACAUCUUACUUGGUUGUUGCUAUGAGCCUGCAAGAAAUAAAACCCAUACUUAAUCUUUGCUAAAAGGGCCACCUUAGCCUUGGCCGAUCACUUUGGAACUUCAUUUAUUUCUUCACUUUUACAUAAAAUCUUUAUUUCCCAAUUUUCUUGAAGGGAUCAAUUAUAUGAUUUUGGGAGACGACAUUACUAUGUUAAGGCUAAAUUACAACCUGACAAAAAAAGGUGGGGCAAUUGAGCUUCAUUUUUAGGAAUUGGAUAACUGAACUUACUUCAGAACUGAAAUGCUCUCCAAAAAGUAAUAAGUUUGGUUUUAACAACAAAAGAGAUUACCCAACAUAUGUUAGAAUGAGAUCUUUGACAUGCAUGAUAUCAACUGGUUAGUUUCUAAUUCUAAUGGGCUUACAUCCAAGGUUGACAUUAAGCUCUUACUUUUUUGCAUUGGAUAUGGAUGCAAUGCUUAUGAAUACAUCAGAGUCAAUCGGCUCUUUAAAAUGUCAAUGGUAUUUUUUAGGUUGUGCAUCUAGUGUAUGAUAAAAAUUAAGAAUAUUAGGGUUGCCUAAGUUAUGAAGGGUUUUGAGCCAAGUAGAUUGAAAAUAGGAUCCUUAAAACUCACCAUCAAAUAAGUAUGAUACUAAAGAGGCAUUACUCUUAUAAUUAGUCUACUUAUUUUGGAAGUCACUGUCUUUUCCUUUUAACUUGUAAAUAAAUGAAUUUGGAGUUGUUUUGGGAGCCAAAAGAGGCAUACCAUAUAGCAUCGUGAUUUUAUUACAUAAGCAGUACUAUUAAUUUGCUUGCAUGCUUGUGACAGAUUCCAAAGCUUCUAUUGCACAGAAUCUUUCCCAAUGUCCGGUUUUCCAUAUGGAUUGAUGGAAAACUUCAGCUUCUUGUGGAUCCAUACCAAGUUCUUGAGAGGUAGAUUUUCUCCUGUUUGGAUGGACUUCUAAUGAAAUUUGACAUAGAAUUAUUAAUUAGAAGAUUUGAAAAUAUCUUUCCUAUGAUCAAGUUAUUAAUUUUUUAUCCACUUGAUUAACUGAUUGAUUUGUUUUGGCUCUUAUGGUUCCUUGAAAUUAAUGGAAUUUGGAAUAACUUGAUACCCCUUUAAACAGAAUUUGAAUUGUGUUUCUUGGACAUUCUGAUCGAUUGAUGGUUAAAUUUCACAACUCCUUGUCCUUCAUGACUUUUGAUCUAACCACAAAAUCGAGACUUAGAGAAAAAAAUUUUGAACUUUAACUUAGUGGAAUUGAACAUCAUUCUGCCAUUUUGUUAAUGUACACUUGCAUGAAAGUGACUUUAGCAAUUUUAACUUGAUGUAGGAGUCAUUUUGUUUUAGUCAUCUUUCAUAUGAUGCUCAUGGAUGCAUCAAGAACAGUGCAUUAUUAGGAUUUAAUUUUGACUAUAUAUCUGUAUGCCUCUGCAUUGUUUCUUAGUUUCUACGGUAUGAUACCUUCAUUUAUCUAUUAUUCAGGUUCUUAUGGCGUCAAAAUGCUAGUUUGGCAAUCUCAAGACAUUAUAGGCGCUUUGAUGUGUUUGAAGAAGCUGAAGCUAAUAAAGCUGCAGGGAAGUAUGAUAAUGUCUCCAUUGAUUACCAGAUUGAAUUUUACAAAAAUGAGGGUUUAACACCUUAUUCCGAGGCUAAGCUUCCUAUAACUAGCGGUAAGUGUGUGAUCCUUAUGUGUAUUGUGUGUGUUAUUUUGUAUCUUGAAAUUGAGGUUUUUGGCUUUAUGUCUGAGUUGCUGCAGAUGUUCCUGAAGGUUGCGUGAUUGUAAAGGAACAUAUCCCCAUUACAAAUCUUUUUACCUGUCUAUGGUUCAAUGAAGUUGAUCGCUUUACUUCCAGGGAUCAGUUAAGCUUUGCCAUAGUGAGGGACAAAAUAACGUCACAAGUCGAUUGGAACAUCAGCAUGUUUUUGGAUUGUGAAAGACGAAACUUUGUAUAUCAGGUAACAUUUUAUGAACUGCAACAUUUUAAGGAUUUCUGUCAUUUGGACAUCAAAUAAGUAGGAUGUAACUCUAAUCCUAUGUUUGGUUCAUGGAAAAAUUGAGAGAUGAUACAAUGAAAAGAAUAUAGAGAAAAAAAUGGAAGGAAAAUGAAAUAUAGAUUAGAAAAAAGAAAUGAAAGGAAAAAAAAAAAGAGUGAAGGAAAUAAAAAAUAGAUUUAAAGUUAGUACAUUAUCUUUACAUGUUUCUUUUACCUCAUUUAACUUAUUUUAAUUCUUCUAUAUAAAGAUUAAAUAAUAUGAAAAUGCAUAAGAUGUCCAACUAAUUUUAAUUAUAUUUAAAAAUGUGAGAAACUCAUUUUCCUUGACAUCUUUUUUCCUUUUCUAGGAACUAAACAUGGUUUAAAUGCAUAUUAUGAUUAUCUUUUUCUUUAUCUUUGCUAUGAACUUUGCAUAGAAGAUAUGGCCUAUCUUUUUAGGUUAGAAAUAGAAGGUUUGCCUAAUUACCUUCUGAUUCACAAACCCAUGCAUGUUAUGAUUAUACACAUCUUAAUUCUUGAUCGGCUUCACGGAAGGCCCACAAGGUGGCACCAUUUCAGGUGUCAUUUACAUCUUCAUGGAUCAUCAGUAGUAGUGUAAACCUGUUAGGUUACCAUUUCUAUCUUCCUCGAACUUGGCUAACACAGGGUUUGGACGACCUAUGCCUUGGAAUGCAGCAAUUAUGGGAAAUGGAGUCCUCACCGAGGAUGAUAUUGAUUUAACAUAUGGAAACCUUCAGGGGUUGUAGGAACACAAAUAGAAAACACAAUGUACUCAUCACAAAUCCUAUCAAUAAUGCAGAAAACGAUUAUAAAUUUAAUUUUGUGGUGAAAAAUGACCAUUCUUUCUGUUUACAUACAUAUUCUAUGUUUGUUUGUGGUUUUUUUUUUUUUUCUUUAAAAGCCAGUAGAAAAUGUAUAUACAUUUUGGAUAUAUUUGAUCUUUGGCAUACAGGCAUACCAUAGAGAUUUACUGGAGCACAUGGCUCCCCCACCACCUGUGGUACAUCCACCACCUCGAGAUGUGGUGAUCCCAGGCAAUCGUCAAGGUGCGGUCAUCCCUGAAAAUGUGGCUGGAAGGACCCCUGCAAGGAAGAACCCCCCCAAACGUGGAAGAGGAGAGAGGAGAUCUGGUUCAAGGCGUCACCGCAAAGUUGGCCCUGGCUUUAGGGAUAACAAUUCAAUUUGAGUAUAUUAGGCAACACAAAAUAAUUUUUGGUCUUUAAUUUCAAAUUUAUUCUUGAUGGGUUAGGAGGAUUUGGGCAGAUGAGUGCAAGUUUGAUUGAAAAUAGAGAAAAGAUGGUCCAAAUUUUUGUUUGGAAAGUGUCAAUAUCUAUUCAUUUUUGUUGUAAAUACUAAAUACCUCAAUUCUGAAUAAGCUUCAUACGAGUUAGCUUCAUUUUCUAGUGAUCUGGAAUGCUGUCAUGUUCCCUAUUUCCAUAUUUAUGAACUCAAAGAUACAAUCUCUCUUUCCCUUUAUGACACAAUAGAAGAGUGACAUUCUCAUUUACAGGAUUCAACUUUUGUUUCUAUUUUGUCUCCUUCAAAAUUUGUAUGCUCUUUCUCCUGCAUUAGGUUUACUUUUUAAGGAUAGAUGUGUUGUUUAUGUCCCCUCUAGGUGUAGCUCAACAGUGGGGGUUUUUUUUUUCCCCUUUCAAUAAAGCAAAAGUCCCAUUUAGGAUGGUCUCAAAUGUCUGUUCCAAUCACUUGAGUUUGGGAUAAAUGUUUGUGAUAUCACUCAGGUUUGCUUGUUGAGCAUUUAGAUAAAUAUCUUGAGUUUGUUUGAGAAUGUUUUUGAAAACUAGUUUUCUCAACUGGUUCUGUCAAGGUAAUAUCUAAAAGAUGUUAUUUUAUCAAAAUUUUGUCAAAAUUAUUAUUAUUUUUUAAAAAAUAUUUGGACUGGGUGGGAGACUGCAUAUUAUUUUAAAAUUAAAACUUAAAAAAAUAAAAAAUGAAAGUGGUGAGCACGAUACAACCUGUACUGAAAGCUUUGCUGGAUUGAAAUAUAUGUUUGGAAGAUUUUGUCUUUUUGAACACAAUUAUCAGAGAAUCCUCACCCUCACAGCUGUGAGAGUGGACCCAUGAUUCAUGGCAUCCUCUGCAGACCAAUUUUAUCAUAUAGUUGGCACUGGGUUGGUCUCCAAAUUCAAAAUUUCAAAUAGUUUCACCUUCAGAUAUGAUGGGUUACCACUGAUUUGACAUUGUAACUAGAUAUUUCACACCCCCCUUAUCAUCAAGAAUAUUUUUUAAAAGUUCUUUUUUUGAAAAUAAGUUAUUUUUUAACAAAUUCAAGGUGUUUUUCAUUAUUUUUUUGAAGUGUGUUGAGUAAUAAUUUAAAAUAUGAAUAAUAUUUAAAAAAAUUUAGGGAGAAUUAUCUUUUGGGGUAGAUGGACCCCCAAAUUAACAAAAGGUUCAUAUAACUCUUGAAAUUGAGUUGAAGGAUAUGAAAUAGUAACGGACAAAUAUACCCUUUAAGAAUACAUAUAAAAUAUUUUAUAAAAUUAUGUUAAAUAAAUUUUUUUCAAUAAUUUUUUUUUUCAAAAAUACUAAAUUAAAUAAAAGUAGUUUUCAAAAAUAUUAAAUUAAAUAAUUUUUUUUCAAAAAUAUUAAAUUAAAUUAAAGUAUUUAAAAAAAAUAUUAAAUUAAAUAAAUUUAUUUUUACAAAAUAUUAAAUUAAAUAAAUUUAUUUAAAAAAUAUAUUAAAUUAAAUAAAAGUAUUUAAAAAAAUAUUAAAUUACAUAAAAGUAUUUUUUAAAAAUAUUAAAUUAAAUAAAAAAUAUUAAAUUAAAUACAAGUAUUUUUCAAAAAUAUUAAUUUUUUUUUCUCAAAAUCAACAAAGGGCAUUUUUGGAAAUACUAAAAGAUGAUAUCCUUCAACUCAAUUUCCAUACUUUCAUUGAGUCUUGAACUCAAUUUGAAGAGUUACAUGAAUCUUUUGUUAAUUUGAGGGUCCAUCUACCCCCAAAACAUAAUUCUCCCAAAAUUUAUUCAUAUUUGAAUUUAUUUUUAAAUUUAAUUUAAAAAAUGUUUUUAUUAUUUUAGAAAACCAAAUUAUACUAUGGCCCAACCAUUUGAUUUCCACAAUAUUCCUCUUUCUUAUAGCAAUUUUUACCAUGGAAUUUAGUGCUUGGCAACCUACCGUUUUAAUUUAGUAAGCUGUCAUUGAAUUGGAAGACCAAUCAAAUGGACUUUCCAUUAAAUCUGUAAGGAUUGGUAAAGAAAGUUGAUUGGAUUAAUGAUACUGUCAUUUCAUUAAUCUUUAUAAAGAAAAAUCACUUUAAAUUGUCUCAAUCAAGACAACUUUUCAAUUCUUUAUUCAACUUAAUUUUUUUUUUCCAAUUUUCAUUGUUGUUAUACCAUUUUUUUUUUACUUUAUUGAACCAAUGUUCAAAAUAUAUACCUUUUAUAUAUUUUCUAAAAAAAAAUGAAAAACAUAGGAAAUAAUAUAAUUUAAUAUUUUUUCUUAAAAAUAAAAAAGAAAAUGAAUAUUAUUAUAUCAACGUUAAAACAAGUUUAAUUUGGUUGAACCUUAGCUUGAACUCAACCAAAAUUAAGCUUGGAUUGAAAGCCUAAUUCAAGUAUUGAAAAUAAUUAUUCAAGCUCAUCCGAACUUUGAGUUAGAUUCAGGUUGGAUCUGGUCAAAUCGCCUAAGUUGCACUCCUAAUCAAGUGUACGAGACAUCAAUUUUUUUAUUAAUUAAAAUUAAUUCUUAAUAAACAGAAUUUGGAGUAAUAUCAUUUUAAGAAAUUUGGAAGACUAACGAUUAAAUUUGAACAUGAAAAGAUAGUGAAAACUCAUAAAGAUCAAAUGUAUUUAAUCAUUGUCUAAGGACGGACUGAAUAAUUCGAGGUUAUAAAAAUGUGAAAGUUGGCUUCUUUGACAAAUCUCAUGAAAUCUUCAUUUUAAUAUAAUGACUUAUGGUAAGAUGCCACCAUUGUUGAAGUGGAAGAUAAAAUUUAAGGGAUUCUAUCACGAUAUUGAAAGAAGUCAUUUUCAGGGAUCAAAUUGUAAUUGAUGUUGUGUGGAAAGAUCUUAAGGUUGUUGACCUUAAGAAGUUUAUUGAACAGAUUUGAUUCGACCCCCUUCAAAGACGAACUUCAUUUCCCAUGGCCUGAUUUCUUUGAUUUUGAGAAUAUCUUAACAUUUUUCUAUUUAAGACAUGGAAAUACUUUUUAGAUAUGGUAAGGUAAGAAAAGAAAAGGCUGAUAAUACAAUACCCCACCAUGGAUUUUAUCUAAAAGAAUCUAAGGCAAUGGGCCCUUCUCAUGCAAGCCUCCAAGAAAAUGAAUAAAUAUAAGCAAAAAUCCAAAAUAAUUAUUAGGUGAUAAAAAGGGUGAUGUAAGCCCUAAGGUCCAUGCCAGGGGAUAUUCAAUAGCUUUGUAAAAGAAGCAAGCAUGGCAUUUUCUGCAUAAAGUAUGGAAGCCAUUAAAAAAAGACUCUCAACCCAUCAUCAGCGACAUCAUCAUCAUUCAUCCAAAUCCAGAACCCAAUUGCCCAAAUAAAUCGUGGAAAAUCAUUGAUAGUGCAGAAAGAAGUGGAAUUCACCAUUACUGGCAAUUCCAAAAUUCAGUUCUUUCAUAUCCACAGAAAAAAAAAAAAAAAAGUUUCUCCCAAUUUUUAGAAACCCGUUUCAGUUUCAGUUUCCUUUAUUGGGUGUUGCAUCCGGGUUUGAUCGGAUCUCCUGCAAUGAAAUUUGGGUUUGGAACCUGAAUUGUUGAAGAAAUCUAAAUGGCGUUAGAAACUUUUUUCAGUUUCAUUGUGGUUUAAUUGCUUUGGGAGUGGUGGGUUUUUUUUUUGAUCCAAUAUUUAUGUUGAGGUCGGUUGAAUUGGAGAAAAGAUCUAUAUAGGGUUCUAAUCAAGGGGUGGUUCUUCUGGGUUUCUUGCCCAUGUACAGUUGAAUUUAGGGUUGGGUUUUGAAAUCACAGGUCCAUUUGUUUGCUUUGGGAUUAGAGUUUGGUUGUUAAUCUGUACUCUGUGAAUUCUUAUUCAAGAUUUAGAGGGUUGUUUGAUCAACAUGGGAUCAGCUGCUUUCUUCCUCACAUGCAGUCUCCAUUCUGUGAUAGCUCUCACUUGUGGAGCUCUAAUGAUGUUCUACACAAACGAAAUCUUUGUGUUUGGGCAUGGCCCUGAGAUUGCCCGGAAGCUUCAGGGCUCCACACCCCAUGACCAGCUCUUAAUCCGAACCUCGGAUUCAUUCUCUGGAUUGCUUUUAUUCGCCAUUGGGUUCCUCCUUUUCAUGGUGGCCUUUGUCAAGGACAGAGAGUUUCAGAGCUUCUUCGCCAAGGGCUGCGUCACUCUUCAUGUUUUCAUGGCUUUGUGGAGAAUUUACUUUGAGAGAAAGCUUGAAGAUCUGGCCUGGGACUGGCCAAAGCAGGUUGUGGGAGACAUUGUUCUGGCCCUUUCAUGGGUUUUCCUGGUUGUAUACUCUUGGAGGGAGAAGUAUGAUUAGGGUUUUGGACGUGAGCUUCCAUUGAUAUGGAAAUAGAACUUGGAUGGUUGCUCAGUGGCUUGCUUCCUUGAUCCUCCAAUACUGAAUAGAGUUGAAUUGAACAGGAACUACACAGAUUUCUCUGUUUGGGCAACUGGGUUUUUCCAAAUUUUUCUGGGUGACUGUUGAUUUUCUUGGAAAGUGGCAGUAGACGAUGAAUUGAAUGACGGGUCAGUUUGUUUUUUAUUGAAUUUGGUUGGGAAGUUGUGUUAGAUUGCUUUAUUCUAUGAGGUUUGUAGGAUGGUGCUUGAAAACAGGAGAUGAGUCUGGCUAUAGCUUGUUUUUGCCCCAGUUGGAUCUUUGUAAUUAGAAUUGUAAAUUUUCGUGAAAUAAUGAUGAAAAUUGUGAUUUCUUACUGUUAGAUCUUGCUUCCUUUGGUUAUGUUGCUUACCUUUUGUUGUUCAGAUUCCUUGAAGUUUCCCUUCUUUUCCAUUUUUAGUUCACAACAUUGUAUCAUAUUUGGACAACCAAAGGCAGUGGGUCAAAAAAAGCCAAAAACUGAUAGAAGCGUCCAUGUUUAGUAAUUGUUUUUGCCAAAAAUGGUUCAUAAGAACAGCUACUAAGCCCAAGUCUGGUAACUAUUUGCCAAAAAAUUUCCUGUUCUCUAUAAAAAAGAAAAAGACUAGUUUCUUAUUUUAUGUUCUAGAAAAAAGGAUGUAUUUAAAGAAUAUUUUUUAAUUAUUUUUUUAUUAAUUUUCGAAGUGCUGUAUUAAAAAAUAAUUAUAAAAACAUGGAAAGUGAUUUAAUAUUAUAUAUAAAAGUUAUUUUUAAAAUAUUAAAAACAAGUUUAAAAACUUUUUAGAUUUUUAAAUAGAUUUUUGUUUUACAAGAAUAGUUUUCAAAAAUUAUUUUUAGUAUUAUUUUUUAAAAUAAUUAUCAAAUUAGUCAGAAUUUGUUUAGUAAUUAUUUUUAAAAACAGUUUUAAAAAAUGAUUUUUUAAAAUUAUUUUAUAAUUGUUUAAUUGUUUGAAAACUUUAUAUAUUUUUGAUAACCGUGGAUGUCCGGGCCAGUUUACGCGCACCUCGACUAAUCCCACGGGGCCCUGAAGUUAACGAUCGGGUAAACCUCCAGUGGCCCUGAGGGGACUCGAACUGGUGACCAUUGGGGAGCAAACCCAAGAAAACUUUAUAUAUUUAAAAAAGCAUAAUACUUUUAAAUAAUAUGAUAUUUUUACUUAUUUUCUAAAAACUGUUUUAAAAAAUAAUUAUUUAAAUGUAAAAAUUUAUUAAAAAUAAAGUAUUACAUUACAAGUUAUUUUUAAAAUAUAUUUAAAAAUAGAUUUAUUAAAAAUACUGAAUUUUAAAAAUUUUAAAAGCCUACUUUUUAAACCUCCUCCAAAUACGAUUGCAACCCGUCGCCCAACCCUAGCCCACCCAUCCCUUGUAGCUCUCUGCAACCGGCGAUCCCCAACCCUCACCUCAUCCCUGUGUAGCUCAUUGGUUCCACGACCUUCUCAAGGUAAUUUCUUCAUUCUCCUCCUCCAUCGCUCUCCAUCCGAGACUACACAGUUGGAAAGACUCUCCACUUUCAUUCGACAUCGUUGUUUUUUUUUUUUUCUUCUUAAUGUUUGAUUGUCUUAAAAUGUUAGUUAGGGUUUUGGGUUUUAGGAUUUCAAUAGAGCAGUCCAGUCUCAUUUCCCAGUACUUCUCUCUCUAAAACUCUCAUUCUCUAUUCUGGUUCACAUAUGCAAGUGCUCUGUUUAGGGUUUUGAGUUCACGUGUUGCAGGGCCGUUUCUUUUUUAAGGAAGAAAAACUUUGUUUGGUGAUAUCUUGUUAUUUAGAGCCCGUUUGAUAUGGUUGUUGUCUCAUUGUUAUUAGGAUUUUGUGGUUUGUUUGAUUGUUGUGAUUUUUGUGGUUUGUUGGGUUAUUAGGAUUUUAUGGUUUGUUUGAUUGUUGAAACCUAAAGGAAAAUAUAAGAAAAUUUUGGGUUUAAUCUUAUUGAUUUCAUAUUAUAGUUUGUUGGGUAGAGCAUUUGGGCCCAAACUGUUUGUUAGGAUGCCCAUGAGAGUUCUUAAAUCAUGUGGAAUACCCCCCUCCAAAUGAUUGAACGCCACUGAAAGCUGCUGAAGAGAUGAAAGGUUUCCCAAAGUAAAUGGGAUAACCCCUGUUAGACUGUUCCGCCCAAACCUCAGAAUUAGCAGUUUCGACAUAUGGCCAAAGUGGAAGGGAAUCUGCCCCGUCAGAUUGUUCCUUGUCAAGUACUAGCAUAGACACUGCCCCAAGAGAGGUGUUUGAUUAAUUGGGCUUGCAUUUGUUUGCCCUCUUGGAGAGCCAAGGCUUGGGCACAUGAAGUGAGCACAAAACAGAAAGUGUACUCAUUGGGAUAUAGGCCUUAGUGGAGCAGCUUGUGGUAAAAGUGGAGGGAAUCAAGUGGAUGUGAAGUUUGUGAAAAGGCCUUAAUCAUAAUGUUGUAUGAGUAUACAUCAGGGCUUUGUAUUUGCGAAAAUACAACAUAAGCCAGGUGAAUGUUUGGAGGACUCAAAGAGAAUGAACUAGCUACAAGUAAUCUGGUAACCGGAAAAGCAUCACGGGACAUGCCAGUGGUGAUCAUUAGGCAAUGUAUUUGAUUGAAAUGGGCCAUGGUUUGGCAUUUUGAUAGUAAGGAUAAAACAGGGUGGUCUAGAUUUAGGGGAGCACUAGCAAGAUUUUUGGCAUCCUGGAUGUUGGGGGGUUUUUUGAGUCCUCUUCGUAAGGUUGCAGGGGUUUGGAUCAUCCAAAAAUGGCUCCUGCACUUGCCUACUGCAUUGGAGCUAUGCAUCAUCCUGUCCUGAUGUGAAAUAGUUUAGAAGGAUCAGCCUAUCCUGAGCAGCAUGGGCUUUUCUAUACAGACCAUCUGAAUAAGCAACCGCAGUAGCCUUAAUUAGAUAUAUUCAUUUAGGGUCGUGCAGUCCCAUUGUGACAAAGUUUAAUACGUGUCAUUAACAAUUAGAAACCAAUACAUUUUUUAUGGGUUUAGGAUGGGUGUAAUCAUAUUCGGAUCAAAUUUGGAUUGCCCACGUAAUCUAUAUAAGAAGUAGGAAACUUUUGGAUCAACCCACAUAAUACGAAAUUUGAUGGAAUCAGUCCAUUUAAUAAUCAUAUUGAUUAAUCUAAUUACAAUUUUAAACUAUUUAACCAUAUUUUACUCAUUUUAAAUUUGAUUUAAAUAAAUAAAUCAAUUGAAUUAUAAACAUAUCUGGUUUGAACAAAAAUAUCUCAGAUUGAGAUGCUGCAACCGUCGCAAAAGACCAAUGUUAGUGGGGAUAGAACCCUGCAAGUUAUUGUUAGACAACACCAACUCUCCAAGGAAUGUUAAGUUCCCAAUAGGAGGUAAGGAACCAGUUAAGCUCUGACCCUCUGAUGUCUCCGACUGCAUGUAACCCCCUGCCACUGGCAGAAAUGCAGAGAGUCGUUCCAGGAACUCAGUGCUCCAUGUGGAACAUCAACCAGAUGAUUCUUGAAGACAAGCAAUGCAAGCUGAAAAUAAUCUGAAAACAACAGGAAAAUAGUUUUCUGUUUUCACUGUUUUUAAAAACAGUUUCCAAAGUGGCUUUAUUUUCAAGAACAAAAUUUUAUUUGGAACUCACAUAUGAAAAACAAAUUGUCCACUUUAUUUUUAAUGAAGGGUGCUAUACACUUACUAUUUAUAAUACAAAAGUUCAAAAUUUGGGCCGGCCCAGGACCAGGCCCAGCCCAUAUUACCUGACUGAACUCAUAUACCAUCCCUCCAAACUCUGCGUCUUGGUCGAUACCCAUGGAAGGUGCCGCGAUCGCUAUUUACACAACCUCCAAAUGCUGCGCCUCAGUCGAUUUCUAAGUUCAAGGUACUGUUUCAAUCUCUAUUCCCAAUUCAAUUAAUUGGAUUUACAUUAGUAAUAAUCGUUUGGAUGCUGAGAAAAUACAGAGAAUCGUUUGAAUAGUAAUUUUUGCACCAUCUAGGGUUAGGGUUCAAGAAUACAGAAAAUCUCACUUUACCUAAAACCGAUAUGAUUCUAUGGCUUAGUUGAUUUGAUUUUUAUUUAUUUAUUUUGUUUGCUUUGGAUUUUUGGCGGCACAGAAAGUGAGAGAGAUAACAUAGUAAUCGAUGUGUGGUUUUCUUUUUCUUUUUUUUCUCUAUGUUUUCUUGGUAAACAAAAGGCUGGAUUUCACUCUGAGUGCUUUAUAGGGGAAUGCCAUUGUUGGAAGUUUUGAAUUCUAGGGUUUCUGUUUGUACACAUUAUUGCCAAUUUGGAUUACAACUCACUGGAAAAAUUGUUGUUAGUUUAACUGUCGUUGCUGUUUGGGAAUGUUUCCUUGUAUAAAAUAAGUAUCUGGAGGUUUGGGAUUCUAGGGCUUGUCGGUGAAUAGCCGUGGAAGUAUUGCCAGUUUUGGUUAACUGAAAUUUUUGUUAGAUUAAUGGUCUAUGCUAUUUGGGGAUGCUUUAUUGUAUAAAAUAGUUUUAGUUUAGAUGCAGAGAAAAUAUGAAAAAAGUAAAUUAAAUUUUCACCUACCAUGAUUGGGGAAUACAGAAAAAUGCCAUUUUACUUAAAACACACACUGAGGGGUUUUUCCCCCUUUUUGGAAGCAAAAGAUGACAAAUUACAUAGGAAUGAGAAUGCCGUUUUUCUUUUAUUGCUCUAUUUUCUUCGGAACCAAACAGAGGGCUAGGGUUUCUCUUUGAAUGCUUUUAAUCUGUCGAUAUUAUUGUUGAAAAUUUUGAAUUCUCAGAUAUCAUUCUGGACUAUAGCCGAAUCUAGAAUUUUUAUAAACAUAAUUAUCUAGGAACAUUUUGUACAAUUAUAUAUGGAAAAAGAUUUGGCUUGAAUAAACAUUCAUAGGGUUUGCAUGGAAACAUAAAUGGUACCUACCAUGCUGCCUGAAUCCCAAUGUAAAUGGAAGUCUUUGGAAGAAAAGGAAGAAAGUACAACCAAAAGGAUGAGGACUCUUUAUGGAAAUCUUUGAAAGAGAAAAUGUCUGUGUGAGAGGAGCUAUAUAAAUGACUUUUUCUGCCUUCAUUCAAGAGAUUUGUGGUGGACUACACGUUUUUUUUUUUACUGUUUUUUGUCAAUAUAUUCUUUUUGUUUGCCUAUCAAAACAAAAUAAAAUAAAAAACAACCAACCACAACUUUAGAGGGAUAAAAGUUUCGCAUGAAUCCAAACUAGAAUCUGGUUUGCCUCUUAGCAGGCCUUUUUUUUUUUUUUUUUUUUCUGUGAUAGACUCUUAGCAGGCCUAUUCACUGCCUUGUUUGCCAACCUCAGCUUCCAACAGCAAGAAUUGCCAUACCCAUAGUAAGAUGAAAGACAUCUGUCAAGUUCUGAACUAUAAUCAUAUGGCCAUAGCAUCUCUUUUCCUUUGCUGGAUCUCUCAAAAAAUAUGAUGGUUAUAUCUUAGAUCUUCUUAGGAGCCAAAAUCAUUAUAUCAUGGUUCUCCUUAGGAGCACCAAAUGACUGUAGGGUUUCAUAAUCUGAAGUAAUCAUUGGUGUUGACCUUCCUAGCUACCAACCAUGGGAGAAGUAUAGUUCUUAUGAUAAUUUUUUUUUGGCCCAUUUUUUUUCCUCAUACUGUGAGUGAGUUUCUGACAUGAUGUGGUUUUUUGACUUGUUAGACAUCUGAUUUCCUUGUGGCUAUGCUUCAGCAAUUGUGUGUGGCUGUGGCUGUAUAAAGUGAUGAAUGCAAACUGGAAUUUCUUUUGAAAUAUGUUUUGUUUUCAUUUGUUUGUCGUUCACCAAUCUCCUCAGUCUUCCCGAGGUGUACGGGAUAGCUUAUGAUUGCUUUAAGAAUAAUGAUUUCUAUACUUUUCUUGACUCUAAGAAAUAAGGAGAAAAGGGAAUGUUAGUUUUGGUAGACAAGCACCUCCUCUUCACUUGAUGAGGAAGCAUGAGGAAAAUGUUUCAUAGUGUUUUUAUUUCUCUUUUGCUGUUGUGUAUGUAAGUCUCUUACAAUUAAGGAAAAGGAUGGAGCAUAACUUACCCCUAGUUUAUGCUAUGUAUGCAAACUCAGUUUCAGUCUUUCAAUUUUUUUUGUCUCUCUUUGAUAGGCAAGUUUGCAGUAAUGCUUACACUUGAAUGUAUCUCAAUGGCUAAAUCCUACAAGGGAUGGUAUAGUAAUAUGCAUGGCAUAGAUUUUUCUUUUAAUUGAACUUUAAAGUACGGCCUUAGGUUUUUGAGAAGUAUAUUCGUGUCUGUUUUUCUGUUUUUGGUUAAGUGUUAGUGUCUUUAAAAAAGACUACCAUUUGGUUGGUCAGCCUAUCUUCUGAAGAUGUGGAUUUUGUUUUGUGUCAGUUUGGGGUUAUUCGUUUUCAUUCUUCUGCACCCCCUCACUCUGUUUUCAUUUUUAUUUAUCUCCAGGUACUUGUGAUAUAAUGGGUGGUCUUCCUACUGAACAGCCCGCCUCUGCCUUAACUUUGGCAGGGUUGCAGCAAACGCGGGGAUCUGAGCCUGUGUCGAAGCCCAAAAAGAAAAUCUGCUGUGCCUGCCCUGAUACUAAGAAGAUCCGAGACGAUUGCAUUGUGGAGCAUGGUGAAGCUGCUUGUGAAAAAUGGAUUGAAGCUCAUCGUAGAUGCCUUCGGGCUGAGGGGUUCAAAGUUUGAAAUUUGGCAAAAGAUUGCAGAUUUGAUAAACUGAAAAUGAAAAAGUUUUGAUACCCAAAUUGUUUACAUCAGGAUUUUACUUAAAUGGUCAGACUUGUCAAUGAAACUUCAGGUUCAGGAAUAAAGCCAUGCUGGGGAACUUUGUUUACUGUUACAUUGAAAUAAUUGAUUACUAAUUUAUUCUUAACUAUAGGGGUUGUUCCCCCUUACAGAAAUGAUGUGGCAAAGAUGCUUUGAUCAAGAAUAAUAGUAUACCCCUAGAGAAUAAAUUUGCGAAAUCAAUAGCCUAUUCUUUUUUGCUAGUCUUUUUUUUCUUUGUUCUUAAUCUGUGCAUCUCAUUUUAUCACAAAUUCCAUUUUAUUUUGAUCUUUCAUGCUUUUAAGACACUAUCAGGAUGUUGCGUUUGAAAUCUAAACUCUAGCCAGCAAAAUGAAGAUCAAGGAGACUUAUGAUAUGUUUGGGAAGCAAAUUGAGGAAUAAUUGGCUCUCAAUUCCAGUCAAAGCUGAUCUAUGAUGUCCCAAUUGGGCAGCUUUUGUGAUUAUAAGCUUUGUGAACACUGUAAUUUUCACAGAAAAGAUGAGUGGUAUCUUUUGAUACCAGAGCCCUGGACCACUUUCAACUUCUCAAUUUUCAAGUUAGUGUUGAUGUUCAAGAAAAUUUCAUACUCAAAUUUCAGUGGUAACUGGGUCUUCUGAACAUCUUUUUUUAAGCGUAUAUCUAUCUGGGUUUUUGAGGAUAGUCCAUGCUAGAUCCUUGCUUCCUCCUCUUAUUUAGAUGGUUGUUUUUAGGGUUUUCAUGGAUGAUCCACAAAUGUUGAAAGCACAGUUUUUCAUGUUGUCAAGCCAUUAAUAACAACCCAUUGGCCUGAGUUGGGUUGGAUGAUCUUACCAUUGAAGAACAACAAAAUGAAAGUUUAUGCUAUGACAAAACUUCCUUUCCUGCUAUAUUUUACUCUCCAACAACCUCAUCUAUUCAAACCCCAACUUCACAGAACUAUAGAAAAUGAAGAGAGAGACAGAAGGAGAAGAUGAUAUACUAGUAAUGGUAGAGUUUCAUUUAUCCACGCAACUGAGACACAGACCAGGCCUUGGAGACAUGGCCAUGGAGAAAACACAUUUGACACCAAACACCAAACCUCAAGCCACAAGUGAUAAUACAAAGGACACAAACUUAAUUAUUUGACACACAAGUACACAACCAACGUUAUUCUUUAAACCCUCAAAUGCAAUUCCUCCUAUAUCAUCAGCCAUCACAUCUUAUUCUUUCUUAUAUCAUGUGCUUACUGGCCACAGGUGCAGUCAAUACAGGCGCAGCUAUCACCACACUUGCAGCUGCCCUCGUGCUGGGCUGCUGGAACCUCCAUCACAACGGUCGCAACAUAGCUGCAAAAACACAACAACACCCAUUAUCAUCAUCAUCAUAUCUUCUUUCAUAGAAAACAAAAACGGAAGAAGAAGAAGAAGAAGUUGUUUUCUUCCUUGAAAUAUAUUAGGGUUCUUGAAGUACUGCAGGAGGGUUUUAGGUUUACCUCUUCUCGGUCUCUACGAUGUCGAUUCCAUAGCUGUUUCCCUUCUUCCUGAAAUCACACAAGAUUUAUUAGUCCAUAGCAACCUUUGUUAUGGAAACAUUGGCAGAACCUUGAUGCUGGGUAGCCAUGAAAGCCAUGCAUAAAUACAAACGCUAGUAUUGAACCAGUAAGAGUAUAUGGGGCACUUACACGCACUGGCUCUUGUCAGCGCAGUCGCAGUUGCCGCAGGUCGACAUGGUUGAACGUAAAAACUGGGGAAAGUCGGAAGUAAGACAAGGGUGUUUUUAGAUGGGUUUGUGGGUACUGCUUGCUUGCUAUGCUAUGCCUCCAAGGAGUGAUAUUUAUAGGUGGAGGGAUGGAGAUGAUAAUGGAGAGUGGUGGGGCAGAGGCCAUGAGAGGAGCACACGCCUUUCGCCGGAAGCAUCCGAAGGAAUCUUGAUAAUGGGAGGUGGUGGCCUGUUAUGCUCCUCUCACGUCAACUUCAUUUCUCUUCUGCACAACAUGCCUUUCUGGAGAUAUACAUAUCUUCCGUCUUCCCUGAUCCAUCCAUAAAACGGCCUCUCAGCCCCACACUCCUCACAGUCGGCUUGUGGCACACGCCACCAUGACAUCUCGAUCACAACCCUUCUGAGACUGAUUUUGAGAGGUUCAUACUAUGCUUCCUCGAAAAAUAUUAAGCCCCUAUUUGAUAAUUUUACUUUAUUUUAUUUUUUUAAUUUAGAAAACACAUUUGGUAAACUUAUGAUCUGAAAAUAAUUUUUUUUUCUAUGAAAUAAUGUAAUUUAAAAAAUAUUUAAUAAUAUUUUUUAUAAGCGAUAUUAAUAAAAAUAUUACAUAUUAAAAAAAAUUAAAAUAACUGUCAAAUAGACUCUUUUAGGCUUAUGACAUUGAUCGAGAUAUCAAUCAUUUGUGAUUAAAAUUUGUUGCAUACCGUAGUUGCUUAAUUAAGCUCAAGGAAACUUUGAUGGGAUUGUGCAAUUAUGAGGAAGAAAGCGAUGCUUAGACAAAUUGAGCUAAAUGAUUUUUGCUAAGAUUAGCUGUUAACAGGCCAUGAAGCAAAAUCAUGUUGUGCUUGUCUCUAUAAGCUAUAGUUUUUAAUAUGCAACUUGCAUUUGUACUUAUCUGGAGGAUCAAAUCCUCUUUUUGACUCCUUUUUUUUUUUUUUAAUAUAUAUAUAUAUAUAUAUAUUUUAUAAUAUGAUUAUUAUUUGGAUGGUGUCACACAUAUCAUCAUUCUUUUACCAUCUUAUUAUAAAUAAAUUAUGAUUAAAUAUAAAAAUAAUUUAUUAAAAUUGAUUAAAUACUUCUUACAUUUAUGAAUUUAUUCUUUCAUAUGUUUUUGUUCAAAGAAUAACUAAUUUUUUUACAUAAAUAUUCUUAACUAUUUUAAAUAUUUAAAAUAUGUUUUUUUUAAAUAUUAUUUUUAUAAAAAAUUUAUCAAAAAAAAAAAAAAGAACAAGGGGAUAAAUUUUCGAAAUUGACACCCUUUUAAUGAAAUGACCUUAGAAUAUAAUAAAAAAAUUUAUAUCUAUUUAUUGAUAUUAAAUAAUAUAUGUAUAUAAGGUAGACAUAUAAUAUAUUAAAAAUAAUGGUGAUAAAAGGUGACAUGAUGUACAUUUUUCAUUAUAAUUUUGUUGUUAAAUUUAUUUAUUUUUUAGUUUUUAAAUUGUAAAAUCAUUGCAUAUAUCCCACCAUUAUUCCAGGAUAUUAUCAGUACACCAGGGCACAAAUGCCAAUGAAUCCCCACCACCAAAUGUCAGGCUUCCCACAUCCCUUUUGAAAUAUCACAAAUUUCACUGAUUCCCAGAAGGGAUUGGCUCAAACUGGAAUGGAACACAAUUUUAAAGAAAUAGCAAAAAGAUUUGUUUCAACUGUGAAAGAUAUGGUUGGUUUUAGAAAAAAAUACUAAAAAUUAAGAAUGAAAAUUAAUUUUUCUUUGAUUUAUGACCAAAAAAAAUUUAAAAUUAAAUAAAAUUUCAUAUAUUUUAAAAUUAUUUAAAAUUUAUAUAAAAUAAAAAAAUAAAUUUAAAUAAAUAUGUAAACAUAAUAUAUUGAUUUAAAAUUUAUUUUUUAUUUUUCUUUCAUUUUUUUUUUCUCAUUUUCAAAAGAAAAAUAUGGAUGGAAAACUAGAGAUAUUGUUAACAAAUGUGAAAUUAAAGCAAACAAAAACUUUAUUUGGUAGCCAACCCUUUGAAAUCCUCUAUUUUCAAGCAAAGCACAGCCUUACAUGCAUCCUUUCAAUCUUUCUAUCACCAAUGCCAACAAAAAAUCAUGCGUGUCCUCUUCAUUUUCCCCUCCACUCUCUCUUCCAAACAUGUCCAUAUCAAAAUUCUAUGCGAUAUCCAUGGAGAAAAAGAAGAAUGAAAAGAGGAAACAAAGAAAAAAAAAAAAAAGAUCUGAGUCUUAUUCAACCAACUCAAUGAGUUAAGAGCAAUAUAUAACUCACUCGGAACAUAAGGUGGGAGGAGGCUAUAGCAAUAAUGGAAAAUGAAUGGAGGGUCGGUCCCCUCCUUCCCCAUGAAAGCUGCUUCCAUACCUCUGCCUGGAUAUGAUUGCGAUCGAUCAAUCGAAAAGACUGGAAAAGAUGAGAAUAGCUGACAUUUUAAAGCUUGGACUGGAAAGAAGGUGAGCCCAAUCUCAUGUGAGCUUCACAACAUGUCAAGAGCUCAGUUGUCUGAACCCCAAAACCACAAGUGUUCAACCACUUGUCAUGGGAUUGUCUGGUCAUCAUUCAAGAAAUCAAUACCAUUCAAACAAGUCAAACGUUCCCAAAGAAGAAAAUGACUGAAAAAAUCGAAACGAAACAACCACCAUGGCACCUUUUGAGCUGAAAAUUCUAAAGAUUCAAAAUCUAAAUGGAGCCUUCAGGAAUUAAAGCUUGAGAAAUGAUCCAUCCAGAGAAGAAAGCACAAGAAGUUCCUAUAAAAUUGGACACUACCCAUAUUCUCCUCAUGAAUAAAAUCUGAGAGUAAUAUAUUUGAAUUGAACUAAUUUCCAGUACAGGUUUUGAAUGUUAAUCAGGACUGUAUGACAACUUUGGAGAUUUACCUGUUAGGAUAGCCCAAUUGGUCAGGGCAAACACUGGGAAGUGUGGUCCCAAUAAGUGGCACAUGGUCUUGGGUUCGAAUCCUACUUGAUAUCCUGAAUUUACUCGGUGCUAGUUGUUACGAGGCAAUCAGCACCCCGAGGUUUAGGUAGAUGCACAUAUAUGUGACAAGGAGAAAGUCUAAAAGAUGAUUAUGACCUAAUAGCAUUGAAUCAAGAGAGUUUUAGCGUUAAAGAAAGCCUAAUACGACCAACCCUAAUUCGGAAUUCCUAUUAAAGUUCAUUACACCAUGUGUUUCUAGUUGCGGUAAUUAAUAUCAGAUGCACAACACUCCCAAAAGUUAUGAGACUCAGUGUGAUAUGUGUGUGAAGGUGUUCAUCAUAGUCACAAAAAUGAGAGAAGUACCAAGCCAGAUCAUUUUGAUAGGGCUAAGAAUUAAACGCACUUGAAUGGAAUUGAACUCCAAAUAAAUUUUAGGAGAAUGAAAACACAAAGGCUAUGUAUCCAUAGAUGGAACAUGUACAUUGUACAUUGAGUUUCUCAAAUCCUGAUGAAUUCUUUCCUACAUUCCCGCAAUCACAGAAGAUGAAACAAUGACACGAAAUAUCAGAGAGAGAAAAUGAUAUAUGAUAUAAAACAAGCAUAAGAAACAAAGCUGUGGUUCAUAAACCUGGAGGGCGGUAAGAGCAGCAUGUUUACAAACUGGUAUAACACUAAUAUCGGAUCAUGUCUUGAAGGCAAUCAAAGAAAUGAGAGAUUGCGAUUUUUUCUUUGCCUGAAUAAAUGGCCUCAGCCUCCCCACCAUGUUCUCCCUGGGCGGCCAUUUCAAUUAACAUGUACAGUUUCUUGAUUGGCAUCUGCAAUAGCAACACACCAAAUUAUGUAAGUCUAACAACCGGGGAACAAACACUCCUUUUAAACUAAAGGUCGCUGUUCUAAAAUCCUUCAGGUAUAUUAGCAUUGUGAGAAAACAAGCAAAUAUAACAUUAAAGAAAAUGAAAAUCAGAAGAUAUACAAAUUUCGAUGUGGUUUGUGUGGAUAUACACACACAUACAAGCACAAGUACACAUGAAGUUUAUUCAAACUUACAUCAUUCAGGGCCUCUGCAGCAGAAUCGAUGUCAUCAUCUGAGAAAACAUUUAGCUGUUGUAACACCUGCAGGUGAGGAAAAGAGACAAAAAUCAAUACUUUGAAGCAUAAUUAGAUGGAAGAUUAUCAUAGUAAGGGAUGCCACCUAAACUUGAACCCAUAUAUUCCAAAGUACAAUUUAGCUCACAAGGGCUUUUGCCAAAUAAGAGGGGAAAAAAUCCAAGCUGACGUUAUGCAUUAAUACCCAAGCUGAACCAAAGGAACUUCUUUAUAGGAAUUGGAACACCGAUGAUUCCACAAUAUGGGGAUACCAUUUCACCUAAAUAGCAUGUUAACAGUGAAAUCGGUGCACAAGGUCAAGAUGGCUUUUUAUAUUCAGGCACAAAGUUUGAUAAUUGUAGAAUCCUAGGAGGAGCCAAGACAUGGAAAAUGAAGAUCGAAAAGGCACAUGCUUUAGAGACAGCCUAAGGUUAUAUAGCAGGUAGAGAACAAAUAUUUUCGGUUGCUUCAAUCCUGGAAAGUUCUUAGAUGGUGUGUAGAGUGUAGCAGCUCGCUUUAAAGCCUAAGGUUGAUUCAACAUCCAACAAAGACAGAUGCUACUGAGGCUCUUGUAGUAAGAGAGAUCAAGGAAAAAAAGUUGAACAUUCAUUAUUUUCCUCCUAUUUGUGCUUACUCUGCCUUCCUUUUUUCCCUUUCUGCUUCACAUGGUAGAUGUUCUAAUAAAAUGGUAAUAUAGAACAAUUGACAUUAAACAAUUAACUGUUUAUGAAUGCCAUGAAUACACAAACAAACCACACAGUAAACCAACUACAAUAGCAUGUGCAUAUAAGAAUGCCAACUGCAAGAACAAACUUUCGCACUCAUCACCAAGGCGUGGUCCAAUGGUGAACUAGAAAUUUGGUUAAAGAGGAGCAACGUUUAAAACUUAAUUAGAAAUAGAAAAAGGACUAAAACUAACAAUAAAUACAAAUUGUGAUACUUAUGAACAAUAGAUAGAAAUAUUUAUGUUUUUAAGUUUUACAUGAUUGUUUUAUUAUAAGCGUCAAAAAAGUUCAUUUCAACUAUAUCCAUAAGCAGAGUAAAAACUCAUAUCCGACCCAUCCAAAUCAUAUUUUUUUUUUCAUCUAAAUCCAAGUUAACUCGAUUGCCUUUAGUAAGGCUGCAAAGCAAUAUAGUUCAACUAUGUCUCUCAUCUAAAUCACAUUAAAAAUUUCAGCGUUGGACUCAUUAUCACUCCAAGUUUCCUGCAUCAUCCUGUUACCCUUCUUGGAAUUAGAGCAUUCAGCAACAAUGUGGCCUUAGCCUCCAAAUGAUAGACUAAACAGUACUGUUCUUCUUGGGAGGAUUUGUUCAUUAGUCCUUGGGUACAGACCUUUUUUCCUUCUUAGAGUCGUUUUAUUUUUAUUUUUUUAUUUUUCUGGCCUUUUGUACGCUCAUAUAUUUCCUAAAUUUCUUGGAAAAACAUGGUGACCAUUCCAUUAGACAUGAACCUUGAAUUUUCCUCAUACUCAAUAGAGUCAACCUUAUAAGUCCUUAAGACAACACCUUUAAACUUCUUUUGUAGAGGCAACUUCAUUUCAAAUGUUCGCAAUGAGACCACAAGCUCAUCAACUUGGACAGCAUCAAUAUCCAUGCUCUCCUUGCAGUUACCUUAGGUCUAAACCUCUCAAGGUGAGAUCUCAAUAUAUUUAUUUCUUACAACUCUAGAAUUGAAAAUUUUUUCACCAAGGUUGGAACUAGAAUUCAUAAUAUCACUGAGUUUAUUCAAAAAAAAGGAGGAAAAAAAAGGAAGGAACUGAGUGAACGUUUAUCAAAUUCUUUACUCAUGUUUUCAAACCUAAUGUCAAUCUGUUGCAACUUUGGAUUCAUACUACAAGAAGAUUACGCUUUAGAGAUGAAUUCUUUAUUUACAAUUCAUAUGUUACCAAUAAAAACUUAUUUUUAGUGGUGCAAGUAUAAUGUUGCUGCUAAAAUUAUUACAUUACAAUGACUGUACAUAGCGCAAUCAAAAUGUUAUAGUUAAAAAAUGGCAGUAAUUUCUUGGCAUCAAAUUUUAACACUUCGGGAAUAUGGAGGAAAAAGAUAAUAAAAACAUCGCAUAAUUUUUUGUCACUGAACAUAUAUGAAAUUUUCAAAGGAGUAUUUGCACUUCUCAGGCCCUAAGAAUCAUUUGUCGCUUUCACACCCUCUCAACUAUUUCAAAGCCAAGCAAAACAAGAACACCAUUUUGGUAUCAAAGAGGUUGUCAUAUUGCCCAUCAUCACAUUCUUUUUCAGGGCUUUAAGCACUCAUUUAUGUUAUACCUAUUUAGUAGUAACGCAGGUUCAUGCAUGAUUCCAUCAUAUGAUUUGGCAACCGGUAAUAAUGGUGAUGGAGGUCACGUUUUACCUUUUUAGCAUCUUCUGUCUUUAAUGUUGGAACAUGGUAUGUGACAGAGAAAGCAUCACGAAUGCCAACUGAAUCUAAGAAAGACACUUCGCUUGUUGUCCCGAUCACUAACACGUUUUUGCCCUAAAAGAAACAACAGAACAAAAUAAGACAAUUUUCUAAAGAAAUCAAUGUUAAGUUGCAGUUAGUUCCAAUGCUUUGUAGUAAAUUUGAACACCCACAGAUAGCCAAAAUCGAUCAACAAACUUUACCAUCUAGUCAAACGGCACAUGAAAUGUAUUUUACCUUAUAUAGAAGUAUUUCAAGCAGUCAGAAAAAAAUGAGUGGGCACAUCGCAUUCUUGUUGUGGUGAAAAAUGUAACAAUAUUCUAGUAAAACAAAGGAAGGAGAUGUAGGAAAAACCUUUGGAGGAAGCCGCUUGAUGAGGACCAACAGUGUUUGAGAAAUUAUAUUUGAAAAACGAGGACCGAUUGCAACAUACUCUAUUAACCUGCAUCAAUAGGCAUAGGAUCAACCACUUACAAAGAAAAGGAAAAGGAAGGGUGAUGAGUAUAUCAUUAAAAUAAUAACAAUAAUAAUAAUAAUAAUAAUAAUAACAAUGAUGAUGAUGAUGAUAAAUUACCUUUCAAUGUCAUCAAGAACAAUAAUGCUUAAUUGUGACUUAUAAGCAUCCUCAAAUACCUACAAAUAGUUAAGUCACAAAUAGUUACAAGAAAAGGAUUUUAGUUAUUCAAUACAAGUCACAAAUAGUUAAGUGAGGCAGCAAGCUCCGCAUGCUCUCAUGUGGUACUGAGCAUUCAGUGGCAAUAAUAUCCAGAUAGAAAUGAAUUUAGAUAUUAUUUAAACCAAGUAACCAGCAAGUUUCUGAAAGCACAUUUAAAAGAGUGAUGUUAUAUAUAUAUAUAUAUAUAUAUAUUUUUAUGAUAAGUCACCUUUGAAAGAGUGAUAAAAUUCAUGAAAAUGUAUCAAACCUUGACAAUCCUUGCACAUUUACUGCUUUCGCUAAGGCCAAUCAUUGAUUCUGCAGAAAUCUACAAGGAAUGAUAGAUUGAAAAUAAGAAACAUACAAAAGAAGAGUAAGGACUUGAAAAUUCAAAGAAAAUAAGAAGCCACUUACAAUCUUGACAUAGGGGAAAUCACUGUCAAUACCAACAGUAGCUGCCAGUGAAGUCUUACCACUGUCCAGGACAAAGAACAUUUAGGUAAAUGAACGAAAAGUAGCAAACAAAAAAUAGUGAAACCAUAGAUACCUGCCACUUGGGCCUUCCAGAAGACAGGUAAUAAGUGGGCUUCCUUUGCUCACUUUUACUUGCUCCACCAACAGCAUGGCUCUUUGAUAUAUGUGCUCAUGUCGUGACCCACAUUCAGCCAUGCCAUUAACUCUGCAAGUCAUAUUUAGUCAGUGCAAAAUGACCAAUUUAAUUAAAUAUAAAUUUAUUUUUGGGAAAUGAAGUCUAAAACAUACAAUUAUACUGGCAUGAACUGAAUUUAAUUUUCAGUCAUCAAAUCUCAGAGCACCAACUUGCCAAAGCAUGAUCUGAGAUAAUGAUUCAGUAGAAAGCAUGAAGCUCUGCCUUGUCUUCUAGGAAUUUUUUUUCCAUUUAAUUUCAAAGGAUUCGCCCCUUCCAACUUUUUAACAAGCAAAAAGAUGUAGAAACUAUACAAGAAAAUCUACACCCUAAAAGAUCUUAUAUAUGAGACUUAAAAGUGCCCCUGUUAUACGAAAAUAGAGUACAUGCCGAUAGCAGUUUACAGAACUGCAUUACAAGCACUUGAUUAGCCUACCAACAAUAAAAUCAUCUUAGAUUUUGCUUCUCACUCAAGAAAAGGGGAGUAACAAUCAGCUAUUCUCAAAAUCUAACACUGAAUGAAACAUAUCAUAUGAACAUCAAAAUUAUUUUAGAUAUGCACAUAAUAUAGAACCAAUUUUGUGUUUGUGUAUUAAGUUUGGCAUAACAUCAGCAGAAGUUCCUUCUAGAAGUGCCAUUUGGCACCUUGAGAGAGUGCCAUGAUUACCAACAUGUUAAAGACAAGAGGGACCUCCUCUUAACAGUUUUUGUGUUGACAUGGGAUAAGGCACUGAGAUACCAGAGUCCAGACCAACUUCAACACCAGCCCAUCCAUUCCAGGACAUCAUGGUUCCAUGCUAUCUUGAUCCCAGGUUUUCAUUCUCCCAAAGGAAAACCUUGAUGUUUGGACAGGUUACACCUCCAAACUACCCUACAACUACAGUAGGCAAGCCACUCUAAAACUUGAUGUCAGCCUAGGUCAGGAGAGGAGAGAAGACAGCCAUAUGAGCUGAGUUCUUGUGGGCAAUGGACCAUAGAAGUAUUAUAUUGGGCAAACAUGCUACAACAUCCCGCCAACUGACUGUGAAAAGACUUGACCGAGUUGACUCAGUGCAAAAUCUAUGAAAACAAAGGCAAUUCAAGAAACAACAGUGAAAAGUUUCACUUGAAUUGAGGUUUUUUAUUUUUAUUUUUUUAAUAAGCAUUUGCCACUUUGCAACCAAAUGGUGAGGAAGGCACCUGCCACCAGUUUAACUUACUAAGGGGAGAAAGGGAGGCACUCCACCAUCAUCAUCAUGUUGUCUGACAAGAAAAACACUCUUAAGGCACCCUUUUGUCAGCCUUGCACCUAAGCCUAUAGGCCCUACAGUUGUCGGUCUUAAAUCUUUACACAAAAUAGUUUUUUUUUUUUUACCAGGUAUAAAGCAAAAUAUAUUAAAAAGCGAAUGGAAAAGGCAAACCAAGUACACACGGAGUAUACCAAAAUGCGCUAAAAGCAAUCAAAGAGAAGAGAAACUCACCACAGCCCAAUACAAAAACACUGCCCUAAAGUUCUAGAAAAACAGAGGGCACCCAUAAAUCCAACUUGCAGCCAAACCAAAUCUGCCAACUCUUGACCAAACAGAGCCUUCAUCUCUCCCCCAACCUCCCAGCCACUCUUUACAACUCUAGCCUGAACACUCAGAAUCCACCUUCUGGCUCCUUCUCUAUCUUCCACUUGAUUGAUUAUAAUUAAAGGACCUCUCCAACUUCCAAAGCUCUCUAUCAAAAUGACACAUAAACAAAAGUCUCCUCUUAAUACUCGAGGCCCCCACUGAACAACCCUUUCUGGCUUCUAAAAUCCUCAAUAAGGACACAACUUCCUUCUCAAAACCAUCUAUAGGUAAUCCCAAAGACUUAUUGAAGGAGAUGAAAUUCCUAAAAGAGGAGAGGCUCCCAUCUCCCAGCAUGUCCUUACUGGGGCUGUCCUUUCCUGGGGCCCCUCCUCACUGCACAAAUCAAUGACUGAACAACCGGCAUCUUUGCAAGAAUAGUUAAUCUUCUUACAAAACAAGUCCUUAGGCCUCCCAUCACUUAAAACCUCAUGUCAGCCUUCCCCAGUGGCUGAGCACUCCCAUAUUACCAUACUCCACUCACUAUCUUCAUCUCAGGUUGAUGAUUUCCUCAAAAAAUCUCAACUAUCAACAAUCUAAAAACCUCAAAGCUCCACCUACUGGGUUUCAACUAAACUAAAGCAUAAUAAAAGGCAGCAAACCUACCAAUCAAAAAAUAAAGAAAUAAAAGGUAGCAAACCCAGAGAAAAUCAGAGAAUGCUUGAUAUAGCAGCUUCAGGAUUAGAAGAUCUACGAUGGACUGAACUGGUACCAGCACUAAGCAAGGUACAUUGUCAACAUUACAGGUUACAUAAUUCCUUGCAUUCUGGAUUUGCUUGAAAGAAAACAAAGCCACGGGCUGCUGCCUUUUUUUUCUUCCUCCAGUAUUCAUGGUCAGCAACAAAUGCAACAAACAAUAUCUUAAAUGUAAGUCUAGUUCUUGUUAUGAAUUUAUGCAGCAAAGGCACCAAGGAUUUUCUACCAGCACAGCAAUGCAAUAUUGUAAUUAUGAAAAUCUUGAUUAGAUGUCUACAUUAAUGAAACACGGGAUUGAAAAAAGAGUAUACACGAGGUAGAUUCAUCAUUAUACAUCAAGCCCAUAAGAAUGUAAAAGAAACCAGAGCAACAGUGGAGUAGGAUCCAAGUAGCUUUCAAGAUGAUGACAGCAGGAUAAUGUGACAAUAACUAACCAUUUACAAUACUUUGAACAUGUUCUAUGAAGACCAGGUCUAAUGAAAUAAUCAGUAGCUAAGGGAAAACAUGAUGAGGCAAAACAGAAGUGAAUGCCUCAUUGCUUGGGGUCAGCGCAACUAUCCAAAGUAAAUUUAGUAUGCUUGAAUUAAUGUGUUGAUGUAGUGUAAAUGCACAUAACAUUUGUCAGCCUGAAGAACUGCGAAGUUAUCGUAACCAUACCUGCACCGUUCAAGGUCAUCUGUGGAGGCUCCAAAUGCAGGAAUAAUCUCUUGGAGGGCAUUCAGAAAAUCCUCCAUGGUGACUUUUAUACUCUCCUCAUCCACUGGCUUAGUAAGAUCAUCCAUGCUUAGUUGCCGAUUCAAAGCAAAUGAUACUGCACUUUUUACAACGCCUUCAAGCUCUGCCCCACUAUAGUUCUUUGUCCGAGCAGCUGCAUUAAGAAAAAUGAAUUUCUCUAAGACAUCUAAAUAAGUUCACUGAAAGUCUUCUCAAACAACCUUACAUGACAAACAUUCAAUAGAAUCAAUACUUAAUAAAUAAAUCAUAUAACCUGUCAAAUUACAAGUCUAAAAGUUCCUCUCCU
Molecule: long non-coding RNA, 92206 nt
Filed under: Vitis vinifera (wine grape)
Lineage: Eukaryota; Viridiplantae; Streptophyta; Magnoliopsida; Vitales; Vitaceae
Description: long non-coding RNA (VVIN_LNC006404)
Source: RNAcentral